UAUAUCUUGCACUUUCCCAAAAAAUCCAUUUCAUAUUCCUCUCUCUCCAUCUUGCAGAAAACUAAACACCGCCGUCCAUGCAAAUCCAAGAUCCCCAAAUCAAUUAAUCAAGAAAAGGGGUUAGUUUACUACACAGAUCGAUCUCAUUACCUCACAUACCCAUGGGCUCCGUCUAUAUCCUACGGUCGGAAGUUGAAUGUUGUAAGUUGGCUAUCCCUUGACGGAAGUUGUCGCUGGCUUCCAAAGAGGGUAUUAAUGGAGGGGAAGCUUCGGUAUUUGUGGAGAUAGUGACGACGAAAAUGGAAGAUGCACGUUCUCCUUCGUGUCGAAUUACACGAUCUAUAGCCGUUCUGUCAGAAUAUAAGGAACGAGACCACCCAGCCGUCAAAGAAGUGUUUAAAACCUCAGCCAAUGUUGAUAAAAGUGAGAAGAGGCGACUAUGUUGACGAAGAAUCCUCUAUGAAGAAGAUGAAAAUGGCGUUGCAUUCGAACCCGAAAGAAGGAAAUUCUACGUCUCACGUAUUUUUUGGGGAUUUUUGAAAACUGUGAAUGUUAAUAUGCUAAAUUUUGUUUGUUAUCCUGAGGUUCACAUUUUAGAGACAAUGAAUUACAUAUGUAUGCGAUUUACGUGAAGUUCUCCUCCAUGCCUCUUUGACCUUGCUUAUUGUCUGUACCAAAACCAUUGGAUGACACACCGAAACGAGAAGAGGUGACUAUGUUGACGAAGAAUCCUCUAUGAAGAAGAUGAAAAUGGCGUUGCAUUCGAACCCGAAAGAAGGAAAUUCUACGUCUCACGUAUUUUUUGGGGAUUUUUGAAAACUGUGAAUGUUAAUAUGCUAAAUUUUGUUUGUUAUCCUGAGGUUGACAUUUUAGAGACAAUGAAUUACAUAUGUAUGCGAUUUACGUGAAGUUCUCCUCCAUGCCUCUUUGACCUUGCUUAUUGUCUGUACCAAAACCAUUGGAUGACACACCGAAACCUUACACUGCUGUGUGUGAUAUGUCGCGUUUGAAGAGUUUGAUAUGCUAAAAUUUACUUACAUCUUUGUGAUUGAUUGUGAAUAUUAAUUCUUCUUUUCUUAUGAUGACAACAUAUGCAAUAUAUAUAUAUAUAUAUUUUUUUUUUUUUUUUUUUUUUUUUUUUUUUUUUUUUUUUACAAUGUGUAGUGGAAACUCAUUUUACACUUGAUUGUGAUGUUCAGAUUGCACAUUGUCUAUUAGAAAAUGGAAAUCAGCUGCAGGUGAGUCAGCUUGGGAGUCAGCAAAGCACGUACACUCCAGUACACAUGGGCGACAAGCUGGACCAUAGAUGGAAGAAUAAAUCUAGAAAGAUGUAUCAUAUUUUCUAUUAUGUGGUUUUCCUUUCGUAACAGUGUUGUUUAUAUUGAUUCUUUUUUUUGCCUGCUGUAUAGGUUUUCCGUUAGGCUGGUACUCUUCUCAUUCUAUAUAUAGUGUGAUCUGUAAAGAAGUGAAUAUAGCAGAUUCAAUAUCAUGAGAAAAUUCUCCCAAAACUCUUGCACUCCACCUGCUCGAUAGUUUUUUUCUUUCGUUUAUUUCUUCUUUUCUUAUAUGGUAUCAGAGCAAGAUAUGGCACAACCUGAUUCUGCUAAUCCAAAUCCAGUUGAAUCUUCAAACACAAAUAUAAAUCAACACCCAAAUCCAAUCUCGGUUGAUCCCUCACAGCCAAACAGUCCAUACUCUAUUGGAGCUAAUGAUAGCUCUGGAUCCAUACUCAUUACUCAUGUAUUGGAUUCAAACAAUUAUCAUUCCUGGGAACGUGCGAUCCAAAGAGCACUCACGAUUAAAAAUAAGCUCGGUUUUGUUGAUGGAAGCAUUUCAGAGCCUAAUGAUGCAGACAGUCCACUUAUGGAGCAUUGGUUGAGAUGUAAUGAUAUAGUAAUCACUUGGUUGCAGAAUACUAUGGCACCAUGUAUGCUGAAAUGGCACAUUAUCUAUGGAAGGAACUUGAACAGAGGUUGGCACAGUAAAAUGCACCUAGGAUUUUUGAGCUCAAACAAAGUAUUGUAAACCUGAUACAAAAUCAAUUCAGUGUAAGUGUGUAUUUCUCAAAGCUGAAAACUCUUUUGGAUGAAUCGCUAAAUUAUGAAUCAGUACCCAAUUAUUCCUGUGGAGGUUUGAAGGUUGAGGUGAACAACCAACAAAGAGGUUGGGUUAUGAAAUUCCUAAUGGGUCUCAAUGAUACGUACAAGGGAUUAAAGGCUCAAAUUCUCCUCAUUAAGCCUUUCCCAAGCUUGAAUGAAGUAUACUCCAUAAUUUAGUAAGAAGAGAAGAGAAGGCAAAUAUCCACUGAUAGUUCACUUGAUGAAACUAUGGCACUACUUGCUAAGGGUAACCUUGAUGUGAGAAAACUAAACCAAUCCUCUCAGAAGAAGGAUAGGUACUACUGCACCUAUUGUAAGAUAGCUGGCCAUUCCCUUGAACUAUGCUUCAAGGCUAAUCCCAACAAACCAGCAUGCUCUUAUUGCCUAAUGCCUGGUCAUACAGUUGGAAAAUGUUUUGAGUUACACGGGUAUCCAUCGGGGCACAAAUCAGAAGGGAGAAACAAGCCAUCAACAUCAUUUGCUAAUCAGACUACUGCACUUAUGCCUCUUUUCCAGGAACAGGUAAAUAACAAAGCUCAAAUUCUUUAACUCGGGAGCAAUAUGAUCAGCUCAUGGCAUUGCGGAACCCACAAACUCAUCAAAACUUCAUCCCUUCUGCAAAUCAUGUUCAAACUUUAUUCCAACUCAUUCUGAUAAUGGUGAGAUGCCAAAAGUUUUAGGUAUAUCUCUAUGUCUGUUUGCCUUUAGCACUAAACUUUAUGAUCAUUCAGUUGCACCUUGGAUAUUAGACACGGGGUACAGAUCAUAUGAUCUGCUCAACCUCUCUUUUUACCAUAAUAAAGUCUAAAGUUUCAUAUUCAGUAGCUCUCCCAAAUGGUAAAGUUGUUCCUGUCACUCACAUUGGGACAGUAAAAUUUUCAGAAUCUUUCAUUUUGGAUAAUGUUCAUUAUGUUCCGUCGUUUUCUUUUAAUUUGAUAUCAGCUAGAAAAAUAACGCAGAACAUGAAUUGUUGCCUCCUUGUCUUCCUGGUUGUUGUUUUAUACAGGACCUUUUGACUUGGAAAAGGACUGGAAUGGGUGAAGUAAAGCAAGGACUCUAUCACUUGAUGCAAUAUGAAGUGUCUCCUUUUGCCUUGACCAAGAAAUUAGCCUAUCUAACUCAAAAGACACACAUAUCCGCUUCCUGUAUUUUCAAUAAUGGUGAAGAUUUCGAUCUUUGGCACUGUAGGUUAGGACACUCCACCUAUUCCAAGCUUAAUUUACCAGAAGACACCACAAGAUCCACCAAACAGCCUUGCCUUACUUGUCCUUUAGCCAAACUACAAAAAUUACCAUUUCCUGUCAGCCAGCAUAGAUCAGAAAAAUGUUUUGAUCUCAUACAUUGUGAUAUUUGGGGACCAUGUAAUGAGAUUAGUUAUGAUGAUUUUCGUUAUUUUCUAGCUAUUGUGGAUGAUUUCAGUAGAUGUACUUGGGUUUAUAUGUUGAAAUUCAAAUCUCAUGCUGGCAUUGUUUUGCAAAGUUUUUGCUCUAUGAUUGAAACACAAUUUGAAUGUAAAGUUAAAACUAUUAGAUCAGACAAUGGAGAUGAAUUUGAGAUGAAGAAAUUUUAUUCACGAAAGGGAAUCAUUCACCAUAAAACUUGUGCAGAGACUCCUCAACAAUAUGCCAUAGUUGAAAGAAGACAUCAACACAUUUUAAAUGUGGCAAGAGCUUUAAAAUUUCAAAGUGGCAUCCCAUUAAGAUAUUGGAGUGAUUGUGCUCUCACGGCAGUUUAUCUUAUAAACAGAACCCCUAUACCUCUUUUAGACCACAAAACACCCUUUGAAAUUCUUUUUCAAACCAGACCAGAUUACACUUAUCUUAGAGUUUUCGGAUGCCUAACAUUUGCUAGUACCCUAGUGAGUGGAAGACAUAAGUUUGAUCCUAGAGCUAGGAGAUGCAUUUUUUUGGGAUACCCAUUUGGAAUCAAAGGAUACAAAUUAAUGGAUUUCAACACAAAGGUGGUCUUUAUCUCUAGGAAUGUUAUCUUUCCACGAGAGUGUUUCCUUGCAAGCAAAAUGCUAUCAACAGUGCUUAUUUUAGUCCAAAUCCAACUUCAAAAAUAGAUUUCAUUUAUGAAAUUCCUAUUAUCUCAGAUCACAUAGAAAACAGCCCAAAUCAUUCUCUUAUCAACACUUCAGACAAAAUGCAGCAACAGACCACUCAACAGACUUUGAAUCUCUUUCAUUAGAACAAAAUCAUGGCUUAUCUGGACCUGCAAAUACAUUUAUAAUUGACAGUGAGCCAUCCCAAAAACAAGUCGUACCUUGAAGGUCAAAUAGAAUCAAGAGAACCCCUACAUAUCUCAAGGAUUUUGUCUGCCAACAGGUCACUUUGCUUCCCCAUUCACAGGCUUUGGACAAGCAAAGGGUCACCGUUCCCUCAGGUAAUCCCUAUCCUCUUGAGAAUAGUGUGUCAUAUCAUAAACUCUCCACUCCCUACAAGGCUUUUGUUGUUUCUAUCAGCACACAAACUGAACCAAAAAAUUUCCAAGAAGCACUAGAAUCUCUCAAGUGGUGUAAUGCUAUGAAAGCUGAAAUAAAUGCUCUCGAAUUAAAUGAUACUUGGAUAGUUGUUGAUCUAUCUCCUAGUAAGGAGGCCAUAGGGUGUAAGUGGGUUUAUAAAAUCAAAUUCAAUGCUAAUGGGACCAUAGAGAGAUAUUAAGGCAAGUUAGUGGUUAAGGGAUAUACACAACAACAAGGACUCGACUAUCAUGAAACAUUUUCUCCUGUGGCAAAACUAGUUACUGUAAGGACUUUGUUGGCUUUAGCUGCUAUUAAAGGUUGGCACUUAUACCAAUUUGAUGUAAACAAUGCAUUUCUACAUGGAGAUUUGGCGGAAGAAAUUUACAUGCAAUUGCCUCUGGGUUAUCCCACUGUUAAUGGGAUGAAAGCUUGCAAAUUGAAGAAAAGCUUGUGUGGCCUUAAACAAGUCUCUAGACAGUGGUAUUCUAAGCUAUCUAACUUCAUUAUUGAGCAAGGUUUUUCACAAUCUAAGGCUGAUUAUAGCUUAUUUACAAGAGCUACAAAACAUUCUUUUAUUGUCAUCCUCGUAUAUGUCGAUGACAUUAUAGUGUUCAGCAACUGCAUUGACUCUAUUAAUGUUCUCAAGCAUACCCUACAUGAGAAAUUCAAAAUCAAGGAUCAAUAUAGUUGAAAUACUUCCUUGGGAUGAAGUGGCUUGGUCAGAUCAUGGCAUCCAUAUAUGCCAAAGAAAGUAUGCCUUAGACAUCUUGACAGAUUCAGGCAAAAUUGGGGGCAGCACCAACUCGAAUUCCAUUGAUCAGAAUCUUAAGCUUUCUAAAGAGCAAGGCAAACUAAUAUCUAACCCAUCACUCUAUAGAAGGCUAGUUGGAAGAUUACUAUAUUUAACUAUAACAAGAUCGGAUCUAUCCUUUUCAGUGCAAUAUUAAGUCAAUUCAUGGAUAACCUUGGAUUACCACACCUUAAUGAAGCCUACAAGGUUUUAAGGUAUAUCAAAAAGGCUCCAGGAUAAGGUUUGUUUUAUUCUAUUGAAUCAAGCCUGCAGCUUAUAGGUUACUGUGAUUCAGAUUGAGGAGCAUGCCAGGACACAAGAAGAUCGGGUCAGUGAUUAUUGUGUGUUUAUUGGGUCUUCUUUGGUGGCCUGGAAGUCAAAGAAACAAGGGGUCGUGUCUAGAUCAUCUACGGAGACAGAAUACCGAGCAAUGGGUAACCUGUGCUGUGAAUUAACUUGAAUGAGAUAUUUACUUCAUGACUUGCAGAUUACACAUUCUCAGGCUGCCACUGUGUUUUGUGAUAACAAGGCUGCACUUCACAUCGCAUCAAACCCUGUCUUUCAUGAGAGAACCAUGAGAGAACCAAGCACAUUGAGCUUGAUUGUCAUCUCAUCCAUGACAAGAUUCAAGAUGGAAGCAUAACCACUGGUUAUAUUGGUAGUGGAUUACAAGUUGCAAACCUCCUAACUAAGGCCUCAAGUUCUUCUGUUUUCUAUACUCUUUUGCUCAAGAUGGGAGUAGAAGAUAUCUACUCUCCACCUUGCGAGGGGCUAUUAGAAAAUGGAAAUCAGCUGCAGGUGAGUCAGCUUGGGAGUCAGCAAAGCACUCACACUCCAGUACACAUGGGCAACAAGCUGGACCAUAGGUAGAAGAAUAAAUCUAGAAGGAUUUAGCAUCUUUUCUGUUAUGUGGUUUUCCUUUUGUAACAGAGUUGUUUAUAUAGAUUCUUUUUGCUGCCUGCUGUAUAGGUUUUCCGUUAGGCUGGCACUCUUCUCAUUCUAUAUAUAGUGUGAUCAACCUGUAAAGAAGUGAAUAUAGCAGAUUCAAUAUCAUGAGAUAUCCUGAUGAACGGUAGAUUUUCUAGUAGUGAUUAUAACAAACUUGCUGCUCGGAAAAUUGGACCGUUGGAAGUAAUUGAAAAUAUCAAUCCUAAUGCAUACAGGUUGAAGCUUCCAAGCCAUGUUGCGACCAGUAAUGUUUUUAACGUCAAGCACCUGGUUCCAUAUGUUGGUGAUUUGUCAAUAGAGGACUCGAAUUCGAGGACGAAUUCUCUCCAACCCGAGAAGGAUGAUGUAGAUCGAGUGGCCUAUAAUUUUAUUGAGAAGUAUGAGAGGAGGCUUGAGAAACAGGAAUAUUAAUUUUUUUGUUAUUUCUUUAUUAUGUCUGUCAAAUUAAGUUUCCUUAUUAUGUUGUCUAAGUUUCUGUUAUUAAAUUAUUCUGUCUUAUCACUUAUUUUAGGUAAGUUGUCUGUUUAGGGUUUAUAUAUUUGUAGUCUUCUGUAGCCGCAGACAGUUUUCUGGAGUUAUUAUGUUAUCAAUAAAAACUCUCUGCAAGAGUUUUAUUUGUUCCUGCAAUUCCUAGUCCCGAUUUCUAGGUUUGUGGAAGACUUGUGAAUUUAUUGUGUGCACAGAUUCUGCUUCUGUUCUUUCCGCUGCAUCAUUAGGGAUGGUAGUUGGUUGCUAGCUCAACUUUGAAGGAUCUUUUUUUUUUUUUUUUUUUGAAGACUCUCUUGUUGCUGUUUUAAAUUAUAUACAACGACUAGGAAUGCAUUUCUGAUUUCCCGGGUUUUUUCGUUAUCUUUUGGUAAUGUAAAUAUUCAUUAUGUAAUCUGAUGUAUUGCAUACUUCAUGGGUCGGAUCGUACACGUGAAAUGGUACCAAUUGAAGUGUCGAUUGUGUCCAAUUAUAUCGUAUUGCACAUGCAGCUGACAUUUAUGUUUUUAACCUCAAUGAAAUCUCCAUUGGUCUAUUUUUUUAGCGUAAUUAGUUUCCUCUAGUGUACUGGCAUGUGCAUUUUUCAAGAUUAAGCAUUCUUGCGACCAUCGUCUUGACGACAUCGAAUCAAUGUUUUUUCUUUAAAAAAAAAAACAUUUACACGUGUGACAUUACCGUUGUAAUGGAAUCAUUUUUUUUUUCUUAAAUAUACUUUAGAUGUGUGAAAUUAGCGUGUAAAAAACUUGUAAUGUAUGGCAUUCUGAAAACAUCAAUACACAAAUCUAUUGCUAUAAGCUCCCAUAAUACGGUAGGAUAUAGUAAGGUUAUAUACCUUGACUCAAUGGAGUAUACUAAUAGUGCACUCUAAUGUUCACAUUACGUCGAAUUUGCAAUAUUUAUAGGUCUAUCGUUCACCAUAGAUCUGGUUCUAUUUCCUACUUUACUAUCGUAUAUAGUCAGAAUGAUAUCUUGAUUUUUACAGAUUCACGUUUGCAAUACACGAGACUCCGUAGUAUUACAGAUUCAGACCAUCGAAUUCCAUUUUUUUAAUAUAUAACACAUGUCACAUUCGCACUUUCGAAAUAAGAUUGAUGCAGGUAGAUGUAGUUUACUAAUUUUGCAUAGAGACGAACACAUACUGACUAAUUUUAAUGUGGCAAAAAAUAUUCAUGUUUCAUUCAUAUUUACAUUGAUAUUGUAACGAACGCAUAUUUUCACUUACAGGUUUUCCCAGUGAUGAUUAAUCGUUUAGCAACCUCACAGCAAGAAGUUAUAUUUCAUGUCUGGUGAAUUGAGUGCGUGGAAGGAGCUGUCCGGCUAAUAAAGCAGAAAUCUGUAAUGGGAAGGUGUUGAGUCACAUUUAUUCAAUAUAUCAUGUUUCCGAAUUCACAAUUCAAAAUUCUCUUACGAGUUAUAUUAUACAAUCAAUACAUUCAAACACCUUCUAGGUUGUGUCAGACUAGAUAAAAACCUAAUAAAAAUUUUACCCUUAAAAUGCCGAUGUGUGCAUCUAUUUGCCGGGAGUUUAGAUGGGAUCCAUACAACAAAAUCUUUGCUACUACAUUUAUAACAGUUCACAAUGACGCUAACCAAAUGUAAAAGUUCAAUGCCCAUUAUUGCAGAAACACGAUAUUACACUUGGGACCUCGAAGGGGUCCAUUUAUUUGAAUAUAUUGACUAAAAGUUACAACAUUAAUUUAUUUCUUUGCCGACAAGAGAAUAAAGGACGAAACUAAAGGUAGAUCAAGCAUGCAUCCAUGCUUGUAUUAUUCAACACAACAUUUUUAAAUUAAUUAAAGUAAGCAGUAAUUGUUAAUUUAAACAUUGUUUCUUUUUGGCCUUUUUGCAGAACUGUUUGUUUUUCUUGAGUUUUGACAUCCUGUAGCCAUGGAGUCCUUUUAGUUUUUCAGGAAAUCCUUCCACCACUUAGCUGAAUCUUUAGGGUGUCUUUCCAAAUCAUUCUCGUUCUUGAAGUCUACAUAAUGAACUCCAAAUCUAAGAUUGUACCCUUGUGUCCAUUCAAAAUUAUCAAAAAAUGACCAUUUGAAGUAACCUUUCAAGCGUACACCAUCCCUGAAAACGAAAGACUAGUUGAUUAGUUUCAAAAUUUACAAUUUUACUUCGAAUUUAACUACAAUAUGUGAUUAAAGAUAAAAUAAAAAAAAAUGACGUACUCUAUUGCCUUUCUAAGUUGGUCAAGAUGGUCCUUGUGAUACGUAACCCUUUUUUCAUCUUUAACAGCCUCUGGAAUUGUUAGUUCAUCGUUUUUCAAUUCAUCCAGCCCUACAAGAGAUUAUAAAAGAAUUCAACAAAUCACUAAAUGCUCUAAAAAUUUAGUAUUUCUAAUGUAUAUUCUUGCUAUAUAAAUAAAUAAACAUGACUAUAUACCAUUCUCUGUAAUGAAAAUCUCGGGAUUAUCAUAAGUUUUCUUUAUAUAGAGCAUUAUCUCGUAAAUUCCCUCUGGAACUAUGUACAACCAUGACGAACCACCCUGACACGAAGUAAAAAAGAUUUGUAAUUACAUUAGAUUAUACAUAAGCAUCGAAAAUAAUGUAAACCAUUAUAUCUAUUUUAGUUCAUUGUGCCCGUAUAUUAGGAGUCUAUGACAUAAUCAUAUUUCACCAAAAAUUGUUGAUAUGCCUAAAUUGUUAGAAUAAUCCAUUCCAUUGUCUAUAUUCUUUUUCUAAGGGAGGGUACUAUUAAUGACUCACCUUAUCACCAAUCGGCUUGUCAUUGCAAUCAUGAGCUAAAAGAAUGAAAAGUAAACAUCUUGUUAGAAGUAGUGUCCAUUUUUUGUCAAGGUAAAAAGUUAUAACUGAACAUGAGAAAAGGUCCCAGUACUUACUCCUCUCAUCAACAUGCAGAUCAUUCUCAAAAUGUGUUUUUGAAGAAUCUCGAGGUACAUUUUGGGCAUAACGAGCCGUGUAAUAAUUUAUGCCCAAGAAGUCACAGGAACCUUUCACUAGUGCAACCUCGUCUGGUUUAAACAUGGGAAGACGUUCUCCUACAUUGAUUCUCAUGGAUAGUGGAUAAUCACCUGUUAUUACAGGGGCUACAAACCUGAACAGGAGAAAUGUGUUAAAAUUAGAAUUAUUAUCGAUGUACUAUAUACCUAAACUUCUACAAAAAUAUAUCUAUAAUGUAUUCUCUUAAUAAGGCAUAAACAGGCUAAAGGAUAAAAAGAAUAGAAGAGAAGAAACUUCCGAUAAUGGAUUCCAAUUUAACGAAUUUCCCAGGCACUAAUUUCAUUGGGAGAUUUAGGAAUUUAUAGAGAUGCAGAGUAAUUGCUCGUGGUAAAGAUAAACUGCUCUAACACAAGUAACAAUUACCAUCCUAACAAAAAAUCAAGUGCUCUCGAAGCAGCCUCGACAUCCUCUUUGUUGUCUUCCUUAAAUGGAUAAUACCAGAUUGAAACGUUUGUCAUCCCUAUUUUGCCUCGUUGGCUUUCCUGUAUGUACAGAUGUAUUAAUAUUUGUAAAAUUUCAAAAGUGUGUAUUUACCUAUUUAUUUUUGUACAUGUGUGAAAUAUUAAAAUAAAAACCUGAUAUUGUUUCCGGUAUAUAUUAACCGCAUGCGCAUGAGCAAGGAUCAAAUUGUGUGCCACUAUAUAUGGUUCUGUUCCCGGAUCUCCUUCAAAGGAAGUACCAUCUUCAGAGGAUGCAGUGUAAGGCACAUUGAGUGCCUCAGCAAUUACUUUUCUCGCUGCAUCUCGUUCAGAGGAAGGAAUGUUGUCCGAAUUGUAUGCGAUAUCAACUAGUUCACUGAUUGGAUCUCUGGCCAUAUAUCCUCUUGAUGAAGGAAACAGAGGAACAUUGAUGCUGCUUCUAUGCUGAAGGAUCGAGGAACGACACAUUCGUUCCAAUGAUUCUCGAGUGCGAUCCGAUGCUGAUGCCGAUGCUCCAAGUUGAUAACCUCGACGAGGGGGAAACCUUGGAUGCACAUAUCCAUAAAAAGUGAAGGACCGUGGCUCAUUGAGCGUGACCCAAUAUUUCACUCGAUCACCAAAUUUCGAAAAGCAUAUGUCAGCAAACUCACAAAAAUGUUUCCUAUUAUGACAAUGUAAAGAAAGUUAAAUUUCAACAUAUAUGUCUGUAAUAAAACCAUAGAUGGUUAAAAAAAUUCACUUAUGUCUUUUAUCUUUGCACAAGAGAUCAAUCUGCUUAUUAUUAUCCAUUUUCUUUGAAGAAAAUAUUUCUGCUUUUUCCUUCAAAAUAUAGAUUUUGAGAAAAUAACUUUGCUUAAUUCAUCUGUUAAACAUCUAGCACACGAUGUUCGAUGCUAUGCAAGAUCGUUUACUUACACAAUUUGAUGAUCUAAGAAGCCGCCAUAUUCAUCUUCCAAUUUUUGUGGAACAUCCCAAUGGAAGAGAGUUGCACAGGGCUCAAUGCCUACACAAAAGUAAUGUAGAGAAAUCAAUGUACAUGAUAUCUUUAAAUUUUAUAUUUUAAUUUAUAAGAAAAGAAAUGAUUUCAAUGGCAUAUCAAUUUGAACUUCCAAUCAUGUACUAAUUAAAUAUAAAAUAAGAAUAAUUUUCUUAAAGAUACAAUAAACACGUGAAUUCAAAGAAGUCUAACCUUCUUUCAAAAGUUCGUCUAUAAGAUUGUUAUAGAAUUGGAUUCCUUUUUCGCUUAUGCCAUCGCAUCGUCUACCACCUAAAAUAUCAAUAUAAAUUUAUACUCAUAUUAAAAUAAAGAACUAAUUUAGUUGUAUAUAAUGAGGUGUAUCUAAGGGUGUACACCCCCCUCACAUGGAGUCUGGGAUCCACCCGAAUAAGUGUUUUUUUUAUUCGGGUGGAUUCCACACCGCAUGUGAGAGGGGUGUACACGCUUAGGUACACCCCAAUGUAUUACUAGCACCACCGUAAAAUAAAGUCAAGGAACUUCUAUUGAUAUCCAAUAUUGAGGAAAUUACUUGGUGAGGUCUCAUAUUAGAGACUACUUCUGGUUUUCUAAAUACUUCUAUUUUUCAAAAUAUUUUGUCAAAAUACUUCUAACGAGAACUUUUUCUUGUCAAGAGUUUUUCUACAUUUUUCUCUUCCUUUUCUUUGUGUUCGACUUGAAAACUAGGCAAGGUUUAUGAGGCUUUCGAGUCCAUUUAGAAAUCCUAGUCAAACUUAUCAAUGUAGACCAUUAACUCUAUAUUGUCCAGAAUCUUUUCCACUUUGUCUAGCCCUUUAUAGUCAUUUAAAAAAUUUUAAGCAGAAAACAUCACUUUAGCUUAAAAAUUAAAUAAUGUACAAACGCUACAUCUUUGACGUUUCAUUAUUGAAGUGAAAAAAAAAACUGUUUUUCUAAAAUCAUUUAAGCACAAUCCGGUACCUGGUAAGAUUCUGGACCAUGAAAUUGAAAAUCUAUAAGAAUCCAAACCAACUUCCUUCAUCAAAGCCACAUCGUCCUGCAGCAUUAUUGACAGUGAGUACAUUAUACAUUCAAAAAUAUUAUUCUUGGUGGCUUAAAUUAGAAUACAAUCAAUUAUAAUUGAUUUUUUUCUUUCUUGUUUCUUCCACUUUUUUUCAAAAUAGAACUUUUUGACUUCAAGCGCCAACAAAGUAUCAACUUAUUUUGAAUGCUAUGUUCCAGAUAAUAGUCAUGUUUGAACAAUGGCAAUGAGCAUUUUUUUUUUCAUUAAUGGAUCAAAAGAGUUAUUUAAUUCAUUUACAGCUAUUAGUUCAAUUCAUUUUUCACUUACUUAAAUAUUGUAAAUGGAUGAGUAAAAAAAGAACACUGGUGGACUGGUGGUAGGUUUUCUUAGAAAUGAUGAGUUUUUAUGUUGAUAUCAAUUAGAAGAAAGUGGUCAAAUUAUUAUUAUUUUUUUUUUUUUAUAAGGGCUUUAUCACUUGGCCCCCACCUCAUCCCCUGGACGUCCAAGGGGAUUGUCCCUGAAGCAUGGCUCUUUUUAUAAAUUUAGACCUUAAUAAAAUAUAAGGGAUCAGAUGAUCCUCGCUUAAUGCUUGAAUAGAUAUAGAAUUUUGAUACGGUAAUAUAAAUGAAUUAACAUCACUAUCUGCCACGAAAAAUUAAAUAGCUGAGCGCAUUUACCUUGAACUUGUUAUAGUGAUUGAUUGCCACUUGUCCAUUUGAACCAUCCGCAAUGCUAUCUGCCACACAGACAUUUUAAAUUAGGAGGGCACAAUCAAACUUUGUACAGAUCGAAUACUUUAUUCUUAAUUUUUGAAUGAUUCAUACUUGACUCGAAAAAAAGAAGAUUUACGUUUAAAAAAAAUCCCUUCAUUAAGAUUUUGGUCAUCAUUUUCAUUCAUUUGAUUUCAAACAGUCAUUUUAUUAAUAUUUUGCUCAUCACAAAAGAAUACAUAUUUAUGUUUAAAAAAUUUAUAGUGUAUUUGAAAUUUUGAUUUAAACAAUCAAUUAAAAUGAUCGAUUCAAAUAAUCGAAAGAAAAAAUAUUUAACAAAUAUUCAAUACUAAUUAAUAAUCAAUCAAAUAAACACAAUUCAUUAAAUAUAAGUAAAAUUGGACAUAAUCACUUCAGACACAUUUUGUAUACACAAUUUGAUAGGAAAAGAUAAUCUAUAGGUUCUAAUUAAUUGAAAAUUUGAUUGAGAAGUGAAGAAUUGUAAUAGAUGUGAUAAUCUACAGAAAAAUUAUAGAUAAAUUUUUAAAAAUUAGAAGAUUUAAGAAUUUGAUAAAAUGCGUGAGGGAGAAAGUAGCGAAAGAGAAAGAUACAAGAAAAAAGUUCGAAUCUAUUAUGAUUUUUAGUAGAUUUUGAUAAAGUUAAAAUGUUAUGGAUUUCAUGAAAUAUUCUAUUAAAAUUAAUUAUUAACUGUGAUUCAUAUUAAAAUUUAGAUUUUAAUUCAUACCAAACAUGACUUAAAAAAAAUCCCAAAAAUAAACUACCAGGACCCCGUCUCCACCGCUGCACGUACAUGUGCGUGUGUAAAUUAAUAUGUUCUAUUUUAAAAUGAAAACUUUGGUAAAAAGAGUUACACAAGCCUUCUUCUGUUGAUUGAUAUAUUUAACUGAUAAGAGAUUAUACAUUUAACAUGCCUCUACAGGAUAAUGACUUGUUAAAAAACUUCAAUCCUUGAACUCGAACGCUUGUUUGAGUUUGAGAUGGAUCAUGUUACUUAUUUGAGCUUGUUGGACGGUGAUAAGAUACUUAGAAUAGAGAUUUUAUCUCAAAUGGACAACCAUAUAUAUAGGAGUAGCUGAGCUCUUUUAUGUUAAUUUAUAUUUUAUAUUUAGUGAUUUUAAACACACAAGACUAGAGAGAGAGAGAUUGAAGAGACCAGGAUGCUUUUCUGUCAUAUCAUCCCAAUUACUCGGGCCUUUACCAUCUACAUUCCAAGCACCUUCUACCUGAAAUAAAUUAUACAUCCACAAAUUAAGAACUCAAGAAAGUUAAAUUGCAUGUGAUGGACCGUCUAACAUAUACAUUCCCACAUGAUCGUUUCAGCAAAUCUUCAUUAUUCUAAACUAUAAUGGAUUCUUUUAUAAGGUACAUUUAAUAAUAUUUCACAUUAUUAACGAAUAGUACGGUUUGCCCAUUUUUCUGACCAAAUCUGCCUGAUACAACAUACUAAAACAUACCAAUUACUCACUUGAUAUGCCAGUGUUAGCACCGAAGAUAAACUCGAAAAAUCAGUUGCAAACCUGAUAUGCCGAUGUUGCACCACCAAAUAUAAAAUCCUUGGGGAAAUCAGAGCGUUUGACCUCGGUUUGGGAUGUAGCCAUUUGAAUAAGCAGGAUGAGAUAUUAUAGUCAGUUGGGAGAGAUGUGUGGUUCCUCUUGUCCAUUCACUCUAUUUAUAGACUAUGGGUUUCAAAUACUUGUAUCAUACCAUUAGACAACAAGCAUAAAGUAAGUAUAAUAUAUUGGGAAAGGUAUCAAUACUUAUCUUAAAGGUUGAACCCCAACCUUGAAGGCCCCCACCGUCCCGCCCCUAGAGCUUUGUGAGGGAGGUAAAUCACAGGAUGUGCCCCAACAGAUCAGGGAACAAGAGUUGCAUGUACACUGCGCGUACAAGGAGUCCAAUUCCAUGUCUUAGGAAUCGAACCCUCAUACUGCGACUGUCAGCAAGGCGUGUGACAACCUCACUCCGGUCCUUUGCACCACUAGGCUAUAUCCCGGGAGGCAUAUUAAUGCUUUUCUUUAUUCUACUUAAAGUAAAUACAAGUAUAUGUAAACCUUUAAGUAAUUCUUUACUUCCUUCUCAUUACAUCUCAAGACCUUUCUUUGAUUCUGCACUUUUAAGUCAUUCUUUACUUCAUUCUCAUUAAAUCUAAAUACCUUUCUUUGAUUAUCCAUAUUAUACCUCUUGAGUUAAUUACGAUUUUUGUGUCUAGAUAUUUUUCUAUUUGGGUUACUAUUAGUAAGAAUAACUCUUAAGUUUGUAAGGGACAAAAUAAAAAACUUAAUUAAUACAACUUUUUAUCAAUUAAUUGGCAACACAAAGGGGUAGCAAUCAAAGUCAAGUUUUUUUAUCCAAUUGCUGAGACGUAUUGGAUAUGUAAUUAUUGAAUUAAACGUGCGAUUUCACUCGUUUAGUGGAACAGUUUUCGAAAUUAAUAUUCAAGCCCGAGUUUAAAAUAAGAUGAUUUGGAGCUUGAAUUGUGUCAAGUCAUUGGCUUCGAUGAAGCCACACUAUUGGGUUGAUAGAAGGAUGAGAUUCACAAUAAGACGACAAACCUCGUGGGAUAUAAAUAAGAUGAUUACUUUUGUACUUUAAGAUGAUUUCAAUCUCCGUAAUCUUAUUUCUUUAGAUUUGCACGGUAAAUACUUACUCUUAAAUCAAAUUAAUACACUGACAUGAGGACACACCACUUUGUUAGUAAAGAUAGGAGAGACGCUCCAGGUGUACCAAGGGUAUAGUAAUUUCAACAUUGUCAUGGAUAAAUCAGUGAAUGACGAAAUCCUUGGACAACCCGCCAUGAAGCAUGCAAAUAUAAUCAUCUUCCUCCAUCAAUUGCAUGUGAGGUAUUCCAUGAAUAAAGGUGAAAUGUUCUUAAAGUAUAAUCAAAGAAACCUGCUUAUGAACCAUAAAAUCAAUAAAAAAAUGAGACAUGAAAGCUUUUCCGUUAGCUCAACAGAUGCGAGUAAAGCUUUAAAAAUUGGCAAGGAAUUGAGUGAACCCAUAAAAGGAUUGUUAAAAAACAUCCUAGUUGCUAACAUAGGUAUAUUCCCUUGGAAACAUGCUGACAUUAUGAGGAUAGAUCCCAAAGUCGCUUCUAUGCAAAAAUUAAGCCUAAGAUGCAAAGGUGGAUAAACUAUUAGAGAAUGCUUUUAUUCACAAAGCUUAAUAUCUAGCGUGGGUAUGUAAUUCAGUUAUAGUACCAAAGAGCAAUGGAAAAUAAAGAACGUGCCAAAAUUUUAAACUUUGUUCUAAGGACAUGAUGCGAACCCGUGAGCAACAAACACUCGAGAACCGACAACGAGAUUGCCACAGUUCCCAAGAACGUCAAUGGAUCGAUGGUUUUGGAUUUAAUCCCUAAACAAUGACUCAAACAACUGUUAAUAUAUGAAAUUAACGACAUUUUGAAUACACGGUUUAAGAAUCCCACCUGGGUUUUGUUGAACGCCAUGAAAAAAUCAUCCCAAUAAAUUCGAAUUGUCCAUCAAAGACAAGGUUUUGAAGCAACGGCUUCGGAAGAAAAAACUCUCAUUCAUUAAUUCAUCAAAGUCUCGUUACAAUGUAGAAUAAAAUUCCUAUUUAUACUAAGACUAGGAAACUAAUUAAAAAAACCUAAUUAAAAAAUAAAUAAAUAAAUAAAAUAAAAUUAUAAUAACACCUAGAAUCCUAGUCUAAAAGGAAACUAAUAAUAUACCACUAAUUAACAUCCUAAUUAACUUAAAGAUAUUAAAAAUAUUAGAAUACUAAUCAAAUAAGGGGACAAAUAUUAAAGGAUCACCCAAACUGUCGGCCAUAUAGAAUUAUGUCAAUUUGGUAACUAGCGCCCAAUUGAAACUUUCCGCCUUUGGCAUAACUGUGCAAAUUUGGAAUAAAAUCUGCUUCGGACUCCACUGUGCGACGGCACCGUUACCUGUAUUGCGGCCGCAUGGCUCACAUGUUGAGUCUCCAAAUUUUCCCCGCAUGUUUGGUGCGACCGCAAGGCUUGGAGAGCUAUGCGGUCGCAUAGCUCUUGGUUUUUGGCUGCACUUUCGGCUGGAAUUAACAAGCUGUUCCCAAUUGAUUUGGACCUCGGUUCCUUCUUCAAACUUACUCAUUGACUUGUGAAAUUCAUGGUUUUGAACCCCGUUGAUUGAAUAUAUAAGUGACCAGCGUUAUUAGCUUCUUUGAAGUCUCGACUUGGCUCAAGUCCUUCAACGUUUACACCUACACUUCUCCAACCGGUUUUGCCAUUCACGCCCAGCAUGAAUAGUGACAUUUGGCUCAAUAACUUCAACAUCUUGAAUUCCAUAGCUUGAUCAGGAGUUUUGCCAGCUUGAUCAACCCUAAUUGGCCUCCAAAUGAGCGUGAACUUUGGUAUCUAUCGACCUCCAACAAUCUUCAAAUAAUUGAUAAUUAGUGGCGUAACCUGAUUUAUAUCAGGACAGCUCUCCUCUCCCCAGAAUUGAUCGGCUAGUAGAUGCCACUGCGGGACACGAACUGUUAUUGACCUGACAAGGAAUAUACCACAUUUGUAAUAGAUCAGGGACUAUACUGUUUAAUAUUAUGUCAUUUGAACUAAAAAAUAUUGGGACUGAGUGCCAAAGAUCAGUGAAAAGAAUGUUCCUAGAUCGGAUAGAAAAAUGGUGGAAGUAUACGUUGAUGACAUACAUGUAAAAAACCUUCAGGUUGGAGACUUUUUAAAACAUCUAGAAGAGGCUUUCAACAUAUUGGGAAAAUAAAGGAUGAAACCUUAUCCGUUGAAAUACUCCUUUGGAGAACCCCGACAAAAUUCAGGCCCUCAUAAAAAUAUGUCCCCAUCUAAAUCAAAGGAGGUACAAAACCUAAAGGAAAGAGUCGUCGAUCUAGGAUAUUUUGUAUUACGUUUGAUAAAUUGCUGCCUAACCUCUUGUAUUUAUCAUUUUUUACAGACAAUUAUAUGAUUUGAAGUGAAUUUGAAAGAAAGAACGAAAUAUUGGUGAAAAUGGAUAAAAUUCAAGGUUCGGGGAUCAAAUUGAAAUUAUCUAGUAGUUAAUUCAGAUCACAAAGCGAUAAUUGGAGAUAGUAAGAAGUUAAAAAGGAAUGAAAUAUAAUCAAAGAAUCUUCACAAAUCAAUUUCUAAUUGCAUAAGGCACAUUCCAGAUUUUAAGCCAGAGUUUAAGACUCAUUUUUGGAAUAGUCAAAGUUCGAAUUAGAAAAAUUCUUCUUCUGUAAGAAUUAUAGCCCUUUGAGUUAGUAUUCCAACACAUUAUAAAUCACCUUAAUCGGAUAUUCGGAGAGAAUGUUAUAUCCAAAAUAUUGAUGACUAAGCAAGGACAUAAUCAUGCGUGCACAAAAGGCAAUUUUCAUAUGUUAUUGCAACUCUUUUGGGAUCCAAUUUGGACAUGACUUUUGACCUAAUUUUGCCAUAUAGAAUACAUAACAUAAGCAUCCAUUAAAAGAUCUCUCUCUUAACUUUCAAAUUACAUCCCUAUCAUAAAAUCAUUUAAGAAUAGUGGGUAAAUUCAAUAUAAGUUGGAGAGUAGAAUAAAUCUUGUAAGAAAUUGAAUCAAGACACAUCAAAAACUUGAAGAAUCAAAUUUUGAGGUUGAUAAUUAAGAACAAGAGUUGGACCGUGACAAUUUCUUUCUUUUUUUCCUUUUUUUUUUUUGUAUUUAUAAAUUUCAGAUGAUGUUCUUCCAUUCUUCUUAUUGUUUUAUCAUUAGAAACAUAGUUAGCUAGGUUUCUUUGUGUUGAAUGAAAUUCAACUUUAUUGUUAUUUAUUUUAAAUUCAAGUUCCGAGUUAUUUAGUAAAUUUUUUCGUGAUUGAUCUCAUAUGCCUGCUGCAUUAUUUGAUUACUUGAUCACCAAUUAAAUAAUUAAUUACUUGUUGUAGUAGUGGAAUGCUCACAAUAGUUUUAAAAAACUAAAAUUUCAACACACAGGCGAUAGAUGUUAGGAAUAGCAUGUAUGUCAUAUGAAAUCUUGUCGACAAUCAUGUGAUUGAAUAAGUGUUAUGCAUAUAAAUUUGGAAUAGGAAGAUGAUUUGGUCGUGUUUAGGAUAUAAUUAACUUAUCUUGGAAAAUAAAGUUAAAUAAAAUUGAAUUACUGAUUGUCAUGUAUGCACAAAUUAUGUUAAAAUAUAUAUGUAGAGAAUUGAAAAUAAAAUAAUAAUAGGUGAAUUAGAAUUCCAACACAUACAACCCAUAUUUAGUUAGAAACAAUUGUAGAUAAUUUAGCUAUAACCAAAACAUCCCUUUUGUUAUUUACAUUCGAAUUUGAUAGCGAGUUGAUAAAUUUCAAUAUAAUGCUUAUUUCUCGUGGGACGAUACUCUUAAUUCACUUAAUCUAUUACUUGUCAACGACCACAUAUACUUGCGGAUUUUUUUGUCAGAACGAGUCUUUGGAGCUGUUGCACAGGAAUAAAGUUUUUAAACUCAAUUUAUUAAUUUGAACUGGAUUUAUUUUAUUAUUUUGUUAAUUUUAGCUAUCCAUCAUGAUCUCUCUUGUGUUUGGUGGUUUUUAUAUAAUACUCAAUAGUAUAUGUAUGAUUCUAACAAUUACAAGGGAGUAAAAUGGUUGUAAUAAGCAAUCUCGACAUGGAUGAUAAUAAUAUGCUUGUAGAAGAUAUAUAUUGUGAGCUUUUUUAUAAGAUGCAUUAUAUUGAGCAUUGUUUAUAAACAUGCCAGACUCUCGCAAGUUAAAGCUUCUGUAGUUUAUAAGAUGUCGAAAACAAAUAAUUGACAAAUAUAAUGAAAUCUACAUGAUUGUGGGAGAUUAUGCAUCUAUCGAUUGUGAUGAGGAUAUCAUACUUGUGGGAGAUGGUCCUCCUUUGUCGAAGAAAAAAGUACUUGCAGAAUAUUUUAAUAAACGUACCAAGUUGGAUGAUAGCAACACACAUGUGGGAGAUGGGAUAUACCGGCUUUAAUUUAAGAGGAAGGGACAUAAUUCACUUGAAACGGUUGAAAAUAAAGAGUUAUUAUUGCCCAUGGAUUUAGACUGGGAACCGACUAUUCAACCUUAAGGAACAUCAACUAUUAAAAAGAGCAUAAAGAGAAUGAUAAAUUAUUCACAAAGGAACUAAACAAAUAAGUGAUAAUUAAUGAAGAUAAAAUUAACAAACAUUCUUUCGACUUCAUCGAUUUCCCAACAAUUGAAUUUAUGAUUAAGUUUGAGGAGGAGGUACAAGUAUAAAUAGUUGAUUUUGAAAUGGAUAGAAUAGGCAAGUCUUAUCACAUUGAAAUAGGUAGUGUUUUAUUUGGAGAAUCAACGAAAAGUGGAUCCAAGUCAAAAGAAGCAAACUGUGCAAGGCAUUACAGGAUUUCUUUAGAAUUUCAUGGUGUAGGUUACCAAAGUCAAGCUAAUGACUACAAACAAGCGUUUAUUGGGAAGCAACCUGAUUUUCUUCCCUUUUAUUUAUUAUAAUUUCUAAAAUAAUAGGUUGAGUUAUUCCAUUUUACUAGAAUCAAAUCGACAAAAUGAGUUGGCAAAUUGUGAUUGGAUGAUUGAAAAAUGUUUUUUACCCAACUACCCAUGAAAUGCCGCUAGAUGUUAAUGUGGGUCAAUUAUGGUAAAAUCAAUCUAGUAAUGUAGUAUGACUCUAAUAGGUUAGAUAUUUUAAAUUGAUUUUGUGUGUUAGUUAGUAAUUUAAGUAUCUUCAUCCCUAUAUUGUCCUAUAGAUUGUUUUUGAGCUUAUUAUAAAUUAUUUCAUAUUAUUAUGAUUGAUUUCUCUUUAUUAUGUAGGAACAUGACAAUUGAAAAUGUAACUAACAAUGGAUAAGGAAAAUAUUAAUUGAUAUUUAUCGAUGUGAAUUUUGACACUCUUUAAGUUUAGCAUUAUAAAGGAAUGAGUUGAUUCAUAUUUGAUAGGUUGAAAACAGUGGCCUUAGAUGCUGAACAAAACAAUCACUAUAAUAUAUAUCCUUAAACAAAUUUUAGGAUGGUUUAGAGGAGAUUGAACUAUUGUAGGAAGAUAUUGAGAUGAAUUGGGAUUUUAUGUGUACAAACUCUUAUGUGAAUUGUCUAAGGCCAAUAAUAUGAAAAAUAGGUUAAAAUCUUGAGUUAAAGACUGCUUUAUGAGAAUGAGGGUUUAAUAAAGGGUAUUGUAUUGAUCAUUAUAUGGAAAGGGAAAAAACUACCAUGUCGUGAACCUACCCUGUAAAAGAUCCCAAAUGAGGACACUUGUUGAAAACACCAAAAAGAAAACUAAAAAAGGGGAUCAAGUUUGUGCAUGAAAUAGAAGACAUACUAAAUGUCUUGAUUAAGCCCUAAACAUUUAUUUGAGUGAAUUAGACAUUUGGAUAGGAAUUAUUAGAUAAGCUGAUUCUUAAAGGCUGAAACAAUCAAAAUAAAAAAGAAUCCCUAUUUCUUGAGCUAUUGACUUGCCAUUAGUAAGGUCUAUCCAAAUUCGAGAGUGCAAGAAUUAGUAUAUAAAUUCAUCCUUAGAAUAUAGCUUGGAAAUGUGAGUUAAAAGAAUAAGUUUCAGGGUGUGUAUCUUAAAAGUGAUAACCAAUAUGGGUUGUUAAAUGAAACAACUUAUGAAUUUAUGAUGUUUUACUUAAUUUUCCAUAUGCAUACAUCAAUUUUGCAUUGGAUAAGUAGAAAUUGAUUUAUGUAUUGUGAUUUUGAAGUUGUUCAUGAAUUUAAUACAAUGAUUAAAAAUAAGAGCAAAUGACAAGCUAUUAUUGCAUUACUUGAUUGACUAGCCACCAUUAUGUAAUUAGCAUUGCAUGCUUGUUCGUUGAUAAUAUUUAUUAUUAUUAUUAUUAUUAUUAUUAUUAUUAUUAUUAUUAUUAUUAUUAUUAUUAUUAUUAUUAUUAUUAUAUACUUAAUAGGCCAUUAAACUAGAAUAUUUUGUAUUACUUUUGAUAAAUAUAGUGUAACCUCUUGUAUUUUUCAUUUAUUAGAAACAACUCAAUGACUUGAAGUGAAUUUGGAAGAAUGAACAUAAUAUUGGUGAAAUGGAUGAAACUCAAAGUUCACGGAUCAAAUUGCAAUUAUCUAUAGUUGAUUUGGAUCACAAAUCGAUAAAGGAGAUUGUUAGGGUCAAUUGGAUGCAACAAAAAGUCAAAAAGGAAUGAAAUAUAAUAAAAGGAUAUUCACAAAUCAAUUUCCAACCUAAAUCAAUUUUCAAAUGAUUCACUUGAUCAGUAAGAAAUCCAAUCUGACUAACAAACACCUAAUUCUUGUUCUUUUUCAAGUUCAUGUUUUUUCUUUUGUUCAAGUACCGAUGACAUCUAGGGCAGAUAUGACCUAACUCACAACAAUGAUAGCAUGUAGGGAUAAACCAAGGACCUGUGUUAUCUGAGCGCUGACGCCUAUUCCUAGGUCGACUGGCUCUAUGCUUUCUAGUAGACCUCUGUUCUACAGAUCCCUUGUCUUUAGGUUCAGGGUUAGGUACAUUUUUAGGCUGGUUUGUGGCAGGGACAAAUGUGUCUUGGAUGUGCUAGCAACAUUAUGAUUUUUACACUUUUAUCCCAGACUUCCCUUAUUGCCAGUCGGCUUACCCAUUCCUAGAAUAUUAUCUAACUGUAACGAACCACAAGUGAAGGCAAGCAGUUGAGACUUAGAAUGUUCUAGAUUGCUCACAAGGUUUUUAAAUUGGAUUUCUAAAGUCUCAUUCUUGGUGGUCAGCUCAUUAACUUUCCAAGAGGGCCUCUUGAGCUCACUGGUAAGAUUUUUAACCUAAGACUCUAAGGAUUCAUUCAUCAUUUUAAGUUCACUCAGGAUUGUGGAAGAUUCCUUAGUGUAUGCUACUAACUUCUCUUUCUCCAACUGAAGCUCCUUAACUGUCAUACUUAAGGUGUUGUUCUUACUAAGAAUUUUAAGACUCUACUGAUACAUUUUCUCAUAUGCCUCUUUAAUAUCUUCAUCAUUUACAGACUCAUCACAAGAAUUCUCACCACUAUCUAUGUCCUCAUCCCUCUCAUUCCCAUGUUUGGAUCCACUCUUAACCCUAUCAAUGAAGGCAACAUAUUUUCCACUUUCCACACGAGUGGAUUUUUCACUCUGAUUGUCCGAGCAAGACUCGUCAUCAGUGAGAGUAGUAUUCAUAGGCUUCUCUUCGACUUUCUUAGAAUUAGGGCACUCUUUCUUAACAUGACCUAUACCUUAACAAUUAUAGCGCCUCAAAAAUUUGGAUCUUCUCCUAGAUUCACUCGCACCACAUCUCGAUCUCUCUUGCAGUGUCUUAUUCCUAAACAUCUUAUGAAAUUUUUUAGCUAGGUAGGUCAUCUCCUCAUCAUUGGGUAAAUCUUAGUUUGAAGAUUCGAUCUGAUAAUUCCUAGCAGAUUUGAAGGCCAAGGGCUUUUCCUUAGCUAAGUUGCCUACAAUCAGCUCAUAGGUCUGGAUGGAUCCAACUUGCUCUUCUAGCUUAAUAGUCUCUAUCUCCUUACUUUCCUCAAUUGCCGUGACUUUAGGCCUAAAAUGCUUGGGUAAGGAUCUAAGGAUUUUUCUCACUAUUUUAGGCUUGGAGAUUUUCCUACCUAGGUUGAAAGAUGAAUUCACAAUGUCGUUUAGGCAUGCAUAGAAUACAGCAAGGUCUCAUCCUGAUCUCUUCAAACCUAGUAGCCAAUAUCUGCAAUUUCAAGUUCUUAACUGCUUGUGUUCCCUCAUGUGUGAUUUCUAAAAUAUCCCAAACUUCUUUCACUACCUCACACAUGGACACUCUCCUAAAUUCCUCAAGAAAAUAUCCAUAAAAAUGGUAUAAAAGGCUUUUCUAUUCCAGCUGUACCUAUCUAGUUCAGCCUUAGACCAAUUUUCUAUGGGGAUGGGAGUAAUGACAUUGCCAACCAUUGUACUAGGAAUAGACCUACCGUUAACUACGCUCAACCAAAUCUUUUAAUCCAUAGAUUUCAAGAACACCCUCAUCCUAAUUUUCCAGUAGGCAUAAUUAUUACCAUCAAAAUAGGACGGCACGCUCAACAAGAUACUCAUUUGGACAAUGAAUGGUCAGGAAACAUGUUUAGGCACUGAUACCACUUUUUGAGAAUUUGUAACAUUCUAAUAUCACUUUAAGUUUUAGAGUUACCAAUUUUACGUUCUAGAUUACCGAUUAGUUUGACUUUACGUGCGGAAUUGACUAAUUAAAGCAAACACGUCACUUCUAAUUAGUUUCUAGAUGAUUAAGCAUAUAAUUCAAUUAAACCUAUGUUUGAUUACAACAAUUUGUAAUAAAUUACUAGAAAUUAAAGAAUACAAAAUUUGAUGACGGAGAAACCCAAUGUGGGAAAAACUUCGGGAUCAAGCCAGUUACUUCCACUAUAGACAGCUCAGGGGAUACACAACAAUUUCAACUCUUGUAUCCACUAAGACCCCCUGUCACAGUCUUACGAUCUACUUCCGUAAAUACCUCUAGCCUGCUAGACCUCCUGUAGCCUCCUGCUAGACUUCCUAAUCUAUCUUCUGCACUGAAUGUCUCUCCAAGUGGAACACUCUGUUCUUGUGCUUGUAACUGCGCUUCUAUCCACCUCUCUCACUUCUCCAAUGAGAGAGUCCCUUGCUUUAUCAAUUAAGGAAGCACGGUGUUUUGUAUUCACAAGCCUUGAUGUUUUCUCAUUUCUAGGUUACUAGAUCACAAGAUGAAUGUGUUUGAUUCUCCCAAUUGUAUUUCGUUCUUGGAUCACAAUGAUGAUAUGAAAGUUAUGGAGAUGAAGAAUAAUGUGGCAAAACCCCUCUCUCACAUCCCAGACUUUGCUUUUUAUAAUUGGGGGUAAAUAAGUGUCUUGGGCCGAAUGAAAUUAUCCAAAACACGGUCUAGGAAUUGGCCACGUAACACUGUCAUUCGAGCAACACUUCAGCAAGAAGUGAGUGAUAGCUUCUUCGCUCAAACGAUUCCUGGGCGAACAAUGAGGGACGAUGGUUCUGCUUCCUCCGCUCGAGCAAUACCUUGGCUAGUAGCUAGCGAAAAAAUCGACGAGUCUUCUACCUUGUUCCAAACUCAACCCUAGCCUAAACCAUCUAUACAAAUUGCAAUCCAAGUCACUGACUUUUACAUCAUGUUCAAUUUAGUCCCUUUUGUUCAUAGAGUUACCAAUUACAAUAUAAAACCUAGCACUCUUACCUUUCAAGUUACAUCCAUAUUAUAAAAUCAUUCAAGAAGAAGGACAAAUUCAAUAUAUAUUGGAGAGAAGAACAAAUCUAGCACGGGAUUGAAUCACAAAACAUUAGGAACUUGAAGAAUCAAAUCUUGGGAUUGAUAAACAAGAACAAGAAUUGUACCAUAACUUCUCCUUUUUGUAUUUAUAAAUUGGAUAACCCUUGUGGUGCAUCACCCUUGGUACACAAGGGUGUCCACCUGUACCCAUAGAUCAACCCUUAUAAAUUUCGGGUGAAGUUCUUCCGUCAUUCUUUUUGUUUUAUCAUUAGAAACAUGUUUAGAUAGGCUUGUUUGUAUUGAAAGAAGAUGAACCUUAUUAUUAUUUAUUUUUAAUUCAAAGACCAAGUAGUCUAUUAAAUUUGUUUUCUUGAUUGAUCCUAUAAGCUUAUUGCAUGUUUUAAUUGCUUGAUCACUAAUUAAAUAAUUAGUUGCUUGUUGUCGUGUUGGAAGUCUAACAAUAGGUUUAGAACACAAAAGUUUCUACGAAUGAGCAAUAUAUGCUAGAAACAAAUGUAUGUCGUGUGAAAUCUUGUUGAUAAUCGUAUUAUUAAAUGCAUGCUAUGUAUAUAAAUUUGGAAUAUGAAUAGAACCGGGCUGUGUUUAGCAUAUAACUAGCUUAUCUUGGAAAAGAGAGUUAAAUAAGUUUGGAUUAUCGAAUCUAGUGCUUACAAAAAUAAUGUUCAAUUAUAUUGGUCAAGAAUUGGAAAUAAAAUAAUAAUAGUUGAAUUGGAAUUCCAGCACAUACAUCCCAUAUUUAAUUAGAAACAUUUGUAGAUAAUUUGGCUAUAACCAAAUCAUUCAUUUUGUUAUUUACAUUUGAAUUUGAUAACGAGAUCAUAAAUUUCAAUUUGAAACUUAUUCUUUGAGGAACGAUACUCAUAACUUACUUAAUCUAUUACAUGUCAACGAGCCCGUAUGCUUGCGGGUUUUGUCUGAACAUGUACUACAUAAGUAAAGCCCUUCAAAAAGCCGAGGCAAGAUAUAUGAAUAUUGAAAAGAUGGCCCUCGCCUUAGUUAUAGCGUUGCAAAAGUUUUGACCAUAUUUUUGGAGUCACAACAUUGAAGUACUAACUAAUUUCCUAAUCAAGCAAGUAAUGCAAAAACUUGAUGCAUUAGGGAGAUUAUUGAAAUGUGCUGUAGAGCUGAGUCAAUUUGAAAUAAGAUACAAAAGCGAUCCGCAAUCAAAGAACAAGAAUUAGUUGACUUUAAUGUGGAAUUGUAAAUUGUUACCGUUCUUGAGGAAGAGUAUGAAGAGUGAAUGUGAAAUUUAUUUGAGGAUAGAUCAUUUGGAGAAAUCGAUUGUGGAAUAGUCAUAAUCUUGACAAGCCGAAAAUGACAUUAAAUGAAUCGUGUAUUAAGGUUCACAUUUUAAAGAAAUCAACAACGUGGCUGAAUAUGAAGCUUUAUUGGUAGGUUUACAACUGGAAAAAGAAAUGUGAGCUAAAAAAAUAAAAUUAAAAAGUUACUCAAGAUUGGUAGUAAAUAAAGUGAAAUGAAAGUUUACAACCAAGGAUAAAAUAAUAGUUGUUUGCUGUGUAGAAGACAUAAGAUCAUUUCAGUGUUUCAACAAGUUCAAAUUCAAUCAAAUCUAUAGAGAGGAGAAUAAAUACACGAUGCCUUGUUGAAAUUGGCAAGUUCAGAGGACACAUAAACUAUUUAAGACAGAACGUGAUGUGAACCCGAUCAGCAAUGUUGCAAUCAAGCCCACAGAGGAAUGACUCAAACCCCAAAAAAGAUAGAAAACAAAGUUUAUGGAAUUAACCCACAAUUAAUGAAUCAAACAACCAACAGAAUCACUAGGAUAUGCUGACCUUUUGAUUACAAUAUUUAUGAAAAUCAAAUCCAAAAUUUAAAGUUUGACUCGAAGAAUUAAAUGAACCAGAAACCAAGACAAUUACUAGAAUACCUUGACCCCAUGAUUGCACAACCCACGAAUCGCACUUUGAUUGUUGAACGCCUCGAGAGAUUCUCGAUAAGUUUGGAAUUGUUCGCGAAGAACAAAGAAAGGAAGUAAACAUGCCUCUGAAUUAAUUCAAUUGUCAAAAGUCUGAAUACAACUAGAAACAAAAUCCUAUUUAUACUAAGCCCUAAAAUGAAUGGAAAAAUGUGCAAAUAGAGUCCUAAAAACUAUAAAGUUGCCAAAAUAGGAAAUUUAGUAAAAUUAAAAGUCUCACGAAAAAAAAAAAUCCUAUUUAAAUAUGUUGCUCAAGCGACAUCGAGCGAGAAGCGAGGGACGCUAUGUUGCCCGAACAAAACCCCCACGAAGAGUGAGCGAAGUUGAUUUUACUUUUCUCGCUCGAGCGAGGUUCCAGCGGACGGCGAACGAAAAUUUGGCAAGUUUUUAACCUCGUUCCAAAUUGUUUUAAUUGCUUCUUUGACCCUCGAACUUUCACUAACAUGCUUCUUAACUUGUAAACUUCAUCUCACUGAAUUCCAACACUUGAACAAGUAAUUGUAUGGCUCGUACCCCCUCUAAUUAGCCUCGAUCAUGCCCUUUGCAGCUUCUCCAUGAACACUGAAUUCUUGAUCACCUUCGGCCUAGCCCAGUUCACACAGACCCUUUCUCUUCAAGAGGUGGUUCAAAGACUUUGCAACUUCCAUCUGCUUGGCCAUAACUCAGUUCUUGAUUGUGACUUCGAUAUUCCACCAGGUUGUUGUAGAAUGAUUCUCCCAUGCUCAUAAAAUCCUCCAAUGGCAAUACAUAAACUGGAUAUUCAAAUGGGAAUAUUCCUUUGGCAAAAUCUUCAUGCAAUAACAUUUUAUAAUCCUGCAACAAAGAAUUAUGAAAACUGGGGAGGGAUAUGUUAGCCUUUACCAACUCACUUCCACCACCAAGCUCACUCUUCUUUACAAAUAAGAUCUCCUUUCGUUUGUCUUUCACUUUUCCCUCAUCGCCUUUCAACCUCAACUAAUCAUCAUACCUAUUUCUAUUCCCAUCAUGCUUCACCUUCCUAUCGUAUUGCUAAGGCCUACCCAAUAAGAUAUGCCCCGCAUCCAUUGGCACAACGUCAUACAAUACCUUAUCCUUAUACCUCCCAAUUGACAAAUUAACCAACAGCCUCCUAUUAACCUUAACUUCUCCUUUAUCAGCUAACCAUUGCAAUUUAUAAUGUUUUGGGUGUUUUUAUCAUCUCUAAUCCCAACUUUUUUACAAGUGUGUAACUAGCUAUAUUUGUACAACUACCCUCAUUAAUAUUCAAGUUGCAUACCUUAUCAUUGAUGUGGCACCGUGUAUGAAAGAUAUACUUUCGAUGCUCUUCUCCGUCAACCUUGAUUUUUGCUUUGAGUGCACGCAUCAAGACAAGCGCUUCUCCUUCAACCGGAUAUUCCACUACAUCACCAUUACUAACUUCUUCCAACUUAGGCAUUUCUUUCUCAUCACUGUCACUCACCACUUCUCCACUAUCCUUCAAGCUCAUAGCUCGUUUGUUUGGACACUAGGAAGCAAUGUGUCCUGUUCCCAAGCACUUGAUGUCUUGACUCCUAGGUUGUGGUGGUUCUGCCUUCAGUUCAACCUUGCUGGCAUUGUCAUCCAUUCUCCUAGGUGGUUCAAUUUUAUUGCUGCCACUAGCCCCACCAACCUUUUCUUCAUCCCAUCUAGACCUCCACUAUGAAUUAGGCCCUGUUUGACCUCUAGCUGCCCCCUUUUGCUUCAACUGCCUUUCAACCUUCAUCGCCACAUGUAGCCUAUCCUCCAAUUCCACAUAAUGCUGUAAUUCAACAACAUUGGAGAUGUCUCUGUUUAACCCAUUCAAAAAAUGAGCCAUAGUGGCUUUCCUAUCCUCCUCCACAUUAGCCCAAAUAAUUAGAAUUUUCGUUCCUUUGAGGUAAUCUUCCACACUCCUCGACCCUUGGUACAACCCCUACAACCUUUGAUGAAGCUCUCUAUAACAGUUGUUAGGAAAAUAUUGUAAUUGGCAAUCUGUGACCAAAAGGACCAAUUUGUCAAGUUUGUGAAGUCAAGGACUAAUUUGUAAAGGUCUAAAAGUUCAGUGACUUGUGUUGCAAUUUAGCAAAAAUUAUGGUAUAGGUCUAGGGUAAAGUUGGGUGCCUUGAAGAUGAAAACGGCGCAAGAUCACUUAGAGUUUCGCCUUAACCUCGCUCGAGCUUAAAUAACAGAACCUAUCUCGCUAGAGUUUCGCCACUGCUUCGCUCGAGCGAAAAUGCGCCGCUAGAGUUUCGCCGGCACUUCGCUCGAGCGACAGUACUAUCUAACUUUUGGUAAUUUUCCUUCCUUGCAAUUUUUAGAUGCUCCAUACUGCCAAAAAUGACCUCAUAUAUAUUCAGAAGUCCCAUUUUUCAUACAUAACCUUUGGAAAAACACAAUUGAAAGAUUUUUCUUCUCGACCAAAGGAUCAACUUCAUAAUUCCUUCUUUUCAUCACAUGUCUUAUUGAAGAAAAACAUCAAACAUCUCUUAAAACAAAACACCUUUCAAAAAUCCUCACUACUUCCAGAAGAUUGACUGAUUGAAGAUUCGGGAAGGAGAUUGAUUGAAGAACUGGAGUUCUUAUUGAUUCACGGGAAAUAGAAGAAGAACAAGGCUGGGAUUUUGGGGCAGAUCUGUAAAAUCCAGGAGAGCUUUUGUUGAUACAGUAAGGAUGUCAGAGUGUUGCUAGAUACAGUCAUGUCUGGCGUACUGUAAGUUGAAGUCAUCUAUAGUGAAUCCCUACUGGCUUGUGCCAAGAGUUUUUACCCAGUUGGAUUUUCUCCGUCAACAAUUUAUUGAGUUAUUUAUUACUUUAUGUCAUUUUUAAUUCAACUGGAAAUUCAACAUAGGUAGUUAAAUUAUGUGAAUGAAUCUGGACAAAGUUUAAUUUAUGUGACUUGUUGCAUAAGUUGAUUGAAUUGUUAAAAUCCACAUAAACACCUAUUCACCCCCCUCUAGGUGUUGUUUGGGUCGAACUAUAGUCUUUUCAAGUGGUAUCAGAGCCAAAUCUCGAGUCCUGACCCAUAGUUGUCUAGAUGAGUCAAUCACUUUCUGUACCUCCGUACUUUGACGGAAGUAAUUAUGCUUACUGGAAGGUUAGAAUGCGUGCAUUUCUUAAGUCUCUAGAUGAGCAUGUUUGGGUGAGUGUGCAAAAUGGCUGGAAACCUCUCUCCACUACCGUAUCAGGAACUAUUAAUCUUACUGAUAUAUCACUAUGGACUAAGGAUGAGAUAGCUGAGUGUAAUUGGAAUAGCAAGGGACUUCAUGCCUUGUUUAUGGCCGUGUCUCCCGAAGAGUUUAGGAGAGUGUCAAUGUGCGAAACUGCUAAAGAAGUUUGGGACAUUGUUGAAACUACAUAUAAGGGAACUAAAAUGGUAAAGAACUCGAAAUUACAAAUGCUAGCUUCUAGGUUUGAAGAAGUAAGGAUGAAGGAUGAUGAAACCUUUGAUGAAUUUUAUGCAAAACUGAAUGAUAUUGUUAAUUCUAGUUUCAAUCUAGGCGAGAGAAUUCUCGAUUCUAAAAUUGUUAAAAAAGUACUUAGGUCUUUGCCCGAGAGAUUUAGGCCUAAAGUUACCGCCAUUGAGGAAAGUAAGGAUCUAGAUGAAGUUAAGAUUGAAGAACUUGUAGGGUCCUUGCAAACUUAUGAACUCACUGUCACACAACCUAAGAAAGGAAAGUCCAUUGCUUUAAAAUCCAUCAAAGAGGAUGAAUCUUCUGAUACUGAGUCUCUUAGGGACGAUGAAUUGCAUAUUUUAUUAAGAAAUUUCAAAAGGUUCUCAAGAAUAGGAGAAAGCAUCAGGAUAGAAAAAGUGGAGACCCUAGCAGAUUCUGAAAGGAAAAAAUUGAAAGGUUCAACAAUAAAGGUUCUAGUGAUAAACCACAUUUGGUUAGGUGCCAUGAAUGUCAAGGUAUAGGUCACUAUAGGAAUGAGUGUCCUAGUUAUAAGAAGAAUCAAAGAAAAGGGAAAGGUAAGGCCUUAGUUGUUUCACUUAUAGAUAACGAAUCUUAGUCUAGUGAUAGGUAGGAAUCAUCUAGUAGUGAAGAUGAAGGGAACUAUAUAACAUUUGUGUCGACUGUUAAGAGUGAAUCUGAUAAGGAGAGUGACAAGGUUGAGGAAGAACUUCACAACAAUAAUUCUAGUAAUGAGGAUGAGGAUGAUAUAGACAUGCAAGAGGCCUAUCAACUCUUGUUCAAGGAGAGUCUUAAAAAAAAAGGUCAAUAAAGCCCUACUCAAAAAGGUUGAUGAACUUGAAAGAGAAAAAGAGAGACUUGCUAGUAAUCUUCAGAAUUCACUUAAGAGUGUUAGUGAGUUAAAAUGUGUCAAUGAGAAGUUAGAAGACAAGGUUAAGACAUUGACUAGUGAAUUGGAGAAAUCUAAUGCUCAUCUUCAGACUUUCAUAAGUGGGACUAAGAAAUUGGAUGAUAUUUUAGGAAUGAAUAGGCCUGCGGGAGAUAGGAAAGGUCUAGGAUAUGUUGAGGAUAAUACACAUAUUGCUAGUCCAUCUAGGACUGUAUUUAUUUCUGCCUCUAUGACGUCUAACGUUGUCAGCAAUCCAAAUAAGGGUAAGAAUGUUUCGAGGGAACAGAGUCAUCAAUCAUGAAGGAAUAUCAUGCCCAGAUACCCACAGACACGUACUUUUGAGCCUAGGUUCAUUUCCACCUGUCACCACUGUGGAGCUCUAGGACACACUAAGCCUAGAUGUUAUAAGUUAGGCAAUGAGCGUAGAAAUCAGAAUAUUCCUAGUCAGGUUAGCUUUCUGUCUAAUCAAGUUAGUCAUUUGACUGAGAUGCUCACUAAGCUAACUAGGAGUACCUCAUCGUCUAAGAAAGUUUGGGUUAAAAAGGGGGAUCUAGCUGGACAUUCAGGUCAGGUAAAUUGUUAUGUUGCUCAUGUUGCAUUAAAAGCCCAAAAUUACAAUAUGUGGUACCUUGAUAGUGCAUGUUCUAGGCAUGUGUGGUAAAAAAGGCUUUAUUCACUACUCUUGAUGAAUGCAAUGGGGGUAUGGUUACCUUUGGAGAUGGGGGUUUUGCACCUAUUCUUGGCAAAGGUACUGUACAAAUGCAUGGAUUACCUGUGAUUUCAAAUGUACUUUAUGUGAUAGGUUUAAAGUCGAACUUAUUAAGUAUUAGUCAGAUUUGUGAUGCUGAUUUUGAGGUUAGCUUUGUGCAAAAGAGAUGUACCGUGUAUGAUUCAUCUAGUGGGGUGGUCCUUGAAAAUGCUAGAACGUCUAAUAACUGUUAUACCUAAUUCUAACUAUGUGUGUAGGAGUGCAAAAAUUGAUGUGAGUGAACUCUGGCACAAAAGAUUGGGUCAUUUAAACUAUAAGAGUCUAGUACAGCUAGCUAAAAAGGAGUUGGUAGAUGGUUUGCCUAAAAUAGGUCCUAGUGAAAAUGUUGUGUGUGGACCAUGUCAAAUAGGUAAACAACUUAAGGGAAGCCAUAAAAAGACUUCUAAAAUUCGGACCAAAAGACCCCUGGAAUGGAUACACAUGGAUUUAAUGGGACUAUCUAGGACUGAGAGUCUAGGAGGUAAGCGGUAUAUUUUGGUUGUGGUAGAUGAUUUCUCGAGGUUCACAUGGAUAGAAUUGUUUAGGGAAAAAUCUGAUGCAUGUGAUCUUAUAAAAUCUUUGUGUAAACGGCUUAGUAAUGAACUCAAUCUCAAAGUGUCCAGAAUGUGUAGUGAUCAUGGAAAAGAGUUUGAAAAAUUUAAUCUUGAGAGUUUCUGCAUGGAUGAAGGGAUACUACAUGAGUUCUCUUCCCCUAUCACUCCUCAACAAAAUGGGGUGGUUGAAAGAAAGAAUCGUAUUCGUCAGGACAUGGCUAGAGCCAUGCUUCAUGGCAAGGGACUAGCCUUACAUUUUUGGGGAGAAGCUGUUAAUAAUGCAUGCCACAUAAUCAAUAGAGUCUACCUUAGACCCAAAAUCGAUCAGACUCCAUAUGAAAUUCUAAAGGGUAAAAAGCCUAUUGUUAAAUACUUUCGUGUGUUUGGGAGUAAGUGCUACAUUUUGCAUGAUAGAGAGAACUUGAGUAAGUUUGAAUCUAAGAGUGACGAAGGAAUUUUCUUAGUGUACUCUAGAAAUAGCUGAGCAUUCCGAGUAUAUAACUCACGUACUCGUGUUGUGAUGGAGUCAGUCAAUGUUGUGAUAGAUGAUAGUGUGAGUGAAGGGGAGAAUGUUGAAAAUUGUGAUAGGAUGGACGAUAGAAACGGUGAUCUUAUAAGGUCUAGUGAUCCUACUGAACCACCUGUGUCUGAAUCAUCUCUUAGAAUACCUGAAACACCUGAAAGGGAAACACAUCCACAAGAUCGAGACAAAAAUCCUAAGGAACCAUCGUCUAGGGUCAAGUCCAAUCAUCCUAAGGACAAUAUCAUUGGGGAUCUAGAUGAAGGUAUGAGGCUUCGUAAGAGGGUACUGAACAAUCUAGCGUAUACUAGCUAUGUUUCACAGGUUGAGCCCAAGAAGGUCGAAGAGGCGAGUGUUGGGUGAAUGCAAUGCAUGAGGAACUAAAUCAAUUUGCUAGAAACAAUGUGUGGAUUUUAGUUCCUAGACUUGAAAACUGUAAUGUUAUUGGUACUAAGUGGAUCUUUAAGAACAAGAAAGAUGACCAAGGUACUAUACCAGAAAUAAGGCCAGAUUAAUUGCUCAGGGUUGUACUCAAGUUGAGGGAAUUGAUUUUGAUGAGACUUUUGCUCCUGUUGCACGACUUGAGUCCAUUCGGAUUCUGCUUGCUGUUGCCUGUACCCUAAGGUUCAAGCUUCAUCAAAUGGAUGUUAAGAGUGCCUUCUUGAAUGGACUUCUUCAAGAAGAAGUCUAUGUUGAACAACCAAACGGAUUUGUUGAUCCAAAGUUUCCCCACUAUGUCUACAAACUCCACAAAGCACUCUAUCGUCUAAAACAAGCUCCUAGAGCUUGGUAUGAGAGACUUACGUCAUAUCUUGAGGAACAUGGGUUCUCUCGAGGUGGUGCUGAUAGGACUUUAUUUAUUAGACAUAUUGAAGAAACUAUCACUAUUGCCCAAAUUUAUGUCGAUGUCAUCAUUUUUGGUUCUCCUGUUAAGUCUCUAGCGUAUGAGUUCGCCGAGUGUUUGAAGCAAGAAUUUGAGAUGAGUAUGGUUGGUGAGUUGAAUUACUUCCUUAGACUUCAGGUCAAAUAGAUUGAGGAUGGGUUGUUUAUUUCACAGUCUAAGUAUGCAAAGGAUUUAGUUAAGCGCUUUGUGUUAGACAGUAAGAAGCAUACUAGGACACCUAUGAGUACUAGCUUGAAGUUAGGUCGUGAUCCUUCAGGUAAGAGUGUAGAUCCUUCACUAUAUCGAAGUAUGAUAGGUAGUCUUCUCUAUCUCAUAGCUACUAGACCUGACAUUGCUUUCAGUGUUGGAGUGUGUGCUCAAUUUCAGGCAGAUCCCAAAGAAUCACACUUAAGCUCGGUUAGACACAUCAUUAGAUAUGUGAGUGGUACCGUUGAUCUAGGCAUUUUCUAUUCUAGAGAUUCUAAUCUUGAUUUGGCUGGCUACUCUGACGUCGAUUGGGCCGAGAAUGUAGAUGAUAGAAAAAGUAUGUUUGGGAGCUGUUUCUACAUGGGUAGCAAUCUCGUAGUCUGGUUAAGUAAGAAACAAAUUCCAUAUCCCUAUCCACGACAGAGGCCGAAUACAUAGCAGCUAGGAGUUGCUGCACUCAGCUUCUCUGGACGAAGCAGAUGCUGAGUGAUUAUGGGAUUAAUCAAGGGACCAUGACUAUUUUCUAUGACAAUACCAGUGCUAUAAAUAUCUCUAAGAAUCCUAUUCAACAUUCUCGAAUGAAAUAUAUUAACAUACGACAUCAUUUUAUUCGUGAACUUGUUGAAACACAUGUUGUCUCCCUAGAUCAUGUCUCUACUGACAACCAAUUGCCCAAUCUACUUACGAAACCACUAGAUGGGUUGAGGUUUGAGUCGUUUCGGACGGCUGUUGGUAUUUGUUUGCCUAUCUGAUCAUGGAUUCAUGCCUAUUCAUGCAUUUAUCACAUCUACACUUAUUCACUUCAUAUCUUGCAUGUGAUCAAUGUGUGUGUGGUGCAUUUUGAUUGUUGGUUCGUCUUUUAGUUUUGUUUUGUUUACUAAGUUUGUGUGCUUUACAAAAAAAAAAAAAAAAAGGAUUUUCUUUUUGUGUGCCUCUUGUGUGACUUUAUGACGUUUGCAUUUAGAAUUAAACUCUAUCUUUCAUCAUAUGUACGAGUCUGAGGUUCCAUCGUAGUUCUCAUUUUCUGUGGAGUUCUUGGUAUAUGGCUCAUUAUGCAUUUUCACACAACACACUGUAGUUCUGUAGGUGAGUCUUGACCACAUGGGUGAGACUUGGGAUGGUAUUCUUCUGUGAUUGGGGUUGUUUGUCCAUUUGACUUGAUCUGUGGCGAGUGUAACCUAUUCAAUUCUGUCUUUCCCCAUUUUCUAUGUUAUUAUCUGAACUUAUGUCUAUCUUCGGGGUCUAUUUGACUCGAACAAUUAAGCCUUAGGGGGUUCUAACCUGGUGCCCUAUGGUCAUUUGGCUUGGGAGUCACCGGCCUAAAGUUCGUUACCGGGGUCAUUUCUAUCGCCUAAUGAGGGUACAAUUACACCUAAGUUCUUAUGUUAUAUAUAUAAAAUUAAAUGCUGCCUCAUUAAAACCUUGCUAAGAAAAUUCAAUGGGACAAAACCUAAGCGAAGGAAAAAGAGUACAGCUACUCCCCCUGAUGUUGCUCACAGAAAAUCUUUGAGUCGGUGCAUUCAAAUCUCAUGAACUAAUUUCUUGAAUGUAGAUGUUGGCAGUGCUUUUGUGAAUAGAUCAACCACAUUGUCACUUGAGCGAAUUUGUUGAAUAUCAAUGUCACCAUUCUUCUGAAGUUCAUGUGUAUGAAAGAAUUUUGGAGAAAUAUGCUUCGUCCAGUUGCCUUUGAUAUAGCCUCCCUUGAGUUGUGCGAUACAAGCUGCAUUAUCUUCAAACAAAAUUGUUCGACUAUCUUUUGUUGAAGUCAAUCCACAUGAUGAUUGGAUAUGAUGGGUCAUAUUCCUCAACCAUACACAUUCUCGCCCUGCUUUAUAGAUUGCAAUAAUCUCAAAAUGAUUUGAGGAUGUUGCUGUCAAGGAUUGCUUCAUAGAUCUCCAUGAUAUAGCUGUUCCUCCACGUGUAAACACAUAUCCUAUUUGUGAUUUAGCUUUAUGUGGAUCGGAGAGAUAACCUGCAUCUGCAUAUCCCACUAAAGCAGAUCCUGACUUUUGAGAAUAAAAUAGUCCCAUAUCAAUAGUACCUUUUAGGUAACGAAAAAUAUGUUUAACACCAUUCCAAUGCCUUUGAGUUAGUGUAGAGCUAUAUCUUGCAAGGAGAUUUACAGAAAAAGCUAUGUCAGGUCGAGUGCAAUUUGCAAGAUAAGUUAAUGCUCCAAUUGCACUAAGGUAUGGUACUUCAGGACCAAGAAUCUUUUCUCCAUCUUCAAGUGGACGAAAUGAAUCGUUUUUAACAUCAAGUGAUCGAACAACUAUAGGUGAUGGCAAUGGAUGUGCAUUAUCCAUAUAAAAGCGUUUCAAGACUUUUUCUGUAUAAGUAGAUUGAUGAACAAAUAAUCCCUCUGGAAAAUAUUCAAUUUGUAAUCCAAGACAAAAUUUGGUUUUCCCCAAAUCUUUCAUCUCAAAUUCAUUUCUCAAAUAAUCUGCAAUUUUGUUGAGCUCUUCAGGAGUUCCAAUUAAAUUUAAAUCAUCAACAUAAACUGCCACAAUUGUAAAUCCAAUAUUUGUUUUCUUUAUGAAAACACAUGGGCAGAUAUCGUCAUUUUUAUAACACUCUUUCAACAAAUAUUCGCUAAGGCGAUUAUACCACAUGCGUCCAGAUUGUUUCAAUCCAUAUAAUGAUUUUUGCAAUUUAAUUGAGAACAUAGUUCUCGGACAUGUAUAAUUUAUUCCUGGCACCUUAAAUCCUUCAGGGACUUUCAUAUAUAUGUCACUGUCAAGUGAACCAUAUAGGUAGGCAGUUACUACAUUCAUAAGGCGCAUAUCGAGCCCUUGUGACACGGUUAAACUAAUUAAGAACCUAAAGGUGAUGGUAUCCAUUACGGGAGAAUAUGUUUCCUCAUAAUCAAUUCCCAGUCUUUGGGAGAAACCUUGAGCCACUAGUCGGGCUUUAUAUCUUGUAAUUUCAUUAUUCUCAUUUCUCUUUCGUACAAAAACCCAUUUGUAUCCAACAGCGAUUACAUUUUCAGGUGUUCGAACUACUAGUCCAAACACUUCUCGUUUCUCCAAAGAAUUCAAUUCUGCCUGUAUGGCUUUCCAUUUUGGCCAAUCAUUUAUAUUUCGACAGUCAUCAACAGACUGUGGUUCAGGAUCCUCAUUUUGCAUAAUAUCAAAAGCCAUGUUAAAGGCGAAAAUAUUGCCUAUAACAAUAUUAUUCCAUUCCCAUAAUUUAUGAGAUGUCAUAUAAUUUAUUGAGAUCUCAUUAUUUUUGGACACCUUUAGUUUUUCAGGAACCGUACAUUCAAUAUUUGAUUGAUCAAUCUUUUCUAAUGUGAUUUAUUCUGAAGUUUUUGGUUAGUUUUUCUCUUGUACUCUUCUUUUUCGAGGUACAGAGUCUUUUGAACCAACUGGUCGACCACGCUUCUGGCGUAUUUGAGAUUCAUUUGCUACAGCAGAUUAUCUUGGAGGGACAUUAAUUUUUGCUGGAAUAUUUUCUGCUGGAAUAUAUGACUUUGUCAUUUCUCUCGUGUCAACAAAUACAUCAGGUAGUUGAAUUGCAACUCUUUGCAAAUGAAUGAUUUUUUUCAACCUUUUGUUCACAUUGAUUGCUGCUGGGAUUAAAGUGAGAUAGAGUUGUCUCAUUCCAAGAAAUUCUAUCUUGUUUUUCAGGAUGUACUUUUUCUCCUCCCAAAGUUGGGAAAGUCAUUUCAUCAAAAUGACAAUCUGCAAAACGUGCAGUAAAUAAGUCAUCCAUUAAAGGUUCAAGAUAUCUAAUAAUAGAUGGUGAAUUAAAACCCACAUAAAUGCCAAGUUUUCGUUGGGGACCUAUUUUAGUACGUUUUGGGGGUAAAAUAGGAACUUGGAUAGCACAACCAAAAACCCGUAGGGGAGAAAUAUCAGGUUCAUGACCAAAUGCAAGUUGCAAAGGUGAAUAUUGAUGAUAGGCAGUUGGUCUUAUACGAACCAAUGAUGCAACAUAUAAUAUGGCAUGACCCCAAACAAUAGUUGGGAGUUUUGUUUUCAUAAGUACUGGUCUAACAAUAAGUUGUAGAUGUUUAAUAAACGAUUCUGCUAGACCAUUUUGUGUAUGAACAUGUGCAACUGAAUGUUCAAUUUCAAUCCCAAUUGACAUACAAUAAUCAUCAAAUACUUGUGAUCUAAAUUCACCAGCAUUGUCAAGACGAAUAGUCUUGAUUGAGUAAUUGGGGAAUUGUGCUUGCAAUUUUAUGAUUUGAGUAAGUAGUCUAGCAGAUGCUACAUUCCUAGUUGACAGUAGGCAAACAUGUGACCAUCUUGUAGAAGAAUCAAUUAAUACCAUAAAGUUGUGAAAUGGUCCACAUGGUGGGUGUAUUGGCCCACAUAUAUCUCCAUGUAUUCUUUUCAAGAAAGUUGGAGAUUCAAUAUUGACCUUUGUAGUUGAAGGUCUAAUGAAUAGCUUACUUUCCGAACAAGCUACACAUGGAUAAUCAUUAGAUAAAAGAAUCUUCUGGUUCUUUAAAGGAUGUCCAUAUUAGUUGUUUAUUAUUCGACGCAUCAUUAUGGCUAUUGGAUGUCCAAGUCGAUCAUGCCAAAGUAUAAAAAUUUUUGAAUCAACGAACUUCUGGUUCGUAACAUUAUUUGAUUUGACCAUUUUUAUAAAUGUAAAAUACAUGCCAGAUGGGAGUGCAUGAAAUUUUUUUUUUAUCUGCUUCUUGCCAAAUACAAAGGAAGUGAUGCAAAGAUAUUCAACAUUAUUUUCUUGCAUCGUCUUAAUGUGAUAUUCAUUGCAGCGAAUAUCUUUAAAACUAAGCAAAUUUCUUCUGAAUUUCCUAGAAUAAAGUACAUCCUCAAUAUAUAAUUUUGUAUUAUUUGGUAAAAUAAUACAAGCUCUUCCAGAGCCUUCAACGAUAUUCGACACACCCGAUAUCGUGUUAACAUUAUUUUCAGCUAAUAUGAAGUCCAAAAAGUAUUUUUUUUGUCUUGAAGAAUAGAAUGUGUAGUUGCACUAUCAAUUAAGCAGCUGUCUUGACUAUCCAUCAUAAAUCUAUAAAUAUAACAAAAUUAACAAAAUUAAAAAAACUUAAAUUUACAUUUAAAGAAGUAAACAUUACUUAAUAUCAUGAAAUAAACGAUGCAUAAUAGAGUUUUUUUUUAUUUUUGUGCGGAAAAGUAAAAACAUAUUUCAGACUGAUUUUUAAAACGAAAGAAAUACUAGUAAAUUAAUCUAUAUCUUUUAUCACACCACCCCCAACCAAAUGGUCAAUAUUUCCAUUUGGAUCAGUAAAGAAAUCGGAGACAUCCAAAUGAGUCACAUCAGUUGGACCAUCAUAAUCAGCAAAAUUAGUCACCAAUUUUUCUUUUCCCUUGAUUGAUCUCUGGUAAAGAUCCACAAGAUGUUUUGAGGUACGACAUGUACGUGCCCAAUGCCCUUUCAUUCCAUAUCUGAAGCAACUUUCUUCAUGCUCCCUUUUAGAUUUGCCACUCUCGUUUGCUUUGUGCCUUUUGAAUUUAUUGCCUUGUUGUUGAUAACUUUGUUGAUUAUUUCUUUCGUGAUUUAUUCCACGUACACGUCUGUGUCCGUGUCCGUGUCCGUAUCCAUGUCCAAAUCCAUGUCCACGUCCAUGUCCAUGUCCAUGUCCUUGUCUUGAUAUUGUAUUUGCUUCAAACAAUGUAGUACCAUUUGCUUCAGGCAAUGGUACAGAAUCAGUUGGACAUAAUCCAUGAUUUUUCAUCAACAAUUCAUUAUUUUGUUCAGCAACUAGUAGGCAAGAUAUAAGUUCUGAGUACUUUUUAAAGCCACGCUCACAAUAUUACUGCUGCAGGAGCACAUUCGAGGCAUGAAAGGUGGAGAAAUUUUUUUCCAGCAUAUCUUCAUCGGUGAUUUUUUCUCCACACAAAGCCAACUUUGAACAUAUUCUGACCAAUUUAGAAUUGUACUCACUAACCGUUUUAAAGUCUUGCAAACGAAGGUGCAUCCACUCAUAACGGGCUUUGGGAAGGGCUAUAGUCCUCUGAUGAUCAAAUCUUUCAGUUAACUUUUUCCAAAGAACUUGUGGAUCUUUCUUAAUGAGAUAUUCAAUUUUUAAUCCAUCGUGAAGAUGGUGACGGAGGAAAAUGAGUGCUUUCGCACGAUCCUGCAGGGAUUCAUUGUUUCCUUCUUUUAUUGUCUCUCCCAGACCCUUUGAGACGAGAUGGAUAUCAGCAUCCAGUAUCCAUGAUAGAUAAUUUUUACCAGGUAUGUCAAGCAACAAACUCAAGUUUCGUAAUGUUUGCCAUUUGUUUAACUACACAAUAAAAAAAUACAAUUAGUAUCGAAGAAUAUGAUUAAUUAUUACAUGUUAAUCAAAUAGUCAAUAUCAACAUGACUUUAAGUUACGUAUUUUCCUCUGGGGAUAAACACUAAUUUGAAAUAAUAUGUUCUUCAAAACAUAUGUUACUUCUGGAGCACAUUAUAUUUUACUAUUAUUUCUUCAAGUGCAAUAUGUCAAUAUUCUUCUGGAAUAUUGAGAGUUAUAAUUUAUGCUCUUCAGGAGCAAAUAAUAUUCUUAUAAUGUUGUGCUACUUUUGGAGCAACAACGAAUAAAUCUAUGAUUAAUAUUCUUCUGGAAUAUUAAUUAUAAUGUUGUGCUACUUCAGGAGCAACAACAAUUAAAAAUAAAUUUAAUGUAAUGUUUCAUAACUAAACAUAAAAAAAUGAUAAUACAUCUAAUUGCUCACCAUUAAUUAAUAUACAAACACAUGUAAAAUAUUAUUUUGAAUUAAUAAUGUGAGUCGAGUGAAACACAAAAAAAACUGGUGACAUGUAGAAACCUAUUCACAUAUUAUGGUACGAAAUUCUAAUUAUGUGCAAUUAAAAGAAUUAAAUUCGUAUUAACCAAUUAAGGCAUGUAAUUUGCAGAAACCAAUGGAUUUGAGAGAAAAGAUGAGUUGGGUACAGUUAUUUGUUAAUUGUAUAUUGUAUAUAUAUAUGGAAUCAGCCAAAAUAGAGAUCUAGAAUUGAAGCUUACUUAUAAAGAACAUUGACCAAUUAAACCAAAAAAAAUUAUAAGCAUGUGUAGAACGUAAAUGGCUAAUCUAAAUAUAAGGAGGGUAUAGGAACAUGAAUUAAUGUAUAUCAAUUGAUUUAACAUAAAUAUAUCUCCAUAAAAAUGCACGUGGAUUGAUGUAAAGGAAAAAAAACAUUAAUUAAUUCAAAGAGAGGUACAAAGAAAACAUAAUGAUCAAGAAAGAUAAGAUCACGUAUUGCAGAUUCAACAUAUAUAUAUGUAAAAUUCACGUAUUAUCAAAUUAAUUUUGAUAUACGUGAUAGAUGAUUAUGAAAAAAAAUUACUACCUUCUAAGAGCUUCGUGCUGAUAACGUGUUAUAAAAUGAGAGGAAAAGAGAAUAGAGAAAACUCAAUAAACUUUUUUCAGUAUUAUUGAAAACCAAAGCUCUAUAUUUAUAGGUAAGAAUCAGGGAUACAAUGGUAAUAAUUUCUAGGGCUACAUGGUACAAAUGUCAUUCACCAAUAAACUUUAAUGGACUUUCCAUUUACAACACAUUUCAUUAUUUUUAGUAAUAGUUUGUUUUUCACAUACAAAUACGAAAAUUUCCCUAAUUUCAACCUAGGAAUCCUGAUAGAUUGGUGGAGUGGGGUGAGGUUGGGCUGUGUGGACCGAGUGGUCAUUGGCUUCCACUGUCAAUAUUUCAGUUUGUCCACUGCCUAUUUUUUUCAAAGCAACAUCAUGCAUACGCUUAGGUGCUACUAUCAACACUUAAAUUCUACAUAAUUAAUGUAUUUGUUAUCUCUAUAUUAGUCAACUGAAUAAAAUACUCAUUUCUUCUAUCAAUUAAUUCUUUGCAUUCUAUCUUGUUGUUUGUUUAUGAUUAUAUACUUCAUACCCCUGUCAUAUACAUUAUCUAGAUCCAUUUUAUUUCCUAAAAAGUGGUAUCAGGGCUAUUGGUUAUGAUUUGUUCAAGGCCUUUGUUAUUGAUGACAGUCAUGAAGUAUGAAAUUUCACUCUUCGAUUGCAAUACAAGAUUCUCAUUGUGGCAAUUGAAGAUGUGAGUUUACUCGCUUAGAUGGAUUUGGAUGAUGCAUUCCUGAGAUUUGACAAAAUAUCCACAACUUAUGGAGGAGAAACAACGGAAGGGUUGGAAGGCACUUUUACAUAUAUAUCUUCAUCUUUCUAAUAAUAAUUUUUAGGACAUUUUAAGGGAGCAUGGUAGCAACGUUGUGGUUGAAGCUGGAGCAAUUGUGUAUGACUAAAAGUCUAACAAGAAAAUUGCAUUUGAAGCAGAUGUUGUAUUUUCAUUGUUUGGCAAAAAGCCAAUCGUUGGAAGAUCUCGCCGUAUCCAAGGAGAUCUCGAGGAUUUGGUGACUUUAGAGAUAAAGUAUAACAAACAAUAUUUGGUCUUAAUCCUUUUGUGUUCGUUGCCCACUUCGUCUACUUGAUUUAGAGACAUGAUCUUUUAUCUUUCAAAACUCUGCAGCGACUCGGGAUGGAAGGUAACCCAACGCCGCUUACCUCAAGGGUCAUAUAAAAUUCUACACACAUUGAAUCGACAUGAUUUCAACUAUACUCAAUAGCUAAUGCCUGAGAUAUCAAACCUAAUUGGUUUCGUCCAAAAAAUUCAAGUAAAGAGUGAGUUAUGAAUUUUGGAAAGUAAGGGUAGAAGCUGAAUAACAGCUGCACUUCCUAGUGCCGUCUACUUUAUGUGACAAUUAAAAUUCUACCAAUAUCGGAUUGACAUGAUUCAAAAUUCAUUCUGUAGCUAACCUAUGGGGCUAUCCAACACCACUGGUUUUGUCUAAAAAUUCCAAGUAACAAUUUAUAUACGAAUUUUUAAAGUCAAGGCAGAAACUGACAUUUUAAAGAAAACAGCAAACUUUAAAUUGCUAACGCUCCUUUUUUCCUAUGUAAACGGUGAUUCGUAAAAUGAUUUCUUGAUACAUAUCUAGUUUUAAACAUAAUUUAUUCAUAAAGAAAUAUUCUUGAAAUAUCUCCAUAUAUGACGUCCAUAGAAAUCUAUUUAACAGAAAACAAAUGCAAAUAUUUCAUAAUUAAAUUUAGAAUAUCAAGUCGCCGGCUUUCUCCGAGGCACCUCGCAUCAUCUUUUACUAUUAUCCACGUCCAAGGAAAUCCAUUCAACCUGAAGGAAGGGAAUUAACCCAUGAGUUUGAAACUCAAUAGAUAUCAUUGGUGUAAUUUGUUCUCAAAUUAGAAAUUUCAAACUAUAGAUUCGUACCGUUGCAUGUAGAUAGAUUUUUGGUAAAAUCCAAUUUUUGUAGCAUUAUUAUAACACGUAGAGCCAGAGAAUGAUCAUUCAAACUGUUGUAGUACCGAAGCACCAUACCUAGAGAUACUAUUUCAUUCAAACUAUAGUAGUGCUGAAGCACCGUACCCGAAGGUACCAAUUCAUUCAAAAUUUUAUCGAAAAAUCAAAAUUUGGAAACGAAAUAAUACUUGCACCUCUACCUACCUUCGUUUGAUGCUUUUGAAUCGAUAAAGUUGGUUGGUGAAUGUUGUUUCCCAACGGCACCCAAAGCUUAAGAAAUUUGCUCCUCUCCUAUGUCUUUCUUACUUUUUAAAUUUUCUUUUCUUGUUUCAAAUUGUGAAAAAUGAAAGUUGUAUCUUCUAAAAGAAAAACUCGUAUAAUCUAGUAUAUAAUUCUGACGUACUCCAAGUAAAUCAAUUGCCGUUCGGUUUUGUCACUUAAUUACAAAUGUAUGAGAUGCCAAUAAAAGAGUUUUAUGGGAAUACUUUAAAUUAAUUAUUAUAAAAGUUAAUGCUUUAACCAUGUUUAAUUUAUAACACCCUUUCCACUUCCAAGUAAUUGUAACAAAUUGAAAAAUGAAAGUAUUUUUUUCUUUUCCACACGUAACCUACAAAAUCUAGAAAGACACACAUAACUUACAAAAUUCAAAAAGGCAUAUUCAUGUUAAUUAGGACUAAUGAAAUUAAUCAAUCAAGAGUUUAAGUUGCAUAAUGUGUGUGUAUAUUUUUGGGAUUUCAAUGACUUGUUUGUACCAACUAAUCAGAUUAAUUGUUUGACCAUUCAAUCGAAAGUUAUUUUUAACGUGUAGUUGUUAUGUGUGUGUAUAUAAUACUAUAUAUUUGUCAUUUUAAAAAACUAACAUGUACGAAAAUCAAUUUUUUUUAACUAUACAUAAAAUAAAUUUUCACCGUUGGGUUCAAUCUUUGGGAAAAACAUUAAAUUAUUCCAUCCAACUUCAUCAAAUAAUUUUUUAAAAAUAUGUAUGGUGGCUAAACCUGUGUUGCAUGUUGAACUACCAUAAGAUUGUAAAUAAAUUCAUUUUAAAGCAUAUUGGACUAGUAUUGAGCUUUCAUUUCUUUUGUGGGUCGCGCAUGAGGUUCAUCUAUAGGCUAGGCUCGUGAUAUUAGAUCGUCGUAUUAAAAUAUGAGCCUAACUUCAUUUUUUUGGGGCUCUUACAUUCCUUACACCUUAAAUAAAAUUUCGUCCUUGAAAUUUACCUUAUGGUUGGACAAAGAGUGUCGGGUAUCUGUCUUUAAUUUUUUCUUCUCUUUCCCAAGUAGCUUCUUCUAUUCCAUGAUUAUUCCAUUGCACUUUGACCAGUUGAAUCUCCUUGUUUCAUAAUUUAUGUACCUUUCAAUCCAAUACUUUAAUCGAUAAUUCCUCAUAAGAUAAGUCUUUUUGUACUCGCAAGGAUUGAUAAUUUACCACGUGAUUAGGGUCAUGCAUAUACUUUCUGAUCAUUCAUAUAUGAAACACAUUCUGAACUGCUGAUAGUUCAGGCGGCAAAGCUAAUCGAUAAACCACAUUUUUGAUCUUGUUAUGUAUUUCAAAAGGUCCGAUAUAAUGAGGCCAUAGUUUGCCUUUCUUGCCGAACCUAAGUACACCCUUUAUUGAUGCCAUUUUUAGAAAAACUUUCUGUCCAUCUUCAAAUUCCAUAUCUUUUUUCCUAGUAUUUGCAUAGCUCUUUUGUCCAUCUUGAGCGGCCUUUAUCCUAGUACGGAUUUUGUCAAUGACUUCAACUGUUCUUUCAAUGAUAUCUGGUUCCAAAACUCUCUUCUCUUCAAUUUCAUCCCAAUGAACAGGUGACCUGCAUCUUCUGCCAUAGAGAGCUUCAUACAGUGUCAUUCCAAUAGUUGCUUGAAAACUGUUAUUAUAUGCAAAUUCCACCAAAGGUAAAUACGAUUCCCAACUACCUCCUAGAUCCAGAACAUAGGCCUUUAGCAUAUCUUCCAAAGUUUGAAUGGUCCUUUCAAACUAACCAUUGGAUUGAGGGUGAUACGGCGUACUGAAAUUCAAUUUCGUUCCCAUAGCUCCUUGGAAGCUCUUUCAAAACUUUGACAUAAAUCUCGGAUCUCUAUCAGAUACAAUGAACACGGGGACAACAUGUAAUCUCACAAUCUCUCUAAUUUACAAUUGCGCCAGCUGAUCUAGACUAAAUGUCAUUUUCACUGGAAGAAAUGAGUGGACUUUGUUAGACGAUCCACUAUUACCCAUAUAACAUUGUGUCCUCUUGCUGACUUUGAAAAUCCUACCACAAAAUCCAUUGCGAUAUUCUCCCACUUCCAUUCAGGUAUGUCUAAUGGAUUUAAUAUCCCUGCUGGUCUUUUUAUGUUCUGCUUUAACUUGUUGACACACUAUGCAUUUUGCUACAAAUGAGCCUAUACUUCAUUUCAUAUUCCUCCACCAAAAUGUAUUUCGAAGGUCUCAAUACAUUUUCCUACUAUUGGGAUGUGCAGUGUAGGGGCGGAAUGAGCCUCAUCCAAUAUCUCCUUCCUCAAAAUUUCAUCCUUAGGUACACAAAUUCUUCCUUUAAGUAAUUUUGCCUGAUCUAAAGCUAUUUCAAAAUCCUUUCUCUUAUCAUCAAUAAUCUCGUUCUUGAUCUUCUGCAAAAAUGGGUCUUUGUUUUGUGCUUCUAUGAUAUAAUCUUUAAGAGUAGAUAGAACCACCAAAGUUGCUAAAUAGGCAGUGACUUGUUUUGGUGUGACUUUGAUUCACAAAUUUUCUAAUUCUUUGAUCAACUCCAUUGGAAUAAUAGGUAAUGAUGCCAACUGUCCCAUCGAUUUUCUGUUUAGAGCAUCAGCAACAACAUUAGCCUUACCUGGAUGAUACUGAAUAGUGCAAUCAUAAUCAUUUACUAGCUCCAACCAUCGUCUCUGUCUCAUAUUCAAUUCCUUCUAUGUGAAGAAAUAUUUGAGACUCUUAGGAUCUGUGUAAAUAUUGCACUUCCCUCCAUAUAAGUAAUGACGCCAUAUCUUUAAUGCAUAAACCACCGCUGCAAGUUCAAGAUCCUGCGUCGGGUAGUUUUGCUCAUGUUGCUUCAAUUGUCUUGAAGCUUAGGCAAUUACUUUUCCAUGUUGCAUCAGUACACAUCCAAAACCUUAUUUAAAUGCAUCACUAUAUAUAUCAAACCCUUCCGAACCUUCAGGUAUGGUUAACACAGGUGCUAUAAUCAACCGUUAUUUUAGCUCCUGAAAGCUUUGCUCACACUUAUCUUUCCAUUGAAACUUUACUCAUUUCCUUGUCAAUUGUGUUAUUGGUCUAGCUAUUUUGGAAAAUCCUUCUAUAAAUCUUCGAUAGUAUCCAGCCAAUCCCUGAAAACUUCGAACUUCACCAGAAUUAGUCGGUGUCUUCCAAUUAGUUAUCGCUUCCACCUUUACUGGAUCUACUUCAAUUUCUUGGGCAAUAACUACAUGACCGAGAAAUCCAACUUGCCCAAACCAAAAUUUACACAUUUUAAAUUUAGCGUAUAACUUUUCCUUGCGUAAUGUUUCUAAUGUUAUUUUAAGAUGUUCUUUAUGUUGAUCUUUACUCUUGGAGUAAAUCAAAAUGUCAUCAAUGAAGACUAUAGCAAAUUUAUCCAAAUAUUGAUGAAACACUUGGUUCAUCAGAUCCACGAACACUGUCGGAGCAUUUGUCAAUUCGAAUGGUAUAACUGUGUACUUGUAAUGUCCAUAACGAGUUCUGAAAAUUGUCUUAGGUAACCCAGGGCUCUUAUAAAAUUCUACACACAUUGAAUCGACAUGAUUUCAACUAUACUCACUAGCUAACCCUUGAGACUAUCAAAUCCAAUUGGUUUCGUCCAAAAACUUCAAGUAACGAGUGAAUUAUGAAUUUUUGAAACAAAAGGUCCGUUUGAUUGCAAAGAUGAAAUUGAAUUGAAUUGAAAAUGAAUUUCAGGGAAUUGAAUUGAUGGGAAAUUGAUUUCCUAGGAAUGGUAAAUUAUUGUGUUUGAUUGAUAUAAUUUUUCAAGUGGAAAAUAUUGAAAUAAAAGUAUUUUUUGGUGCUCGUUUGACUUUAUUUUACAUAAAAAUUGUCAACUAAAGGGAUAGAAUUUACUGGUAUUGGGGAUGGAAUUUUUUUCCAUUGCCAAAAAAUAAAAAAAAUCAAGAAAAUCAUACAUCUUUUGAUGUUUGUUUGGCUUUAUUUUACAUAAAAAUUCUCAAUUAAAGGGAAAUAUUUUUUUACAAUAAUUCUUAAAAUUUGUUUCCAUUACCAACACAAAAAAAAAAAAAAAAUGCUACAGUAACAUGAAAUUCCAAUUCUCAUCAAUUUUUGGUGAGAAUUGGUUUCCUUAAAAACCAAGAAAAGAUCAAUUCCCAAAACAAGCAAGAAAAGGUAAUUCCAUGGAAAUAAAACCCUAUCAAACACCAUAAAGUUGGAAAAUGAAAUUAUUUCCAUUUUCCAUGGAAAAAAACCACAUAUCAAACACUACCUAAGGGCAGAAGCUGAUUAACAGCUACACUUCCUAGUGCCGUCUACUUUAUGUGACAUAAAAUUCUACCGAUAUCGGAUUGACAUGAUUCCAAGUUCAUUCAGUAGCUAACCUAUGGGGCUAUCUGAUAAGAGUGUAAAAGAUAACAUUUUCCCCACUUAAUUAUUGCAUUCGUGUGAUUAUUUGAUACCAAAAUGCACUCAUUAUACUUAUAUUUUGAUUCAGGUUAUAUUUUGGUAGAAAAGGUGAAAUUUGGAAGAAACAAGUUAAAAUGGACCAAAAUGGAAGAAAGCGAAAGUUCAGGAACCAAGUUGUAAAUAAUCCAAAGAUGAGACAAGAAGUGAAAUGAUGAUUUGAGAAAUUUAGGAGUCCAUUGGGUGCAAUUAGAAGUCAAAAGAAGUUAAAUGUACCCACAAUAUUUUCACAAAUCAGAUUCCAACCGUAUAAGGAUUUUUCAGAUUUUCAGCCGAGCAUUGAGACCAACCUUUGACCUGGAAAGAUAUAUUUCCAGAAAAAUUAUAUUCAUUUGAGUUAGCUUUCCUAUGCAACUUGAAUCACCUCAAUUGGACAUCGGGGGACAAUGUUAUGGUCAAAAUACCAAAAGCAGUCGUACAUAAAAUUCUGGCCGAAAAUUUACUUUUCUUAUUCAGUUCAACCUCUUUUGGAAACAUUUUGGCACACGACUUUUAACACUAAUCUCGACCAGAAAACCCACCAGUCAGCCUCAUAAACUUUUCUCUCAUCUUGGACACAAGAAACUCCAUGAAGAACUAAAAUCUUUGGUGAACCACCAAGGAACUCAUUGGAUUUGGAGAUUUCAUGUAAUUCGAACUUUCUUUGCUUAAUAAUUUCUCGAUUUGGAUUUUCUCGUAAUGAAUUAGUAUUGAAUUUGGUUUAACUUUUUCUAGAUUUUUUUUAUGGAUUCAAUCAUGCUUUUUCCAUUGUUAAAUUAAAUUAUUUGUUGAGUUUCAAUUUCAAUUACUUAUUGUUGAGAUUGUUUUAACUUUUAUCAAAUCCUUCAUAGAUCUAAUCAUGCUCUUUCUAUCGAAUGAUUGAAAUAAUUGUUGAAUUUUAAUCUUAAUAUUACUUUAUUGGCGGAUUGAUUACUGCCUUAUGCUUGAUGUAUAUGGUUGAUCUUUGAUCUUGUUCCAAUAAAAAUGUGCGAAUGUGUUGUAGAAAAUCUAGUUUCUAGAAAUAUAAUUGAAAUUAAAUUGGACUUUAUUGUUAAAUCUUCUGAUUAGGGAGUUGGGAAGAAACCUCUAAGUGAGUAAAAAUGCAUGAAUUAUUGAUGUUGAUUGAUCCAAUCCAAUGGGGAAAUUCCGACGCUUCACUAAUUUCGCAUAUUGAUAAUUAACUUUUAUUCCAAGUGACAAAUCAUUCCCAUAUAAAAUUACGAAAACCCUAGUUUGUUAGAUCCUUUGACAAAUUUCCCAUCUCCCUAUGGAUACGACACCCCAAAACUGUACUGCAACUACCACAUUAUACUUUGGGCGUAAUCUAAUUUUGGCAUCCUUGUCGGGGAGACGGUACAAGUGAUUGAAGGAUCCUCGAGCAAAAGGGUGACUUCGUUCCUCUUUUAUCUGUUAGUUAAUUUAUUUUCUUUAUUGUUAUUUUUUAAUUUUGCAUUUAAUUCCAUUUUUGUAUUUUAUGAACAGGAAUCAAGAAGAGCGAUGGCGAUUUGUUGAUAGGCCUCUCCUAGAGUUUGAAUCACUUUCUAACCCUUUCUUUGACACUAUAUCUAUUGGCACGAGCACUAAACCACACAACACAAUGAGUGAUAGUGAGCACGGCGAUGCGCCCUACAGGACCCUACAUGGUUACCUUCACCCAACACGCCCUUCCACGCCAUUUUGCAAUAUGUUCCCACCCAAUAUGUCACGUGUGGACCUAAAACUGGGAAUGAUUAAACUUCUUCCCACUUUUCACGGACUUGAAAAUGAGAAUCCAUACAUGCAUAUUCGGGAAUUUGAGGAAGUGGUUGCAACCUUCCACAAUCAACGUGGUACAAUGGAUACAAUUGGGCUUAAAAUUUUCCCAUUUUUACUUAAAGAAUGAGCAAAAAAGCUGAUUGUACUCAUUGAAACCACAUUCGAUUGGGACUUAGGUUGAAAUGACCCAAGCUUUCUUUGGCAAAUAUUACCCCCAUCAUAAGACCACUACCGUUAAGAAGCAAAUUUCUUCAUUUGCCCAAAAGGAUAGCGAAGCCUUAUAUCAAGCCUGGGAGAGAUAUAAAGAGUUGUAACCUCUUUGCCCCCACCAUGGAUAUGAGAAUUGACGUGUGGUGAGUUACUUUUGUGAGGGCCUAACACCUAGGGAGCAUCAAUUUGUUGAAAUGAUGUGCAAUGGUGAUUUGUCACAAAAAGAUCCAGAUGAAGCCACAGAGUAUCUAGAUGACUUAGCUGAAAAGGCUCACACUUGGAUUGGACCUAGUGCUUCUGAUUGUACCAAUAGGUCACGACCAAUAGGAAACCCAACUAGGACAUGCAUUUACCACCUUAGAGAGGAAGACAACCUUAAAGCCAUGGUAGAAACCCUCACUAGAGAACUUGAAGCUCUACGUGCUAAGGAAUAAAAAACAACCCCGACUUGUUUCCCAUGUUGAGUCUUUAGAGCCUUGUUUUAUGUGUGGUGGAACGUAUCCAGCACAAGAGUAUGGCACCUAUGCUGAAAUGAGGGGACUUUAUGAGUAACACCGUAAUGCUUUAGGCAUAUAUCAAAAACCCUAUACUCCCUACUCUGAAUCCUAUAAUCCAAGGCGGCGGAAUCAUCCCAAUCUCAGCUGGAAAUCUUAAAACCAACAACCUAUCCCAUCCAAUAGAGCCUACACUAUAUCUCCAUAUCAAACCACAUCCUCUAGAAACUCUUUGGAAGACACCCUACAUGCAUUCAUAAAGGCACAAAGUAAAAUCAAGCAGAAAUUUGAGACUAUGAUUACCUAGAUUGUUGAGGAAAACAAGGAAAUCAAAACUCAUAUGCCAAAACUAACUAAUGCCUUAGCUAUAGAGGAGCAGGGAAAAUUUCCAGCACAAGCUCAUCCAAACCCUAGGAGACAACAUAUGGCACAAACCUCAGGCCUCCAAGAAAACAACCUUAAUGAAGUUAAUGCCAUAACCACUAGGUCCGGUAAGGUUAUUGAACCAACCCCAAAACCUAAGGAAGAUGAAAAGGACCCUAGCAAUUCAGAAGAGAGUACCCCUAGCGAGGAGGUAGUGAAAAAUAUACUACGAGUACCCUUUCCUCAAGCUCUUAAUUUUACCUAGAAAUUUGUAUGUCAACAUAGUGAAAUCCUAGAGCACCUCAAACAAGUAAAAAUUAAUAUGCUGCUCUUGCACGUGAUUUCCCAGGUCCCCACUUAUGCUAAAGUCCUUAAAGACUUGUGUACUAUAAAAAGAAAGCACCAUGUCAGGAAAAUCACUUUCUUAAUUGAACAUGUGAGUGUCGAAUUGAGCAAAGAGUUCCACCAAAGUAUAAGGACCCUGGUUGCCCACUGUGUCUUGCACUAUUGGGAACCAUGAUUUUGCACAAGCUCUUCUCGAUUUUGGGGCUAGUGUCAACAUUAUGCCUUAUGCAAUAUACUCGGCAUUAGGUCUAGGUGAGAUCAAACCCACUUCAGUGGUCUUAUAAUUAGCUGAUCGAUCCACUAUUAGGCCUAGGAGAGUAGUUGAGGAUGUGUUGGUACAAGUUGACAAAUUUUAUUACCUCGUUGAUUUCUUAGUUUUGGAUUUAAAAGAAGAUGUGAGUGUUAACUCCAAGAUUCUCAUUAUUCUUGGUAGACCUUUUCUUGCCCUAGCUAAUGCUCUUAUCAAUUGUAGGAACGGUCUAAUGAAACUAUCAUUUAGGAACAUGACCUUGGACGUCAACAUUUUUCAUAUCAUGAAAUAGCCUGAGGAAGAUGAUGAGUGUCAUCAAACAUACAUGAUUGAUGCACUCGUUCAGGAGGAAGCACCUGCGAUUAUUGAUCCCGACCCUUUAAAUUCUAAAAUUCUCACAGGGUAUGAUAGUGGAGGAUAUGCUGCUUUUGAUUAUUUUCAGGAUUAUAGAACACCACCAGUGACUACUUCCAAUGAGUUUGGUGCAAUGCAAGGAAGAUUGACAACACCCUGGUUAGAUGCGGGCUAAAGAAGAAAAUACUGGGUCGAGCCAACGACAAUAAACAAAGGCACUGCUGGGGAGGCAACCCAAGGGGAGUUCGUUCCCUUCUCUUUCUUUUUAUUUUCAUUUAUGCAUUCUCUCUAAGUUUAGUCCAUGCAUUAUUCAUUGCAAUCCUUUUAUUUUCAUUUUCUGCACUAACCUUUCCAUCGAAGAUUUUCGGGCUUCUUAUACUUCAGCUCAUGUGAUUCACUUCGUUACUCAGGUAACAUCUUUUCUUACCUUUAUUUGGCAGACAUAUUUUUGCAUUGAGGACAAUGCAAUGUUUAGUUGGGGGGGAGAGUUUAACUUAAAUUUUGUUGUGAAUUGCAUGUUUUUAAUGAAAUUUUGGCCUAAUUGUUUUUAAGUCCCUAAUGCGCUACAUGUUCUUGAAUGGCAAUAUAUUUCACUAGGAAUUAAUAUUGUUUAUGAAAAUUUGGAUACUGAGAUAUUUGCUAAAUCUUUUUGUGCACACAAGCCUUGUGGUAAGAUAGUGGUUUAACACAUGUAGCUAGAGGAGUCUCUUGUUGAAGUUUUCUUAUGUGAGAGUCGAUGAGGAUUGAAAGCUAUCACAUAUUAAAAAUGGCAGUAAGUGCUCAUUAGUUUUGUGAACUGGACACUUCUGUUGAGAAUAACAUUACACAGUCUGUGGUAAGAUGGUGGUUUAUACUUGGGAAAUGAUAAUGGUCAACAUAGGAUUGAAUUUGAGCUUUCAGACUAGUUUUUUUUCAUUAUUAUAAUUCCCUAAUAACCACUUUGAGCCAAUGCACAUACAUAACCAUUUCAUUUCAUGUGCCUAAGUUAUCCAUACCUCCUUACAUUGGAAUAAAAUCUAUAAACAUUCAAUUUUCUACCUUUAUGCUUCCAAGUAUAUAGUAGGUGUUAAAUGUCCAUUUCAGAAGAAAAGCAACAUGGAAAGUGAUAAGAGAUUAUAAGUGCUCGGGUGAAGCGAAAAAACACAAAAGGAAAGGGAAUUUGAAAAAAAAAAACAAACAAACAACCAAACAAAAGAAAAGAAAAGAAGAAAAAAUGAAAAAAAAAAAGAAAUGAAAAAAAGGUGGAUUGUUGUUGGGAAUUGAAAGGUUGAAGAAUGCGUUGAUGUAAAGAAUUGAUAUGUUGAAAUACUUGUUGAGAUGCCUAGCCAGAUACUUGGAAGUCCUUAAAUUCUUUUUGCCCUACUUUUCAUAUAACCCAACUUAACCUUUUACACACCCUUUGCAUUGACUGUUUUGAUCUCAAGUAGGUUUGUGGUAAAAAGUUGAUGAAUUUUCAAUUGGAAGUAUGCCUAUCAUGUGAUCAAUGUUUGCUUGUUGCUUGCUCAUAAACAUUUAAGACUCCAAAUUAUGAGUGUAUCCAUUUCUCAGCUCUAUAGAGAGAAAAUCGCACUAAACACUUUGAUACCUGUGAGUUGUGGAGUUGAACCUUCAGCUCGAGACAUACUUGAUGUUAAAUAUGUUAGGGUUGGCAGUAAGAUGGCUAUAGCUUGGCACACACUCACACAUUUAGCAAGUGUUUUUGAUAUCUUGAUGAUCAUAACAUUGUUAAUUUCUUGUGGUGUUGAGUUUGAAAAGAGAAUGAACUGUUGAAUUAGAACUUAACAAUUUCACUUGUAACAUGGACCAAUUACUCAUUUGCUUUACUUUGCAUUAAAUUGCUAGGGACUAGCAAUAAGCAAGUCGGGGGUAUGAUAAGAGUGUAAAAGAUAACAUUUUCCCCUCUUAAUUAUUGCAUUCGUGUGAUUAUUUGAUACCAAAAUGUACUCAUUAUACUUUUAUUUUGAUUCAGGUUGUAUUUUGGUAGAAAAGGUAAAAUUCAGAAGAAACAAGUGAAAAAGGACCAAAAUGGAAGAAAGCGAAAGUUCAGGGACCAAGUUUCAAAUAAUCCAAAGAUGAGACGGGCGAUGGAAUGAUGAUUUGAGAAAUUUAGGAGUCCAUUGGGUGCAACUAGAAGUCAAAAGAAGUUAAAUAUGUCCCUAAUAUUUUCACAAAUCAAAUUCCAACCGCAUAAGGAUUUUUCAGAUUUUCAGCCGAAGAUUGAGAUUAACUUUUGACCUAGUAAACGUCCAAAUUUGGAAAGAUAUAUUUCUAGAAAAAUUAUAUUCCUUUGAGUUAGGUUUUCUAUGCAACUUGAAUCACCUCAAUCGGACAUUGGGAGACAAAGUUAUGGUCAAAAUACCAAAAACAGUUGCAGAGAAAAUUCUGGCCGAAAAUUUACUUUCCUUAUUCGGUUCAACCUCUUUUGGAAACAUUUUGGCACACGACUUUUAACCCUAAUCUCGACCAGAACACCCACCAUUCAUCCUCAAACACUUUUCUCUCAUCUUGGACACAAGAAACUCCAUGAUGAACUAAAAUUUUUGGUGAAGCCACCAAGGAACUCAUUGGAUUUGGAGAUUUCACGUCAUAAUUUCAUGUAAUUCGAAGUUUCUUUGCUUAAUAAUUUCUUUAUUUGGAUUUUCUCGUUAUGAAUUAGUAUUGAAAUUAGUUUAACUUUUACUAGAGUUUUUAUGGAUUCAUUCAUUCUUUUUCCAUUGUUAAAUUAAACUAUUUGUUGAGUUUCAAUUUCAAUUACUUAUUGUUGAGAUUGUUAUAACUUUUAUCAAAUCAUUCAUAGAUCUGGUCAUGCUUUUUCUAUCGAAUGAUUGAAAUAAUUGUUGAAUUUUAAUUUUAAUAUUAGUUUAUUAGCGGAUUGAUUACUGCCUUAUGCUUGAUGUAUAUGGUCGAUCUUUGAUCUUGUUCCGAUAAUAAUGUGCGAAUGUGUUAUAGAAAAUCUAGAUUCUAGAAAUAUAAUUGGAAUUAAAAUGGACUUUAUUGUUAAAUCUUCUGAUUAGAGAGUUGGGAAGAAAACCUCUAAUUGAGUAAAAAUACAUGAAUUAUUGAUGUUUAUUGAUCCAAUCCAAUGAGGAAAUUCCGAGGCUUCACUAAUUUCGCAUAUUGAUAAUUAACUUUUACUCCAAGUGACAAAUCAUUCCCACAUCAAAUUACGAAAAUCCUAGUUUGUUUGAUCCUUUGACAAAUUUCUCAUCUUCCUGUGGAUACGACACCCCAAAGCUGUACUAUAACUGCCGCGUUAUACUUUGGGCAUAAUCACUAUCCAACACCACUAGCUUUGUCUAAAAAUUCUAAGCAAUGAUUUAGAUACGAAUUUUUAAAAUCAAGGCAGAAAUUGACAUUUUAAAGAAAUUAGCAAACUUUAAAUUGCUAACGCUUCUUUUUUUCCCUGUGUAAACGGUGAUUCAUAAAUUGAUUUCUUGACACAUAUCUACUUUUAAACAUAAUUUAUUCAUAAAGAAAUAUUCUUGAAAUAUCUCCACAUAUGAUGUCCAUAGAAAUCUAUUUAACAGAAAACAAACGUAAACAUUUCAUAAUCGAAUUUAAAAUAACAAGUCACCGACUUUCUCUAGGGGAUGUCCCAUCAUCAUUUACCAUCAUCCACGCCCAAGGAAAUCCAUUCAACCUAUAGGAAGGGAAUUAACUAAUGAGUUUGAAACUCAAUAGUUAUCAUCAAUGCAUUUCAUUCUUAAGUUAGAAAUUUCGAAUUAUGGAUUCAUACCGUCACACGUAGAUGGAUUUCUGGAAAAAUCCAAUUUCUGUAGCAUUAUUAAAACACGUAGAGCCGGGGAAUGAUCAUUCAAACUAUUGUAAUGCCUAUGCACAGUACCCGAAAGUACCAUUUCAUUCAAACUAUAGUAGUGGCAAAGCACCAUACCCGAAGGUACCAAUUUAUUCAAAAUUUUAUCGAAAAAUCAAAAUUUGAAAACGAUAUAACACUUGUACCUCUACCUACCAUCGAUGAAGUUGGUUGUGAAUUUUGUUUCCCGACGGCACCCAAAGCUUAAGAAAUUUGCUCCUCUCCUGUCUUUCUUACUUUUGAAAUUUUCUUUUCUUGUUUCAAAUUGUGAGAAAUGAAAGUUUUAUCUUCUAAAAGAAAAACUCUUAUAACCAAGUAUAUAAUUCUCACGUACUCCAAGUAAAUCAAUUGCAGUUGGGUUUUCUCACUUAAUUACAAAUGUGUGAGAUGCCAAUAAAAGAGUUUUAUGGGAAUACUUUAAAUUAAUUAUUAUAAAAGUUAAUGCUUUAACCAUGUUUAAUUUAUAACACCCUUUCCACUUCCAAGUAAUUGCAACAAAUUGAAAAAUGAAAGUUUUUUUUUCUUUUCCCCACGUAACCUACAAAAUAUAGAAAGACACACAUAACUUACAAAAUUCAAAAAGUCAUAUUCAUGUUAAUUAGGAUUAAUGAAAUUAAUCAACCAAGAGUUUAAGUUGCAUAAUGUGUGUGUAUAUUUUUGGGAUUUCAAUGACUUGUUUGUACCAACUAAUCAUAUUAAUUGCUUGACUAUUCAAUUGAAAGUUAUUUUUAACGUGUAGUUGUUAUGUGUGUGUAUAUAAUACUAUAUAUUUGUCAUUUUAAAAAACUAACAUGUACGAAAAUAAAUUUUUUUAACCAUACAUAAAAUAAAUUUUCACCGUUGGGUCCAGUCUUUGGGAGAAGCAUUAAAUUAUUCCGUCCAACUUCAUGAAAUAAUUUUUUAAAUAUAUGUAUGGUGGCUGAACCUGGGUUGCACGUUGAACCACCNNNNNNNNNNNNNNNNNNNNNNNNNNNNNNNNNNNNNNNNNNNNNNNNNNNNNNNNNNNNNNNNNNNNNNNNNNNNNNNNNNNNNNNNNNNNNNNNNNNNNNNNNNNNNNNNNNNNNNNNNNNNNNNNNNNNNNNNNNNNNNNNNNNNNNNNNNNNNNNNNNNNNNNNNNNNNNNNNNNNNNNNNNNNNNNNNNNNNNNNNNNNNNNNNNNNNNNNNNNNNNNNNNNNNNNNNNNNNNNNNNNNNNNNNNNNNNNNNNNNNNNNNNNNNNNNNNNNNNNNNNNNNNNNNNNNNNNNNNNNNNNNNNNNNNNNNNNNNNNNNNNNNNNNNNNNNNNNNNNNNNNNNNNNNNNNNNNNNNNNNNNNNNNNNNNNNNNNNNNNNNNNNNNNNNNNNNNNNNNNNNNNNNNNNNNNNNNNNNNNNNNNNNNNNNNNNNNNNNNNNNNNNNNNNNNNNNNNNNNNNNNNNNNNNNNNNNNNNNNNNNNNNNNNNNNNNNNNNNNNNNNNNNNNNNNNNNNNNNNNNNNNNNNNNNNNNNNNNNNNNNNNNNNNNNNNNNNNNNNNNNNNNNNNNNNNNNNNNNNNNNNNNNNNNNNNNNNNNNNNNNNNNNNNNNNNNNNNNNNNNNNNNNNNNNNNNNNNNNNNNNNNNNNNNNNNNNNNNNNNNNNNNNNNNNNNNNNNNNNNNNNNNNNNNNNNNNNNNNNNNNNNNNNNNNNNNNNNNNNNNNNNNNNNNNNNNNNNNNNNNNNNNNNNNNNNNNNNNNNNNNNNNNNNNNNNNNNNNNNNNNNNNNNNNNNNNNNNNNNNNNNNNNNNNNNNNNNNNNNNNNNNNNNNNNNNNNNNNNNNNNNNNNNNNNNNNNNNNNNNNNNNNNNNNNNNNNNNNNNNNNNNNNNNNNNNNNNNNNNNNNNNNNNNNNNNNNNNNNNNNNNNNNNNNNNNNNNNNNNNNNNNNNNNNNNNNNNNNNNNNNNNNNNNNNNNNNNNNNNNNNNNNNNNNNNNNNNNNNNNNNNNNNNNNNNNNNNNNNNNNNNNNNNNNNNNNNNNNNNNNNNNNNNNNNNNNNNNNNNNNNNNNNNNNNNNNNNNNNNNNNNNNNNNNNNNNNNNNNNNNNNNNNNNNNNNNNNNNNNNNNNNNNNNNNNNNNNNNNNNNNNNNNNNNNNNNNNNNNNNNNNNNNNNNNNNNNNNNNNNNNNNNNNNNNNNNNNNNNNNNNNNNNNNNNNNNNNNNNNNNNNNNNNNNNNNNNNNNNNNNNNNNNNNNNNNNNNNNNNNNNNNNNNNNNNNNNNNNNNNNNNNNNNNNNNNNGGCAGGUCGACUCAAUACUCCGUGAUAAGCUGAUAUGUGGUCUAAACUAAAAACUCCAUGAAGUGGUAAGCCACUAAGGGGGCUGAUCCCAUCUCGACAGGAAAGGUGAUUCACCCAUGUGGGACAAUGCUGUCACCUAUGAAUCCAAAUAUUGGGUCGAUCAUGGGGAUCAAUCCAUGUUCAAUUUGUAUUUUGUCAAAGGUAUAUUCAUCUAGCUUCCAUCGUCAAAAAUCAUGCGUUUGAGUCCAUUUCGAGCCACUAUGGCUCUUAUUACCAAUAGGGAUGGCAAUUUGAAUAAUCAAAACUAAAAACUGUGGUUAACCGAACUGAAUGUGACGAAAAAAACCAAACCAAUGGUGCAACGGGAUGGUGUGGGUAUGGUAUUUACACUGUCGAACCAAAAUCGAGCUGAUUACCCGCAAAAAAAUACACACACAAUUGAAUUGAUUAUUUAGCUUUACACCAUUUUUCUAUCCAGCCCAAAACAAAAUUUCCUAAAUUACAUCUACCUGACCAAGUUGGCCAGCCUACUUACCAUUAGUCAAUAAUAAUAGCAUUAGUAUGACAAUAUAUAAAUGCAAACCCUACUCUUCACAAACCACAAACUCACGCACGGCUCCACUACCUCCACGGUCCAAGCCGUCGUUGCCUCCAAAAAAUUUUCCACACGACUUCAGUUUGAAUCAAAUCAGAUUUCAGUUUUACAGAAAAGAUAGGACCUCAAGUGACGGGCCUUCUUUAUCAAGAUUAUUGGAACAAAAAUUUCAUCUCAAUCAUUUUUGUUGUAUCUGUAAUCUGAUUGCAUUUUAUAUCCAAUUCCAGGGACGCAUUUUCAAGAUUUGAUGCAGAAAUUGUUUCAAUUUUUGUCGAAAAAAGGAUAAAUUCAAUCAGUACUAAUUAUAGUAUAGGCUUGAGCCAAGUCCGAGGCAUGGUCGACAACUCUAACCAAAUUCUUAAGGUUAGCAUUGCUUUUAUAUUACAUUUAAGCCUUAGUUUCUUUUAUAUUAGAUUUGCUCUAAUGUUUUUGAAUUGCAGUGCAUAUAUUAAUGCUCUUUUUAUUAAAGCAUUGAUGGAUGUUUUGAUGAAUUGAUAUUGUUGUGGCAAGGUGCUCGGUAAGGUUGUGCAAUAUGAAUUGGUAUCUUAAAUCUUGAUUUAACAGGAUAUUACUACUGGCAUCCGAGUCGACGUUUAGUACAAGUGGUAGAUUUGUCCACAUAGAAAUAGGCUUUACCUGAAGUCUCUAGAAGCUUUAAUGUGUGCUCAGGAUUUGCUUUGGACUGAUAUUCAUGAUAGAAUUUAUUGUUUUAUAUUUGUUAUUUAUACACUUCCUUUUAUUGUCAAUUUUUUUUAUUGUGUAGAAAAUUUUACUCCUUCAUCAUAGUCUAGAACUUGUGCAAUGUUUAGCGAGGAGCAAGCUGACGAAGAGGUACUUUUUUAUUUAAAUCUUAGUUAAGACAAUUUUGGAAUAGGUAGUAUCGUUGUAUUCUCUAUUUACUAUAUAGGAAUCAACUUUGAGUGCUGAUCUAUACUAGUAAGACUUGUGGGGAAGAAUGAAUCAAGUAACUUCGAUGCACAACAAUCAAAAAUGAAGGAAAAUAUUUUCGUUAAAUUUGUAUUUUGCAAUUGGAAAUUGGGAUAAUGUUUGCAUUUUCAUUUGGAAUAUUGUGUUUUUGUUUUCAUUAAUUUCUUUUCAUAAAUUGUUUUAUAACAACUUGACGGAUGAACCUAUAAAAAAUAAUUUAUUUUCGUGGUUAUUAACCGAACCGAACCGUUCCAAAACGAGAUAAAAAUUGAACCGAAUCGAACCAAUUUACGUGGUUAUGGUGCGGUUAUGACAUGGUCAAAAAAAUUGGUGAUACGGUUAUGGAUUUGGCCGAACCGACCUAUAACCAAAACGUUGCCAACCCUAACUAGCAACGUACCACAAUGGGGGUGAUGAACACCUUGUGCAUUUUCUUGGGAGAAAGUGAUUAGGGCCAUUCUAUUGGCUUCUUGAGACUGAUCAACAAUGUAGGUAAUUAUUGGUGGAUCAUUUGCUUCUCGUGUAUAAUUCCUUUGGGCAUUUCUUGUGUUGCCCCCAAUGUGAGGUUCUACAAUGAUUGUAUCACUUUCUCGAAUAGUUUGCCCUCCAGUUGAUGUGGCCUAAUCCCUAUGCCUGGAUUCUCCUCUAUCCCUUGUUUUUCUCCUUCGAGGUGAUUGCUUUCUUUGUCGCCUCUCCUCUCUGUUGGGGGAGGUGAAUCUACGAGGGUAUUCUUGAUAGUUAUCCCUCCUGGAGGACCUUAGGUUACUCCGAUUUGAAGAUCGAGGAGCAUCCCUACAUUCGCUAAUGUCGUGGCUAUAGAGUUGGUGGAAUGUGCAGAAUCUUGCCCCUUUUGGGGUCUGUUUGAUCGCUUCUUAUUCUUGUGCCAAUUGCUGUUUGUCCCUCUAGAUGGUCUUGCUUCAACAAUUGCAUUUUCAUAUGCUAAUAUCAACACUGCAUUUAGCGUGGCUGAAGCCAAUGCUUGUCCGGAUGUGGGAGCUAUUGUGUGCCGUAGUUGGGUCCAUUGCUGGGGUCGACCUACCUGCCUCCGAGGUGGAUGGAGUCCCUGGGCUAUACGAUUUCGAUGGUCAAUCAUCUCUUUAUUGACGAUCUCCACUCUCAUCAUCUCUACCAGGUCUUCAUAAGUAGCUAGAUUCUUGCUACGCACAUCCCUCCAUAACAAAGUGUUCAUGUUGAGGCCUUCGUUCAGGGCUAAAAGAGCCUCUCUGUCAGUGACUUGCUCACAAUAUGUGAUUUCAUCAAUAAACCUGAUGAGAUAGCUUUUCAGCGUCUCUCCAGGAGCUUACUUCAUAUCUUGUAGGCGUUGCACUGGGUCCUCUCAUUCUCUUGCCAUCUUCAAAUUUGGCUAACUUCUAAUACUCAAAGGUGGUAGCCUACUGUACCACACUUUGAUAGUUUUGGCAAGGUUAGAUGGAAGGCCCUGCAUUUCAGUGCAUGGGAGGCUCAUCUGAGGCUCAUUUGCGUUAUAUACUUAGUGAGGUGCUUUUCUGAGACUCUCUUUCCCUCAUAUUUAGGGAUUUUAGGGGGCAUGAAGUUUUUAGGCAUUAGGAAGCUUCGGAUCUCCCUUGAGAAGGGGAGGUUGUCAUCAUCACCAUCAAUUUUAUAAGAGCGACAUGGCUUCUCAGUGCCUUCGUUAUCUUGCACAUUUUGGGGAGGUGAAGAUGCUCUUCCUCGACUGUCCCAAUCAACUAAAUUUCUCAUUUUCGGCCUAUUCCCAGGUGGAGGAGAUGCUUGUUCUUGUUUUUGCUCUUGUUGAGCUAAUCUCUGUAUGGAGCAGACCCUACUACUUGGGUUUUGCCCUAUUCGGUCGAAGACACUAAUCGAUCUUUGUGGCUUAUACUCUGGUGGGAAGUUUUCUCCCAGCUGUGGUUCUGCUGCUUGGCUCCCUUGUGCAUAAGAUAUGACAUCUAUGCUCACUUUUCUUUCGAUGGGGUGUUACCUGCACUGGCUCGAAUGGCCUCGGCCAUGAGAUGCAGGAACUUGGUCUUGAGCUGGGUAGGGUCCUUGUGGCAUUUGGAAGCCCUGAUUACCUUGGGCUUGCUUGAAGAAUUCACGCAUCGCCAUAUUUUAAGCUACAAUGUCUCUUAUGUCUGCAGCUAUUUGAGUAAUUCCUUCAACGAGUGUGGCCGUUCUUUCACUUCGGUGACGCCAAUGAUGGUGUCUCGGUGAGUGACAUUGGUUCGAAGCACCUCUUCUUCAAAGGCAUCCCUGAAUCUAGGAUUUGCAUCCUCAUUGCUAGAACUCAUUUUCUUGUCUCCUUUUUCAAGGGUGUUAAGAAUUUGUAUUGUAGGUUGACUUAGUACUUUUUCAGGAAUGUUCCCUUUUCAAGGUAAGUCGAUGGUUUUUCGACGGCUUUUUUGGUGGUAAAUGUGGAACUUUUUGGAGGAAAAUAUUUUCCACAGACGGCGCCAAUCUAUUGCCACGUGGCCAAUCGAUAGCCACUCCACGCAAUCCUCCCUGCAUACAAUAACGAAUGGUUAGAAGCACAUGGCUAGAACUAGCUAGGUGGUGGCUGCCGCGUACACUCUGACGGUCAAGUAAGUGAUCGUUGGUCAGAACAGUGCUUGAAUUGUGCAAGAGAGUGGGGAGGAGAAUAUAUAUAUUUCUUGAAUGUGGAGAGCUAAGUUGAGAGAGUUUCAUUACCUUUAUCUCUUGCCAAACCUCAGGUAUUUAUAGAUGAGGAGCCCCGUUGGAUGUGGAACAUGUGUAUGCAUCUGACGGUGUGAGGCAUCUGCUCAUAGGUAUCACUAAGCCGAGUCUAGAGUGGGCAGGUAAUUAAUUCUUAUGAGUUGAGUUGACAUAAAGUUGAUACAUCACAUCAACUAGACCCAUGAAAAUGUCACAUCAAUUAACCCAUGGCGAUAAAGAGGGUCCUGACAUAGAUAUAUUUAUGAAAUUGACGGCAGAGGGAUCUGUUAAGGAAGCACCUCGAAGUACAUAACUCUUCGGCAUCAGGGGACACUUCAGUUGCUUUCAUGGAGUGCCCCAUGUUUCAGCAUCGAGGGACACUUCGGUUGCUUCAGUAGAUUUACUUUGUGAUGCUUGUGCCUUGCAGCAUAUCAAGUUGAAGUUUGGCCGAGGUUGACGUCACUUCAAAACCACUUCGAAAGGACAUAUGUUGUCUCGUGGAAGAGUAUGCCUGACGUACAGAAGUGGUUUAAUGAGGGGUGUAAUAGCUACUACAUUUGUGAAAUGUUGAGAAUGUCGCUAAUAAAAUGAGAGAGUUUGACUUUUAUUCAUAUAUCUCACAAAGGUUAUUUGGACUGCUACAACUUUUAGAAAUUAAGAAGAAAAAAGAGUAUACUAAUUAACAAUAACUGAAGCAAGUCGGCCUCAAAUCUCUUAUUGAACAAAUGAAAGCAUGAGAAUUACACUUGGAGCCUCUAAGGUUUCCAAUUAUUUCAACUUUAUAGCCACAAAUUAAUUAUAACUUUUCCUUAUGUCUCAUCCAACAAGAGAAUUAGUGACGAAACUAAAGGAAUGUCUAGCAUGCAUCAUUGCUUGCAUUAUUCAACACAACUUUUCUAAAAAAAUCAAAGGAACCAGUAAUUGUUUAUUUUUAACACCAUCACAUCUUGACCUUCUCAUGAUACCAUGUCGUUCUUCUUCGGUUUUAACAUCAUGUUAACUUCUUAGGCUUUUUUAGGAAAUUCAUCCACAAGGUAGCUGAUCUUUUAGGAAAUUUACUGAGAACCGAGCUCCACGUACAGGGACCUAUUUCACUGGCCCUGCCAGGUGAGACACAUGUGGGGGUAGGUGAUGUGAUCCGAGUGUGCUACCAAUUACCAAGAAUUCCACUAGCAUUGGAAGGAAGAUCAAGGUUGAAACAAGCCCAAUGUUUGAACUAAAUUGGAGGCCAAAAGAAGGUGAUAAAGCUGGAAGAUUAUUUGAUUGAAAUUAUGAAGCGCUAAAUGUCGGAAUUAAUGAGCUAAGUCAAAAGUUGGGGAUGAAAAUCACAAGCCAACGUCCAAGAUUAAUAUUGAGAUUGAAGGCCACUUCAUUUAGAAGCAAUCGAGUUACAAGCCGGAAAAAUGAAGGCCAAAAUAAUUGGCACAGAUUGGAUGCAAAACAAUGGUUGAAUGGCUGUGAACUACAACUAUGCGACCGCAAGGUUGAACCACCCAUGCGGCCGCAUGAACCAUCAGAAGGAUUUGAGACCAGGUCGCCAAGUAUUCCAUGCGACCGCAUAGGAAAUAGCAAUGCGGUCGUAGUGUUACCGACAGGGAAAAUUUCCAGAAAUUCCAGAGCAUCUUGGUAGUUUCCUUUUUCUCUCCAAUCUUUUCAUGUUUUCUUCAUUAUUUUAGGAUUUUUUUUCCUUUUUAAAAUAGGAUUUUAAUAUUUUUAUUAUUUUUAGGGUUUUAGUAUAAAUAAGAAAUUAUUUUCAUUACUGUAUUGGAAGUUUAUGAUGAAUUAAAAAUUAGAGAAUUCUCUCUUUCGAGGCGUGAUGCUUCAACCAUUGUCGAACUUAUCGGGAUGAUUUUCUCGUGGCAUUCAACAAAUCCGGGUGAGAUUCUUAAACCGUGUAUUAAAAAGUCAUUAAUUUAAUAUAUUAAUGGCUGUUUGAGUCAUUGUUUAGGGGUUAAAUCCAAAACCAUCGAUUCAUUGGCACUCUUGGGAACUGUGGCAAUCUUGUUGUGGUUUCGUGAGUGUUCGUUGCUCAUGGGUUCGCAUCAGCAGGCCUCAAAAUCUUUUUAAUACAUGGGAGGCCUAUCCCCCAAUAGUGAGGGGCAUGUGAGGCCCUUAUGAAGCUGCACCAUAGACAUGUAGCUUUAAUCAUUUAGUCAAACGUCCAUUCAGGAAGUCUACAUAAAAAAAAUGCCAAAUCUAAUAUUGUAUUUGUACCCUUGGGUCCAUUCAAAAUUAUCAAGCAAUAACCAUAUGAAGUAACCCUUCACACAUACACAAUGACUAAGAAUGAAGGAAAAUUAAUCGAUUAAUUUCAAAACAUGCAGUUUUAUUUCAAAUUGAAGUACCAUAUGUGUAAAACAAAUGAUGACUUACUCUAUUGCCUUUCUAAGGUAUGAGAGAUGGUCCCUGUGAUACUUAAUCCUAGUUUCAUCAAUAUGAGCCUUUGAAAUUGUUAGGGCUUUACUGUUGACUUCAUCCAACCCUACAAAAUAUCAUGGAAGAAUUCAACAAACCACUAAAUGCUGUGAAAAAAUUGUAAUUUUAAAAUAUUCUUUUGUAAUUUAAAUAAACAAAUGAACACGACUAUAUACCAUUUUAUGUAAUGAUAAUCUUGGGACUAUCAUAUUUUUUUCAUUAUAUAAAGCAUGAGAUGGAAAAUUGCCUUUCGAACUAUGUACAGCCAUGGCCAACCAGCCUACCACGAAAUAAGAAAGAUUGCUAUUACGUUAGAUUAUACAUUAGCAUUGGAAAUUAUGUAAACCAUAAUUUGUAUUUUAAUUUGUUGUGUCUCUAUUAUGAGUCUAUGUCACGAUCAUGUGUCAUCAUAAUUUUUUGAUAUUCCUAAAUUGUUGUAAGAAUAAUCUAUUCAUUUUCAAUUUUUUCUCACAAAAGGAUAAUGUUAAUGGCUCAGCCGCUGACCAAUCGACUUCCCAUUACAAUAAGCUACAAAAGAAUGAGAAGUAAACAUAUUGUUAUUAGUAGUGUCCAUUUUAUGUCAAGAUAAAAGAAUAUAUGACUGAAUUGUACUUACUGUGAUUAUGCCUGGGCGAGAGUUGGUUCGUCCAUUUUAAAGAGAACCGAACUAAAGCAAAAAAUUUUGGGUGUUUAGUAAAUGGAACCGUCGGAUCCAAAUAUAUUUAUGGAACUGUUCGGGUUCUGUAUCAUUCGGUUCUAUUCGGUCCGAAUCGGUUCCAUUCUAUAAUUAAAUCUUUUAUCAUUUAUAACGACACUGCAUAAAUACAAUUAAUAAUACAUUCAAUAGUAGUUUUUACAAAUUAAUGUAGUUCAAUUUAAUAACAUAUAAAUGACAAGUUGUCCAACAAGAGUAAUUUACCAAUGCAUACAAAUACAAAAAAUUAGAUACCAAUACUAAAACUUCAAUGAUCCAUUGAAUGAUUCAUUUACUUCAAACCUUUAAGUCUACUUGAAAAAUGAAAUAUAAAUUAGAAGUCAUAGAGAUAAAAUAUUUUAAAGUAUUGUUAAUACUUACCAACUAUUUGAAUUGCCUAUCAAUUGUUUGACUUGCCAUACUCACAACUAAGAAACUCUACAAGAAAAAAUUGAAAAGUACAAUUAACAAACAUAAAUAAACUAAAAAUUGGAGCAUUAAUCACUUAAUUAGAUAAUUUUAUAAUUUAUUUAGAAAAAAUUAAAAGAAUUUGAUUUAUUCAGUUCUUCGUCUAGAACCGAGAACAGAACCGAACUUGUUGAUUCUUGAUUCAAAUACCCAUUCGAGCAUUUAACUUAAGAAAAACCGCAUGGUUCGAACCAGACAUUUUGCCCAGCCCUAACUGCGAUAUUCAACAUGCAGAUCAUUGUCAUAAUGGGGUUGUGGAGUUUUUUCACGUAUAUUUCUGGAAUAAUAAGUCAUGUAAUAAUUUAUACCUAAGACGUCACAAGAUCCAUUCGCUAGUGCCACCUCCUUUUGUUUAAUUUUGGGAAGACCUUUACUUAUAUUAUUUCUCAUGUAUGGUGGAUAAUCACCAGUUAUUACAGGGGCUACAAACCUGAACAGGGGAAAUGUGUUAACUAAAGGAUUACAAUAGAAGUACUAUCUGAAAUUCUAUAAAAGUAUAUCUGAUGUAUUCUCGAAAAGACACGUGAUUUAUACAAUAUAAAAACAACAAAAAUGUAUAAAGAAGUUAAAAUAUAAACAAAUUAGAAGAGAAGAAAUUUUCGAUAAUGAAAUCACAUUUAAAUUACUUCCCUUCACACUAAUUUCAUUUGGAGAGUUAGGAACUAACAGAGAUGAAGAGAAAUUUGUCUUGGUAAUGAUAAACUUCUCAAGCACAUGUAGUAAUUACCAUCCUAACAUAAAGUCAACUGCCUAUUGGAAAUAUUUCACAAUUAAGGGAAAUGGAGAAGAAGCAAGAUAGAAAAUAUAUCAAGUAGAUGAAAAUGAUAAAGAAGGCUCGAACACGAUAUCGUUGUCUUCAAACGACAUUUGCCCCCUCUAAGAUACAAUUUUGGUACUUAUAGGGUUCCUAGGCAAAAGGUUUGAACAUGAAUUUCAAUAUAAUUGUAAUGAAUAGUUUGAUCUUAAUUGUGGCUACAGAUUUUUCAAUAUUUUUUCUAGGUUAUCAACCACAUAUUUAUAGCCUUCAAACAUGCCGUAUGAAGUCGUACCAAAAAACCUUCAAAAGCUACCGGAAUUUUGAACAAAGAUGGCUGCUAACGAUCAUAUGAUUAUUCUAUGUGGUUGCAUAGCAUUAACCUAUGCGACCGCAUAGGUUGUUUGAAAGCCUCUAUGUGUUUGCACUCUAUUAAGGUCUACGUGGUCGCAUAGAUCAUGGGCUUGGCCCAUAUGUGGCCGUUUGUUUCCACUUUCAUUCCACACAUCUCACUUGUUCAAAAGUUCAUUAAAUCUCAUAUUCAAGGUUUACAAUGCUUAUGCAUAAGGAUUAGAUAACUUUCGAUUUAAAUCUAACCAUAGUGUAAUUUAAACAAAGUAAAGUCGGAAACAAAGGUAGCGUGAAGUUUUGAACUAGUUAUUCCAGGUGGCAAUACUGGUAAGAACAUACACAAGUAUAACGUGUUCUCAUGUUUCUCAAACUCGCUUAGCGCUAAUAUGGCCUUGCACUCAUCAUUUUUAACAAACUUUUAAGAGAAAAACUCCAACUCUUUAUUGAGGUGGCACCACCUUGAAGUUCUUUUAGGUGAAGUGAUGCAAACCCCGAAGCAACAGUGACUACAAAACCCACAACUAUAUUGAUGCGGAACCCAAGAACGCCAAUUGAUAAUUUAAUUUUGGAUUUGAACUCGACAAAUUGAAACAAGAAACCCAAAGAUAACUAUGAUGCGAUGAACCCCUUUUUUACAAAUUGAAGAACUCACGAUCCGAUGUUGAAUGCCACAAAGAAUUAAUCUUUGAUAAGUUAAAAUGAUUGUUCAAAGAAGAAUGAAGGAAGAAAGCAAAUUGCCUCUCUUAUUGAAUUCUAAAAAUAAUGUAAUACAAUGAAAAUAAAAUCCUAUUUAUACUAAACCUAAAAAUAAUGGAAAAAAUGAACUCAUAAUCUUCCAAUAUGGUAAGUAGUUCAAUUGGAAUAAAAUUCUGGCAGAAAAUGUGGAAAAUGCUUAAAAAAAUAAAAUUUUGAAUUUAAGCAUCGCUCGAGCGACGUUAAGCAAAAUUUGAGCGACAGCAGCAUCGCUCAAGAGAAGACACAACGAAAAGCAAGCGAAAUUGGUUUUGCUUUUCUCACUCAAGCGAGGGUCCAGCGAUGAGCGGGCGAAAUUCCUGCACUUCGUCAACUACGUUCUAGACUUGAAUUAAGUUCAACCACUUGGAUUUAGCUCCCGAGCUCAAAACCUGGAAUAAUUUCUUCAACUAUUGAUUGAACUAGCAUUCCCAUCGCCUGUUGACCGUCUUUGCCCUCGACUUAGUAUCGGACCAGCUCCAACGAUCAACAGAUCUCUACCAAGACUUGACUUCUCGACCUUCGGCUCCUAGAUCAUAUCAUCCCCUUUCUCUUCAAAAGGAUUCAUCCUCGAAUCUUCACCUGCAUCAAAAAAGAGAUAGACCAGCAACAUUAAAUGUAGCCGAAACAUUAUACUCACCUGGCAGAUCUACUUUGUAUGCAUUAUCAUUGAUUUUAUCGAUGACUUGGAAAGGUCCAUCUCCUCGCGGUUGCAAUUUGGACUUUUUCUGCUUCGGGAAACACUCCUUCUUGAAAUGUACCUAGACCCUAUCUCCAAGCUCAAAUGUCACGCAUCUUCUCCCUUUGUUUACUUUUGAUGCAAUCAACUUACUCUUUUCUUCGAUCUAUAUCUUAACCUUCUCAUGGAGUGACUUUAACAACACAGCUUUUCUUUUACCAUUCAAGCUACCUCGUUCAUUUACAGGCAAAGGCAAUAAAUCCAAAGAAGUUAGUGGAUUAAAGCCGUAGACUAUUUCAAAUGGUGAAAACGAAGUAGUAGAAUGCAUAGCUCUAUUAUAAGCAAACUCAAUAAAUGGUAAGCACUCUUCACAAAUUUUUCAAGUUUUUAUUGAUCACAGAUCGAGGCAAUUGAGUUAUGGUCCUAUUUACUACCUCAGUUUGCUCAUCGGUUUGUGGGUGACAAGUUGUAGAAAAUAAAAUUUUAGUUCCUAACUUAUUCCACAAGACACGCCAAAAAUGACUCAAAAAGUUACCAUCACGAUCAGACACUAUGCUCCUAGGGACUCCUUGCAAUCAUACUAUUUCCCUAAAGAACAAUCCUGCAAUGCUAGUGGUAUCAUCGGUUUUGUGACAUAGUAUAAAGUGUACCAUUUUACUAAACCUAUCAAUCGCUACAAAGAUUGUAUCUCGACCCCUUUUUGCCCUAAGCAAACCCAACACAAAAUCUAUUGAGAUGUCCACUUAAGGAUCACUAGGUACUGGCAAAGGAAUAUACAAACCAUGAGGUAAAAUCUUAGACUUAGCCUUUUUACAAGUUAUGCAUUUUUUACAAACUCAUUCUACAUCACUUCGCAUUUUAGGCCAAUAAAAAUGUUCUCCUAACAUAUCUAAAGUCUUUUGAACCCCAAAGUGCCUCAUUAAACCUCCACUAUGUGCUUCCCUUACCAACAAUUCACCUAUAAAACAAUUAGGUGUGCACAAAUUAUUUUCUCUAAACAAAUAUCCUUCAUGCCUAUAGCAUUUAUCAACAGCUCCCUUAUCACAUAAUUCAUAUAUGCUAGAGAAAUCAAUGUCAUUUUCAUACAUGCUCUUUAUAUCUUCAAAACCAAGUAACUUUGUAUUUAAAGAAUUAAGAAGCAUGUACCUUCAUUACAACGCAUCCACAACCACAUUUUCAUUACCUUGUUUAUGCCUGAUGAUGUAGGAAAACAUCUCUAUGAACUCCAUCCACCUCGCAUGUCUCUUAAUCAACUUACCUUGACUUCAUAAAUGCUUUAGGGACUCAUGAUCAGUGUGUAUCAUGAAUUCCUUAGGCCACAAGUAAUGCUGCCAAGUCUCCAAUGCACGAACAAGUGAGUACAACUCCUUGUCAUAUGUCGGAUAGUUUAGUACAACUCCGCUUAACUUCUCACUAAAAUAAGCAAUAGGUCUCCGUUCCUACAUUAACACUGCUCCAAUACCUAUCCCUAAAGUAUCACACUCAAUCUCGAAUGUUCUAUCGAAGUUAGGUAAUGCCAAAAUAGGUGCUUUACACAAUUUGUCCUUAAAAGUGUUAAAUGCAAGUUCUUGUGCUUCACCCCAGUGAAAACCUAUGCUUUUCUUAACAAUUUAUGUUAAUGUUGAUGUGAUUGUGCUAAAAUCUCUUACAAAUCUCCUAUAAAAACUAGCCAAACGAUGGAAACUCCAAACUUCAGUUAUGGUUUUAAGUGUUGGCCACUCUUUAAUAGCUUUUACCUUUUUUUAAUCUACUUCUACACCACUAGUACUCACCACAAAUCCUAGAAAGACAACUUUUUUCUGUACAAAACGUGCAUUUCUUGAAAUUAGCAUAUAGUUAUUCUUUCCUUAACACAGCAAGCACAUAUUUUAAAUGUUCCAAAUGCUCAUCUAGGUCUUUGCUAUAGAUUAAAAUGUCAUCAGAAUAAACUACAAACAAAUUUCCCUAUGUAAGCACGCAAAACAUGAUUCUUGAAAUGCAUGAAAGUGCUCAGUACAUUAGUGAGACCAAACAGCAUAACCAACCAUUCAUAUAAUCCAUAUUUAGUUUUAAAUAUCGUUUUCCACUUAUCAUCCUCCCUCAUACAAAUUUGAUGAUACCCGCUUUUAAGAUCAAUCUUACUAAAAAUGCAAGCACUUUGAAAUUCAUCUAGCAUAUCAUCUAGCCUAGGUAUUGGGUGACGAUACUUUACCGUUAUGUUGUUUAUAGCUCUGUAAUCCACACACAUUCUCCAAGUUCCAUCCUUCUUUGGCACCAAUAGAACAGGCACAAUGACUUAUACUCUCCUUCACAUAUCCGUUGCUCAUCAACUCCUCCACUUACCUCUGAAGCUCCUUUAUUUUCUCGGGAUUGUUUCGGUAAGGUAGUUUGUUUGGAAUGAUAGCUCCAGGUAUGAAGUCAAUCUGAUGCUCGAUGCCUCCAAUUGGUGGCAAUCCACUUGGCACGUCCUCUGGAAGUAUAUAUUCAAAUUCCUGCAACAAGGACUUAACCAAACUAGGGAGGGGUGUGUUAGAUUCCUCAAAAUUGAUAAAUGACUCUUUUUAUACGAACAACAACAACAAUGUUUACCUUUUAUCAACUUACUCCCCUUCGCAAAAAAGUUUACUUUCAGCUUUUCUCUCCUCUCAACUAACUUUUUUCUCUCCACUCAACUGAGUCUUUUCUCUCCUUUCAUGUGACCUCUCUCUUUUUCCCACUCUCGGCCACCUCACCAUUUUCUCUCUUACUCAGCGUCUCACUAUCUUCUCUCUCUUUUCUAAGCUCUCUCACUCUCCUCUCUUCCUCAUUUUUUAGUUUAAUUUGGUCUUCAUACACCUGUGCCGAUGUUAACGGUGCAAGAGUAAUGGAUCUCCCAUCCUUGACAAAGCUAUACCGAUUCCUAUACCCAUUAUGUGUAACUUUCCUAUCAUAUUGUCAUGGUCUUCCCAACAAGAUAUGACCCGCAAGCAUAGGUAAUACAUCAAGUACAACCUUGUCACUAUAACUCCCAAUCGAGAAAUUAAUUAAAACUCGUUUGUUAACCAUAACUUCUCCACUUUCAUUCAACCACUAUAAUUUGUAAGGCCUAGGGUGUAUAAGUAAAGCUAAUCCUAAUUUCUCAACUAAAGUUGUGGUAGCUAUAUUUGUGCAACUUUCACCAUCAAUAAUCAAAAUAUAUACCUUAUCAUGGAUGUGGCACCGAGUAUGGAAGAUAUUUUCCCGCUACUGCUCCGAAUCAUCCUCCUUGAUUUGAGUGUUAAAAGCUCACCUCGAAACCAACAAGUCCCCACCAACAAACUCUACCUUAUCCUCUUCUAUCUCAUCGUACUCUCCUUCACUCUCACUCACUACUUCUCCAUUGUCUAGCAACACCAUCACCUGCUUAUUUGGGCAUUGAGAAGCGAUGUGCCCAGACCUCAAGCAUCUAACACUUGAUUUCUUGACUCUUUGGUCGUUUUGACUCCAUUUUAGGCAUUGCUUUACUAGCAUCUUCAUCUUUUCCGUUUUGUCAUUCAUUCAUGCCUUUAGGUACAACAUCAUUUCUUUUACUAUUAUCCCACCUCGAUUUCUAAGAUGAAUUAGAACUCGAAGUACCUAGUUGUUGCCUAGCUGUCCCCUUCCUCUUCAACCAUCUCUCCACCUUUAUGGACACAUGCGUCAUGUCUUCGAAUUCCUCAUAAUGCUACAACUCAACUACAUUAGUAAUUUCCCUAUUUAAACCAUUCAAGAACCUUGCCAUAAUAGCUUCCCGAUCCUCCACCACAUUCACUCUAAUAAUGAGUAUCUCCAUUUCCUUGUGGUAAUCCUCUACACUCUUUGACCUCUGAUACAAGCUUUGCAAUUUUAAGUGGAUCUCCCUAUAAUAGUGGCUAGGAAUGAACUGUUUUCUCAUCAAUGCCUUCAACGCAUCCCAUGUGCUAAUUGGUCUUCCCCCACUCCUACGUUGUGAAGUAACCUCUUGAUCCCACCAGGUUAUGGUAUAGUCAAUGAAUUCUAACACCGCCAACUUGACGUUCUUCUACUCCAAGUAGUUAUAACACUCAAAAACUAAUUCUACCUUUCUCUCCCACUCUAAGUAUGCUUCUGGGUCACUUCUCCCAUUAAACCGUGGAAUGGUCAUUUUGAUACUACCCAGAUUCCCAUCCAUCUCAUCUCCAUGAUUAUUCCUAACCUGUCUUUCAAACCUAUCGCCUCUAUUCGUCGUCCAUCCCAAAUCAACGUCAUUAGCCUCAUACUCAUCUAGAUCACUAUCAUAUUCCUCAUACCUUAUCUUCCUAGGUUCUUGCCUACUCAGUCCCCUAGCAUUUGACAUCUCUAUUGGCUGUCCCCUAUGAAGAUUAGCCACUUAUGUAUCUAACCUAGUCAUCCAAGCCUCCUGUUGAUCCAACCUAUCCCUCACAACUCCAAAAGUACUCUCAAAUCGCUGUAUCAAAUCAUUUAUUGCGGCAUUAUGAUUGCCAUGUUGGCUUGAAUCGGAAUCUUCUCAUCUAGACAUCCUAAAACUAGAAAUUUUUAUUUGCCUCAUCCGUAUUCACUCGAAAAUCACAAAAUAUGGCUUUUAUCCUCUAAUAAGCUCACCAUCUACCUUUUACCACUCAAUGCUUUUACUAAGUGCUUCCAAGAACAAUCAAUGAACUCACCGGAUUCAAAAUUUGUGGACUCAAGACCGAAUGCAAGUCAAGGAAUAUAAUUUUUAAGGGAUUUUCGAACAAUGGAAUUGGAAUUUUGAAAAGACUCAACUAAACAAUUUAACAAUGGAGGUGUAAUAAAGAUUUUAAAAUGAUUUUGACAACUUUGAAUUUAUUUUUAUUUUUGUUAAUCAAACUUGGAAUGUUGGUAGUAAACCAAUCAAAAAAUUAGAAAUUUUUUUUUUAUGUGAACAUCAACUUUUUUUUUUUUUUUGAACAGCAACCUUUUUUUUUAUAUAUAAAACAACAACAAGAUUAUACUACCAACAAAAUUUCGAUCUAUGAACAAGGAACAAAGAACGACUCAAGAACACAAAAGGAGAACUAGGAAAUGAAAGAAUUUGGCGAACAAACAAGAAAAAAAAGAUAUAACCUAAUUAUAUUGGAGCCAAAGCUCUAAUACCAAUUGAUGUGAACCCCGUAGGUACAGUAAUUAUGUAAACCCAUUAUUAGAUUGAUGCAGAACCCAAGAACACCAAUUGAUAAUCUGAUUUUGGAUUUGAACCCGACAAACUGAAACAAGAAACCCAAAGAUAAUUGUGAUGCGAUGAACCCCUUGUUUACAAAUUGAAGAACCCACGAUCUGAUGCUGGAUGCCACAAAGAAUUAAUCUUUGAUAAGUUCAAAAGAUUGUUCAAAGAAGAAAGAAGGAAGAAAGUAAAUUGCCUCUUCUAUUGAAUUCUCAAAAUAAUGUAAAGUUCUAAAUGCAAUGAAAAUAAAAUCCUAUGUAUCUCAUAAUCUUCCAAUAUGGUAAGUAGUUCAAUUGGAAUAAAGUUCUGCAAAAAUAUGGAAAAACGCGUAAAAAUCUCGAAUUUAAGCGUCGCUCGAGCGAUGUCGAGUAAAGACCCAGCUAAAAGCGGGCGACAUUGGUUCUACUUUUCUCGCUCGAACGAUGAGCAAGCGAAAUUUUGGCACUUCGUCAACUUUGUUUUGGACUUGAAUUAAGUUCAACCACUAGGAUUAGGCUCCCGAGCUCAACACCAAACUUGUUCCUUUUUGCUCCAAGACCGAUGUUUCUUCAACUAUUGAUUGAACUUCUUUGCCCUCAUCCAAGUCAUCGGACCAGCUCCAACGAUCAAUGGAUCUCUGCUCGGACUUGAAUUCUCGACCUUCAGCUUCUGGAUCAUAUCAUGAAGUUCUUCAAGUAUCUUUGAUACAUUUAGAGAUACUUGUAUUUAGUACUUAACUUCAUUAAGAGCUUGAAGCCCAAUCCUCAAUCCAGUAACAACCAACAUUAUUUAAUUAGGAUAGGGUUAUCGUGGAUUUUUAUAAUGCUGAAACUAUCUAUAUAUCAAAUGAUUUGUUGUAACUUUUUGAACCCGUGGAUUACCCUUUGAGUAAUGAUAGGUAGGCUUGCCGUCAUUGGUGGACCUUUUAAUUUAGGAGUUUCAACCUCAUUAUACUUGAAGUACGUGCUAUUAAUUCUCUAUUUAGAGGUUUAGCUAAAGGAUCUACUAAAUUCUUGAUUGACUUUACAUAAUUUAAGAAAAUUAUUCCAUCCUUAAUUAAUUUCCUUAUGAAGUCACAUCUAAGACUCAUAUGUCUAGAUUUUCCAAUACACGUGACUUAGUAUCUUAUUAAAUGUAGCUAGCCAAUGAUCGAUUCAUUUAAUAGAUACAACUUGUCACUAUCACGAAAUCCUCUUAUGAAGCUAUGUGCUUCUCACUAACUUUAUCUAAAGCUUUAUUGAUUUCCAAACACGGUUGCAGGAUUCAAAUUAUCACACUAGUCAAUCAGUUUUGCUAGUGGAUUUCAUAUAUGGGAAUUCAAUUCUCAUCAUUGAAAUAUUACAAUGACCUUCAAUACUAAGAAUAUUAUUUAAAUAUUCCAAUUGUUUUUGCAAAUGCCAUAACCGGCUUUAACCUAUUUCAUCCACUUUAGACUUAGUGUAUAUCAUCAUUAUAAUCGUAUAAGGAUUUUCUACAUUUUCUCCUCCAUAGACAUCUUUCUAUGAUUAAAAUGGCACAACAAACUGUGACUUUUAUACUAAGUUAGCCCUACAAUUCCUUAAUUAGGAAUACAAAUGCAAUCUAGUAAUGUUGCAUCCACAAGUCUUGAACUUCUCAUAUAAUUUCACGAGCAUUAAUGUUAAUGCCCACAUUUUGGGUUAUACUUGAACUCAGAGUUCAUUAAAUCUUUCAUAGUUUAAUUCAUUUAUCACUUUGAUAAUAUCCAUGAAAGUGUAUAUACUUUCAGAUAGUGUUUGUUAAGUCACAAUGUACUUCAAUCCAACAAUCUUUAAUUUUGAUCACACACAAUUUAAUCAAGGUCAUUUCAUAGACCGAUAAUGCUUUUCCAAGCAUAAACCAACUUAAUUGGUUCCACGAUUGAAGUUAAAUUUAACAAUGAAGAAGACUAAGCAUCUUGGUUCUCAAGAAUUGGUACUUCUCCAAAUAUAAGUGACUUAUCACUUUUGUGACCUUUCAUAAGUUAGCAUCAUAUCACAUCAAAUAAUGAGGUACAUAUUCACUUUAUUCAUAUUUGGAUAAAAUCACAUUUUGUCAUGUUCAUUUGCAAAUAUAAUUUUGUAUCAAUCAACUCACAUAAUUUCAUCCAAUUAAUUGAAGCUAUCAUCAUAAUCAUAGUUAGUAUGAUUUUAACAAGAUGUGAAAAUUUAAAUUUCAACAAGAUCUAUCAUAUUUCAAUAAAAGGAAUAGUCAUGAAAGUUCAUAUACUUUCAACAAAUAUUUGGUAAUCUUCCAACAUUAUCAUCCCAUGCAUAUGAACCAUUUCCAACUGUUACGAUAAAGUGAGAAUAAUCAAUUUAUUUCAUUUUCCACAUGCAGUAACAGUAACAUUAAUAAAAAAUUGGAAUAAGUCAAAACUUUGGAAAGUCAUAUCUUUUCAUCUUUCUUAUUAGGUUGAUACUUAUUAAAAGUAUUCUAUUUGUCACAAUUUAAAAAUAAUCAAUCAUAUAGAUCAACAAACAUACUCUACCGUUUUACUCUGCCAAUAGUGAACAUAGUUUAUUAUAUGAAUAGAUGCAAUUUGUAACUUUCAACCGCAUAUGGUUUUAAUUGACCACAAAGGAAAUAACACAUUGCUUGUUAAAACAUGAUAUCCAAACCAUAAACUAUCAAUGUUUACAAAUUUCAGCAAACGAUCAUGCACAUAUAUACUUUGACAUGAUAAAAUUGAACACAUACCGCAAAUUUGGACCAAAAGUCAUGCAUAAAUUCGCCUUUUCACAUUAUAGCAAUGUAGGCAUUCAUAUAUUCUUUUUCUAUCAGCAGCAAUCAUUUGACCAUUGAAAUAUAAUGCACACCAUAUAAAUUAAUAUCCAUUUAGUGGGUUUCAUCUCCUUUUUUUCAUAUGUCAAAACUAUAUUUAUAUAAUGAAAAUAGAUGUUCAAUCCGUUUUAUGCAUAUAAAAUCAGAUUAAUAUGUAGUCAAAACCCACGUAAUUUUUUUUUCAUGUGCGAAGAUCGAAUAAAAUUUCGACUUGCCAUAAUGGAAUUUGAGAAAAUGAAAUGAUAAUUACUAGAAUCGAAUAUGUGGCGAUGGAUUCAAUCCUUUCCAAAACGUUAUCUCCAAUGCCGUUAGAGAAACUCCAACUUGGCAUACCAUCUUGUGAAGUUUGUCCCACCAAAAUGGUCCAAACAAGAUCAUGAUUCAUCAACUUGAUCGUAGCCAUUAUGGUUUCAUUCUCCAUAGCAGAAAUAUCGUUUGAGAUCGUUGGAAAUAUUUCACAACCAAGGGAAGUAGAGAAGAAACAAGAUAGAAAAUAUAUCAAGUGGACGAAAAUGAUGAUGAAGGCUUGAACAAUCCUCAAAUGAUAUUUACCCCCUCUAGAAUACAAUUUUGGUUCUUAAAGGGUUCAUUGGAAAAUGGUUUGAAGUAUUAAUCAAGCCUUAUAAAGAAUUUAAUUCUUAAGCACUGGUGUAAUUCUCCAAAACUCAAGAACAUAAAAGGAAAGGCUUGAAUAUGAAUCUGAAUAUAAUUGGAAUGAAUAGUUUGAUCUUAAUUGUGGCUAUAGAUUUUUCAAUAUUUUUUCUAGUUUAUCAACCACAUAUUUAUAGCCUUCAAACAUGCCAUACGAAGUGGUGCCAAAAAACUCUCAAAAACCACGUGAAAUUUGAACAAAAUGGCUACUAACGGUUACAUGAUUACCCUAGUAUUAGCCUAUGCGACCGCAUAGGUUGUUCAAAGCAGGGCCUAUCUCCUUGCGAUCAUACCCUUAUAGGGUCUAUACGGUCCCAUAGAUCAUGGGUUUGGCCUGUUUGUGGCUGCUCGUUUCCACUUUCAUUCCAUACACCUCACUUAUUGAUUUUGAACAACAAUUCUCAUCACUGCCCUCAAAGCAGCCUAUUCAUCCUCCUGGGUGUUGUCCCUAAGUGGGUAAAACCACGUUGAAACAUUUAUCACCCCUUUUUUGCCUCCUUGGUGUUCCUGUAUGUACAAAUGUAAUAAUAUUUAUAAUCAAUAGUUAAAUCUCAAAAGUGUUUAUUUAUAUGUGUGUUUGAAAUGAAAACUUGAUAAUAUUUCCUAUACAUAUAAACCGCAUGUGCGCGAGCAAGGAUCAAAUUGUGUGCCGCAAUAUAUGGAUCAGUGCCCAGAUUUCCAUUUGAGAAAGUAUGGUGAGGCAAUUUUUGUGCCAUAGCAAUUAUUUCUCCGAUUCGAUCUCUUUUAGAGGAAUCAAGUUCUCUGAUCGGAUCACCUUCUGAAGAAGUAAAGUGAGGAUUAGUCAUUGGACAUAUGUGAUGAAAGAUCGAAGAAUGCAUCAAUUGUUUUAUCGAAGUUUCAUUUGCUAAAGUUGCACAAGGGGAGAAAUUGCCUAUCACAUAUCCAUAAUAAGUAAAGGCCCAUCGCUCAAUUUAGUGUGAUCCAAUGUUUUACUCGAUUACCAAAUUCCUCAAAGCACAUCUUAGCAAACUCACAAAACGCAACGUGAAACAAGUUAAUAUCAAGAUAUACGUGUAACGUGCACAUGAUAAAAAUUUUCACAUAUCAUGUUAAAUUCUCCCUAGCAUAGAACUAGAGAGCAGUAAACAAAAAAGAAAAUAUUGAAAUCAUCUCCCUAUCAUAGAACUAGACAGCAAUAAGAAGAAAAGAUACUCUCUAGCAUAGAAUUAGAGAGCGCAAAAAGAAGAAGAGAUAAAUUCAACGUGAAAUCAUAUUGAAGAUUGGAAAAUAACCAAUGACUUAUAAGGUAUACAAGUGCUCUAUUUAUAGACACGGUACAAUAGCAUUAUAGCUGGACUUCAACAGAUUUAACUAACUAACUAUAUUUAUUCUAAGUAACUAAACUAACUAACCAACUAACUAACAUAACUACAUAACAGCUGGAAUCAAGAUUGGAAUCUGGUGAGCUGAACUGGAAGGGAUCUACUAAUAUGUAUUGUUUCUGGUUCUAUAUUGUAAGAGCCCCCCUCAAGAGGGGCAUGGAUGUUCAAAAUGCCCAUGUUGCAGAUAUUGGAAUGAAGCAUGACAGAUGAUAGAAACACCAUAUGGUUCAAUUUAGAUUCCAGCAGCUAAAUAUCCAAGAAUAGAUUUUUCAGAAUCACAUGGUACUUUCUGGAACACGUCAGUGGAAAGACUAUACCUCCGCGUGCAAUUCUUCAGUUUUUCACAACUAAUGACUUUGUUUUCAGUGAACAAAAGGUUAAGCCAAGAUCUUAACAGCUUAUCCUCAAUAAACUAAGAUCAGAUUUUAUCACGGAUAAGAAACCAAAAAGGCGUAACAAAGCAGAUUUCGAGAGAGAAAGUUAAAGAGGAGUGCAAGUGCACUUAAGAAGAACCAUGUCUUGUGAACCUUCACAAAGGUUUGGUUGGGUGGACUAUACAACAAUUUGCAUAGAUUUUGAAGUACUAAAGGAUGUUGUGAGAUACAGCAGACAAGAACUUGAGGUAGCCUGCGAAGAUUUCAGUAACAUCAUUGGAUCCUCUCCAGAUAGCCUCGUAUACAAAGGCACCAUGAAAGGUGGGCCUGAAAUUACUGUUUUAUAUAUAUAUAUAUAUAUAUAUAUAUAUAGGAUAAGUAAAGAAGGAAUCAAAUGCUAUCCCGAUCUCAUAGAUGCACUUUUGGCUAUAUAUAUAACAUUUAAAUUGAGGAAAUUGCUUGGCAACGUCAUUCGAAAUUUCAAAACUUUUUGUCCUUUGAUCUAAAGAUAUCAUUUUUCUCGUCAAAAGUUUUUCUAAAUUUAUCUCAUCCUUUUCCAUGAGUUACUAUGCAAGAUUGUCGAGACUUUCUAGUCCAUUUAGACAACUGAGCCCUACUUUUCAAUGAGAACAAUAAACUCUACAUUGUCAACAAUCUCGUCUGCUUUGCCAAGUGAGGAUUUUGAUAAAAGGCAGUAUAGUCAUAUAAACUUUCAAGAAAAAAGCUCUUUGGCCUUAAAAAAAUUAGAUUACUUGGAAAACUUUUCCUUUCAAAUAAAAUAAUGCACAAACUCUAAAUCUUCCACGUUUCAAUAUUGAAAUAAAAUAUCUAUUUUUAUAUUUUUAUUGAAGUAGAAUCCAAUACUUGGUAAGAUUCUGGACCAUGAGAUUGAAAUCUAUAAGAAUUCAAACCUUCUUCAUCAAAGCCACAACUUCCUGCAAAAUUAUGAGCACAAUUAACAAUGAAACAGAUAAUUCUUGGUGGCUUAAAUUAGAGCACAGUCAAUCAUAAUGGAAAUAAUUUUUGUUUCUACCAUUUUUUUUCAAAAUUGAAAAUUUUGACUUCAAAUGUUAACUAAGUAUCAACUCUGUUAGGUCUAAGAGUGUAAUUAGUGAUUUUGGGAAUAAAAGGGAUGUAAUUGAAUGUUUGUAAAAGUUAGGGACUCAAUUGAACAUUGAUGUAAAAGUCAGGGCCUUGCAUUGCAAUUUUGUAAAGUUGGGUAGGCUAGGGUUUACACUUGAGGCUAGGGUAAAGAUACAGCAAAGCGUCGCUGGCUGCUCGCUUGACCAAUGCUCGAGCAUAAAAAGCAGAGAGCUCGUCACUCGCUCUUCGUCCCCUCAUCGCUCGAGUGAUAAUGUUUUGCCAGUAAUUCUAAGUCUAAUUUUUCGAGACUUUUACAUGGCCCAGGACUCUCAUCUGUCCCCAGAUAUAAAUCAAAGGUCGUGAACAAAAGGAGGAGAUUGCCACAUUGUGCCUACAUUGCAAAACAUCUUCCUACAUUCUUUCAAGAGGUCCAAGAUAGAAUUGAUCAAGGAAUUCAUCUAUAACAUCUUGUGAUUUGGGCAAUCUACGAUGGGAAAACAUCAAAGUUCUUGAAGACAAAACAACGUGUCUUCCUUCAUCCGUUGAGGAAGAGACUAUCUCAUUGGGGAUUGAGAGAGGUGGACGUCAAGCACAGUGAAUCGGACAAGAACAGGCGAUUCUUGAAAUUCCACUUUGUGAUACAAUCGUGAGACUGGAGCAGUAGGUUUGAUUGGGUACGAAGUUUGAUGUAACUUGUACUUGCUAAAUUGGUAUAGUAGACAUCACUGACUUGGUCCUGGAGUUUUUUUUUUCCACAUUGGGUUUCUCUGGCAACAAACUGUGAGUUGUGUUGAUUUAUUCUUUUACAUAUUGCAAAACGAUAGUUCAAUAUAGGAUUAACAUGACUUGUAUGUUUAACGAACUAGAUUAAUUAGUGACUUUUUGCUAUUAAUUGUAUUAAUUCUGCACGUAAGGUCGAAUUGGUAACUUGGAACGUAAACUGGGUAAAGCAUAAAAUUUGAAUUUAGGAUUAGUUCAUUUUACAAGUAGUAUCCAAAGCGUUCCUAGAACUUUCAAGUGGUAUCAGAGCCUAAACACGAGUCGUGACCUUACAUUGUCUAGAUGAGUAUGUCAUUGAGUAUGCCGCCCCAUUUUGAUGGGAAUAAUUUUGCGUAUUAAAAAGUGAGAAUGAGGGCAUUUUUGAAGCUAUCACUACAACAAAAAUGUGAUUUUGCGACAAGAUAUUUUGUGAUAUACGGAAAGUUGUCGUAAUAAGUGAUUUAGCGCAACACAUUUUUUAAGUUUGUCGCAAAGAUUGAUAUGAAAAAAAUAAGUAACAAAAAAUAUAAGGCGACAUUAAAAGUUGUCGUGAAAUGUGAGAAGGUGCGACAAAUAAUAAAGAUUGUCACCAAAAACUGGAGAGAAGCAAAAUGCCAAAAAUAUUUUUGGUGGGAAAUUUAUGGCGACAAACUUUUAUUUUUGCAACAAAGUGUGUGUGAUGCAAUAGAGUCCACUUUUUGCGACAAGGAAUAUGUGUUGCUAAAAUUUCUAUAGAUAGAGGAAAAAAUCGUUACAAGAAAAACUAUUUUUUACAACGGACAAAAAAUGUAUCAUUAGGUCUUUCACAACACUCACUCGUAUGUUGCAGGUUCUAAUGUUGUCGUAGAGUAGAAAGAUAUGGCAACAUGCAAUGCAUGUUUCAAAAGGUCUCAAAUCACGUUGUUGUUAUGUUUUUGCAAUGUACCUCAUCAUAGCUUUUAUUAUAUUUCGCAAUGCUCUUUGCCUAUUGCCUUAACUUCUUGCAAUGUUCUUUUAUUUUUUUGUAACAAAUGUUUAUUUUUCAUCUAGUUAAAGAUGACAUUUUAAUAUGUACUACAAUUUUUUUUUUAAAUUUUAAUUAUUUUUGACCAAGAGAAAAAUUAUUUAAUAAAAAUUUUGUAAACUGUCAAGAAUAACUUUAUCUUCAACCAAAAAAAAAAAAAAAAGUUCAUUAGACAAUAAAAGUUUCAAUCAUAUAAUAACUUAUAAAAAGAACUACUAUGCUGAACCAAUUAAAAAAAAAAAAAAUAAGCAGUAAAAAUGACCAUCUUUUUUUGGUAUUAAAAAAUUAAAAAAUUGUUUUGUUUUUUAAUUUUCUAUUUUACCCUUCAACCUAAUAAAAACACCCACGAUUAAACAUUAUUUUAUUCCCAGCCAAAUUUCGCAAGGGUUUCUUCCAAGUAAAAAUCCCCAAAUCCAUAUCAAUUGGCGGCACAGUCCAAUAGGUCACCACCACUCUUCUCACGCCUCCAUUGCCGUCAACCGCAUCCAAAGCGUUUUCUACUUACUGCUUAUCUGAGAAAUUUUAGUAGGUCGAUUUGCAUUUUUUCCCCCUUCUAAUCUGUUGAGGAGAAACUUAGAUUUACAAUUUUGGUUUCUUCUUUAUUUGGGUUUGAUAUGUGUUUGUUUAAUCAUACAUUUUUCUUGUUGAUUUGAUCGUUAAGCAAUGCACAAAUGUGCUUAUGAAUUUCUUUUAUUUUAAUAUACAAGAAGGGUGUUAAUAUUGGGUUUAAGUCCCUGAACGGUUACUUUUGUUCCCUUCUCUCAUCAUCUUAUUUCUAUAAUACUCUAUGCUAGAUUAGAUUAUAGAUAUGAUCUGCUAAACCAAUUAUUUUUGUGACUUAUACGCCAGUUUCUAUGUUGCACAGAGACAGAGUUUAACAAUGGCUUAUUAGAUUAGUCAAAACAAAUGAUACCACAUUUCUUGUUUUACAGUUCGAAGUUUAGUAAGCUGCCUUCCCAUUAUUGAUGUGUUUCAUAAUUAUUUCUGGGUAAUGGGUGGUUUUUUUAAAGGACGUGUCCUCACUCUUCAUGGAUGUUGUUAACUACAGGGAAAAGAAAAUUUGGACCUGGAAAAGCUAGUUUAUUUACAUCUCGUCGUAGUCUGAUCUUGUUAUACUUGACGUGAACACAACGGUGAAGGUAAUAUGCACAAAAAUGUCAAUCUUCUUCAAAUUGAUACAUUUUGAGCAUAUUCUGACACUUCUAGACUUGCACUUUAUGUUGAAUUGUGAUAUGAUUUUCCACCAAUUUCUUGCACUCAUAGAAUAUAUAGUUUGCAGAAGGUGGUCAUCUCAAAUGGAAGCCCAUUUGAACUUUGCAAGUUUAUUUUUUUUUUCAUUAACUUUAUAUAAUCUUCCUAGAAUAAGAUUGAAUUCUGUUGUCCAUGAGUUUAUUAGUCCUACAAAUUGCAAGCAGUUUUCCUAUUUGAGUUAUUAAUUGUUACUUGUACAAGGGAAGUACUUAUUCUACGGAAAAAAUAUGUAUACUAAAUUUGUAUAUGGGAAAAUAUGUAUUCUAGAACUGACCUUUUAUAGUAAAUAAUGCAGAUGUAUUUUGUUGGGGGCUAGUUUCAUGAGAACCAACUGUUUCCACCCUUGUUGCUUUCAGCUUCGUCACGAGAUCAUCAUUUGUUAAAUUCUCUGUUGUAUUUAGGUUGACUAUUAGAAUUUGUUUCAUGAGUUAAUUAUUGCACUAAAUUGGAAGUGUUCAAAAGAAUCUAAUUUUUAGAAUAUCCAUUCCAGUAGCUUAUUCUUUUGUUUUGGUUAACAUUGUUUGUUGUUUUCACUAAAAAUUACUGACUACAUAUUCUCUUUUGUAUGGUCUAUGUAAAUACAGAGAUAUACAUGCUGGAUAGGAGUUGGAUGCAACUUUGUAACAGAUUAAGUAAUCAAUAUUUAGAUGGUGUUAAUUCAGGAGGUAGCAAAACAAUGUCUGGAUGAGAACAACGAGGUUCAGUGUCCACGUCGAGAUUGUCAAAAUGCAUUUAUGGUAGAAUCUCAUUUAUAUCAUCCCAAAGUCUCUGGAAGUUAUGAGAGAUGGAUUUUUCAUGGGGUGGAACUUGAGAAUGAUACGGAGGGUGUUGAAAGAAAUACAUCUAAAUUGGAUGAAGCAGAAAAUGAUGAUGAGAUGAUGAUAUGUUAGAAAAUCUAUGUGCUGCUAAAGUCAUCUGAAGCUGGCCAAACUCGAGAGGGGGAAGCAUAUGGCAGAAAUCAUAAUUUCUCACAUAUGAUGAUGCGACAAACUCUCUGUGUUGUGAAAUAAAUUUAAUUACAAACAUCACUUGUUUUAUGAUAAACUGUAUUAUAAAUUUUGAAUAUCUUAAAAUAUAUUAUGCAACAUAUCAAAUGCAUUGUAAAUCAUAUUUCGCUACAAAUUUGACUUGUUAUUAAAUAUAUAUCGCUAUGAGCAUGUGUUGCUGCAAAAUAGAAUCGGUAACAAAAUUUAUACCUUUAAAAUAAUAUUCGCAAUAGAUAUUUUUCUUGGAAAAACUUUAUAGUAAUAAUUGUUGCAACAGACUGACUUAUCGCCCUUUUAAUUUUUAGCGACAAAUAUGAGUUGCGACGACACUAUGGUGACAAAUAUUGUGUUGCUAUUUUGUACUUUCCGCAUCAAAUAAAUAAUGUUGUGAGUUUAUUAAUGUGAUGAACCAGUGAAAGUUGUCGCAAAAUAUAUUUUGUGACUCAUAUAGCGCGAUAAUGCCUGCAACAAGCGUCUAGUUGUUGCUAAAUUUCUUUUGCAACAAAAUCUCAAUUUUUGCGACAAUAUUUUUUUGUCGCGAAAUCGGUUAUUUUUUUUUAGUGUAUGUAUGAGAGGAUAUGGUUAAGUGUUGUGAAUGGUUGGUCUGCCCCUACUACCACAGUCGAUGGUGUUGUCACUCCUACCUCCAUAGAAAAUUGGUCUAGAGUUGAAUUAGAUAAAUGUAAUUGGAAUAGUAAAGCCUUGCAUGCCCUAUUUAUGGCUAUUUCCCCUGAAGAAUUUAGGAAAGUGUCCAUGUGUGAGGUAGCAAAGGAAGUUUGAAAUAUUUUAGAAACCACACAUGAAGGAACUCAGGCAGUUAAGAAUUCUACACUGCAGAUGCUAGCCACUAGGCUUGAAGAGAUAAGAAUGAGAGAUGAUGAGAUGUUUGAUGUAUGCGAGCCUAAAUGACAAAGUGAAUUCGUCCUUCUAUCAAGGGUAGAAAAUCCCCGAGUCUAAGAGAGUGAGGAAGAUUCUUAGAUCCUUACCCGAACGUUUUAGGCCUAAAGACUCUGCAAUUGAGGAAAGUAAGGACAUAGACACUAUCAAUGUAGAAGAGCUAGUUGGAUCCCUCCAGACCCAUGAGCUUACCUUAAACAAUCUAGCUAAGGAAAAAUCUAUAGCCUUGAAAUUCGCUCGGAAUAACUGGAUGGAAUCUUCUGAUUUACAUUCACCCAACAAUGAGGAGAUCACCUACUAACUAAGAAAUUUCAAAAAAAGUUUAGGAAGAAGAAGCUGCAAGAAAAACUGAGAAGUAGCCUCAGUGACUCUAGGAGAAAGUCUAAAUCUGUGAGAUGCCAUAAGCGUGGAGGUUUUGGCCAUUUUAAGAGUGAGUACCCUAAUGCUAAGAUAGUCAAGAACAAGGCUAUGAAUGCUACUCUCACUAAUGAUGAGUGUAGCUCGAACAGUCAGAGUAAGAAAUCCACAUAUGAGGAGAGUGGAAAAUAUAUGGCCUUCAUUGCUUGGUUAAGAGUGGAUCCCAACAAGAUGAUGAUAUAGAUGGUAGUGAAGAAUCUGGUGAUAAGAAUGGAAGUGAGGAAGAUCUUGAAGAAGCUUAUGAUAAAAUUUAUAAAGAAAGUCUCAAGAUCAUAGCUACUAACCAAGUGCUGAACAAGAAAGUGAAGGAACUUAGGUUAGAGAAAGAAUAUUUAGAGGCCCAGGUUAGUGAUCUCACGAGUAAGAAUGAUAUGUCCUCUAGGAGAGUAAGUGAGCUAACCGAUGGAAAUAAGACCUUAGCUAUUUAGGUCAAGCACCUUGAGAGUGAGCUGGAGUUGUCUAGUUCUCAGAUACUUGUCUUUUCUAGCAAUUUUGAAAAGCUAGAUAAUAUUUUAGGAAUAGGCAAGCCGAUGGGUGAAAAGGGAGGUCUAGAUUUUAAUAAUAAUGCUGCUAGUACUUCACAAACCACUUUUGUUCGUGCUACUGACCAGUCUAACACUGUGGCUAGCCCCAUAUCUAAUGUUGUGGAAUCUUUAGGACAGAGGUCUACCAAACAUCGUAGGAUCCAUCAACAUAGGAAUAGAAAUCAGCGUCACCAUAACCAUAGUGCUAGGUUCAUCCCUACUUACUUUCACUGUGGAGAAUUAGGUCACAUACGCCCUAGAUGUCAUCAGUACUUCAACAAAAAUAGGAACAUGAACUUAAAUGAGAACAAAAAUUAGGUGUCUAUUGGUCAAAUUGGAUUCCUUACUGAGCUAGUGAAUUGUUUGACCAAGUUGGUGACACAACUGUCGGGGAACUGCUCUCUCGCGAGAUAGGUUUGGGUGAAAAGGAGUGAUCUACAGAAUCUGGAAGUGGAUCAUGGUGCUCUUAAAGGAAAUAACACUUAUAUAUCUAGAUAAUUAGGUAUAUGUGAUGCAUGCUUGCUCUUAAUUGACAUACGAGUGUUGCAUGCAUCACAUGAUUUUUGCUUGUUUUUGUCUAAUCUUUUUAUUUUAUGCAUGUGCAUUUUCAUUUUUUUGCUUUGACACAUGCAUAUUUAGUUUAAUCUUUGUGUGCUUGUCUUUAUUUUCUUUUGUGUGUGGAGCAUUCAUUUUAGGAAAAAUGAAAAAUACAAAAAAAAAAUUGAAAAAGAUAAAAACGGUCGGUUAUGAAAAUUGCUAUAGCAUGACAUAUAAUUCUGAACUUGCUAGUUGUAAUCAUGUAUGAGCUAAAAUUGAUAAGAUGUAGAGUAAUUUUCAUUUCUUGGUUAGGUCUAUUUUGAUUAAUUUGUAUAAGUAUCUUCAUAUACCGCCUGUACUUUACACACUAUGAACUUUUUAGUGGGACUCUCCCGCGAGUGUGAGAUUUGGGAUGGCUGUCACGUGUUGAUGGGGUGACUUCAAACAUGAAUUGACCAUUUUUUUGUAGACAUUAACGCAAAAAUUUUCUCCCAUUUUAUAUUAGCUCAUAUCUUAAUGUCCUUCUUCGAGGCCUAUUUGACUCGAGGAAUUAAGUCUACGGGGUCUCUUAAAACCUAGUAUCUAUUGCCAACUGACUUAGAUUAAUCAAUCUAAAGCUCGCUACGGGGUCAUCUCAAUCGUUUAAUGGAGGAGAACCUUAACUUAAAAUGAAAAAUAAAUGAUCCCGGAAUAAAAUGUGAAAAUAUGAUGAGCUGAAAAAUGUGAAAAUGAAAAAUAUAAAUGCUCAUAGUAAGAGGGAGAAAAAAAAUAAGUAUAGGUUCUACUGCACGUCACAUGAUUUGAAUUUCAUAAGUAGAUGAAUAUACUUAUUGGUAGUAAUUGGCAUGUCUCACAAAAGGUUUGGAAUCCUGCUUGCAUUGGAUUAGUGACACGUUACACAAAUGAGUCACUUGUACUUUUCACUCCAUUUUGAUCUGAACUGAGUAUGUGGAGAGGUCUACUACUUGUUAAUUUUACUUUUCCUUGCUAUCAACUGCAUUUGUGAGGUAUUAUAUGUUAUUGCUCAGUUCGUUCUUAAUAUUAUUCCGUUCAGCAUUUGUAACAAAAAUGAGUAGAGGAAUGUGUAACUAAGGGGGAGAAAAAUAAUGAAUGAGCAUAUAAAUAGAGAGCGACUACAUUUGCAUGGCACAUGAUUUCACCGAUUGAUGUUACUUACAUUUUGCAUUGCUAUGUCUAGGGGUCGUUGGGGGAGAGACAUAGAUGCAUUGAUAUAUAGCAUUACAUUCAUGAGUACUUGCAAAAAAGUGAGAGUAUUGCAUUACAUUCCAUAUCACAUCCAUUUGUUUGAGUUUGUUUUUUUAUUUUUAGUGGUGUUGAUGUUUCGGUUGGUGUUUUGACUAGCAUCAAUAUCACGUCUCAACCUAGCAUGUUAUGUGUUUGUGAUUAAGUGUGUUAACCUUUUAUAUUUCCUAUAUCACGUGUUUUUACACUGGGCAUAUGAGUUUGAAAAUUUCAGAAAACAGGUACAAGAAGGAAUGCAAGACUCAGUUUUUGGAAUUACCGGGUAGUAUUGUUUUGUGUGUCAAGCCCAAGCUUAUUUUUUGUAUAGACCUAACUUAUAUUGUGUAGUUCUGUCACAGAAUGCCAAAGGAGGAGUUUAUGAAGUCUAAGAGUUUCAUUGGCGAUUUUGUGAACAAAAUGGAUGUAAUUGAAUGUUUGUAGAAGUCAGGGACUCAAUUGAACAUUGAUAUAAAGGUUAGGGACUUGCGUUGCAAUUUUAUAAAGUUGGUUAGGCUAGGGUUUACACUUGAGACCAGGGUAAGGAUACGUCGAAACUUCGUUGGCUGCUUACCUGACUAUCGCUCGAGCAUAAAAAGCAAAGAGCUCUUUGCUUGCCCUUCACCUCCUCGUCGCUCGAGCAAAAACACAUCUCUCACUUUUCACUUGAGCGGCAAUGUUAUGCUACCGAUUCUAAGUCACAUUGUUCAAGACUUUCACCAGGUCUAGGACUCUCAUCUAUCCCUAGAUAUAAAUACAAAGGUUGUGAACGAAAGGAGGAAAUUGCCCCAUUGUGCCUACAUUGCAAAAAACAUUCCUAUAUUCUUUCAAUAGAUCCAAGGUAGAAUUCAUCUAGAAAUUCAUCUAUAAAAUCUUGUGAUCCGGGCAAUCUAUGGUGAGAAAACAUCAAAGUUCUUGAAGACAAAACACCGUGUCUUCCUUCAUUUGUUGAGGAAGAGACUCUUAUUGGGGAUUGAGAAAUGUGGAUGUCAAGCGCAGUGAAUCAGACAAGAACAGGCGAUUCUUGGAAUUUCACUUUGUGAUGCAAUCAGUUAAGGACCAACAUGUUGUAGUGGAUAGCAAAUUGAACUACAGGAGGUAGAUUAGGAAGUCUAGCAGGAGGCUAGAUACAUUUACGAUAAUAGAUCGUGAGUCUGGAAUAGCGGGUCUAAUUGGGUAUGGAGUUUGGUAUAACUUGUACUUGCUGAAUUGGUAUAGUAGACAUCACUGGCUUGGUCCCAAAGUUUUUCCACAUCGGGUUUCUCCAUCAACAAACUGUGAGUUUGUUGAUUUGUUUAUUUUGCAUAUUGCAAACCAGCAGUUCAACAUAGGAUUAAUCGGACUUGUAUGUUUAACCACCUAGACAACAAUUAAUUAGUGACUUCUUGCUAUUAAUUUUAUUAAUUCCGCACGAAAGAUCGAAUUUGUAACUUGAAACGUAAAAUGGGUAAGGCAUAAAAUUUGAAUUUAGGAUUAGUGCGUGUUUCAAGUAGUAUCCAGAGCGUUCCUAGAAAUUUCAAGCUCAUUUUGAAUUUAAUGUUCCAAAUAAUGGUCACAAAUUUAUCGUUUUCAAUAAUGGGAGAAAAUUUUUUCUUGCAUUAUUGAAUCAAAAAGGUUAUUUAAAUAGCUUAAAGUUGUUCAUUCAGUUCAUUUUUCACUUUAGUUAUUAAACUUCAUUGUAUCACUUGUAGAAAAUUUAUUUAGAACUUCAUUUUGUGAAUGAACAAGUACUUCAAGCCACUUCUAGUGAUUCAAAUUCUAAAUCUGUCAAUUUUCUUAGUAUGGUGGUAGAAAAAUAUUAUUCAUUUCAUUUCUACCAACGGAUUUAUGAAACAUAUUAGAAAUGGUGGUAGAUUCAAAAUCAACAAUUUGGAGAGAAAAAUAUUGAAAAUAGAUGAGUAAAAAGAACUCAGGGAGACUCGUGGUAGUGUUUCUUAGAAAUGGUGAGUAUUUAUUUUGAUAUCAAUUUAUAGAAAAGUAGUAAAAGUAUAGAAGUUCUUACAAAUAUGAGGGCCUACAUGACUGCCUCACUUAGUGUUUGAACUGAUAUGGAAUUUUGAUAAAGGAUUAAAUUAAAAGGGGCAACCUGCGUAUUGAUGAGGCGACUUCAGAUCUACGCCAACCUAGUGAGGCAUGGAUAUGCAUUGAUGUUAAUUUGUUGUAUAAGCUUCCAAAUAGGAUUUGGAUUGAGCGUGAAAAGCGUGGAGGAUAUUGGCAGAUAGUUGUGUACGAGAAGAAGCCAGAUUACUAUUUUUGAUGCAGACACUUUGGUCAUGCUGAGGACCAUUUUUUAGUUAGAUCACGCCCUACACCACCACCUGCUAUAAUUGUUGACCCCAUCCCUAAACAUAAUAUAGAAGUGGCCCACGAUAAGGGAAAAGGAAAUUAGGUAUUCAUAGAACCUCCUAAGAAAUGGUUCCAGUUCAGAGAGACCAGAGGAGACAGCAUGCUACUAGCACAUCUAGAGUCCAGAUUUCAUCUUCUAUAUCUAUUGUUAUUACAUCAGCUACGCUUCCUACUGCUUCUAGCUCACAUGUUCAGACCAGUUAGCUACUCCUUCAAUAGCUCUUCCAAUUGUUACAACUUUGCCAAUUAUCAUCACAGUAGCUCAACAGCCCCUCCAGAAUCCCCUUCCGAUUUUGCAGCACCUCCAGCUACUUAGGAGGUAGUAUAUCAUCCAGUUACUAUUACAUUUACUCUACCUCUAGUUCCUAUUCCCACUGCUACUACUGAGCUAUCCUCUGAGCCGACACAUAUUAGCUAUCCACCAUUGAAGACACAUACAAAUGGUACUCAAUCAGCAUAAGGAUAAGAUACAGGGACAGUUCCUUAUGCUGCUCUUGCACACGGGUUGUUAGCUAAGAUCAGCUCAGAGUGGCAUGGUGUCAAGCAAAUAUUGAUCGAUCACUUUAAGAGGGACCAUGGAAUGAAAGUUGGAUCUACCAUGGGAUUUUCCAUUGAGGACUUGUGAUGUGAACCUGGAUAACUAGAUCGCUAUUAAACCCACAAAAGAAUGACAUAAACCCCAAGAAAGCCAAAAAUCAAAGUUUAUGGAAUUUGACCCACAAUUAUGAAUCAAACAACCAACACAAUCACUAGGAUAUGCUAGCCUUUUGAUUACAAGAUUUAUGAAAUCAUACUUGGAAUUUUAAAGAUUGACUUGAAGAAUAAAAUGAACCAGAAACCCAAGCAAUUACUAGAAUACCUUGACCUCGUGAUUGCAUAAUCCACGAAUAGCAUUUUGAUUGGUAAAUGCCAUGAGAAAUUAUCCCAAUAAGUUCGAUAAACUGUUCUCUAAAAAUAAAGAUGGAAGUAACCUUGCCUCUGAUUAAUUCAAAAUAUCAAAAGUCCUAUAAUGAAUAAUAGGAAAAAGUAUUUAUACUACCCUAGGAAUAAUGGAAAAAAAAUGAAUAUUAAGAGUCCUAAACUUAUAAAGUUACCAAAAAUAACAAUUUAAAUCAAAACAGAAUCCUCGCGAAAAAAGGAAAAAGUCGCGUCCCAAAUGAACCAUGCGACCGCGUGGUUCUUUUAGCCGCGGUCGCAUGGAAGAAACGUGGGCUGCCUCUUCAAUCCCUAUCCUAGUCUAUGCGAGCGCAUGGGCUUUAAAGCCUUGUGGCCGCAUGGCUUUGUGUGUUGGCCCUAAUUUUGGUUUCUUCCAACGAUGUGUUCUUUAACUUAUCGGCCCUUGACCCUAGCAUUGAACUUGACACUUGAUAUGUUAUCUUCAACCUCAUGUGCCUCGCUUCUUGAGUAUGCAUUUAUAUGACCUUUGGUAUCAUCAUUGUUCCAUAUUACUCCCAAUUGAGCCCCUUGCACCUCUUCCAUGAACUUUGCUCCCUUGAUUGAUCUUGAUCGACCCAGGAUCAUAUCAAUUUAGUUUUCAAGCUAUUUGGUGAGGAACUUUCUAUGAGUAAAACUCCUACAUAUAAACCUUCACUUAGUCCUUCUAUCACGGCUCCUACACAAAAUAAGGUAAAAGCACAUAUACAGAGAGACGUGGAUGGCAUGGGCCUUGGAGACUACGUGCAAAAUGCAAAGGACGAUGUAGCCACAGUCAGCGAAUCACUCUCCCAUGCUUCAUAUGUUGUAGCACAGAGCACCAUAAGAUCAAACGCACAUGCAACUAGCACUAUGAGAUUAGAUGUACUCGCUUUUAGCCCGACUUUCAGUGCACCAUCAUGUGGACAACAUUUUUCACCUAGGCAAGCCUCUUCAUGUAGGCGAGACCCCUCUCCAAUGAGCGAGCCAGACUACACAGUCUACUAUGAUCCAAAAAUGUUUGAAACCAGGCUCAUGACCCAAUUAAUGUCUAUGUACUACCACCCAAAGAUCUACCAUCGGGGAUACCCUUGAGUAGUUUUAAUUAGUUUUUGUUCAUAUCUUGUUUACUGUUGAUUGCAAUUCAUUUUGAGAUAUUUGUUGCAAUUUACAUUUACUAGAGGUCAGGUCUGUGCCUUCUCUUCUAUUUGUAUUCUCGUUUUUAUUGUAUAAAAUAAGCCAUACUAGUGGUAUUUGCUAAAAAAAAAAAGUCUUGACUGAAAAUAAAAAUAAAAAUUCUUUAAAUUUGAGUGAUAUUUCCUUUUAUGAUUGGUCCAAUAAAUGAGUGAUACAAUAUUAAAAUUAGAAAUUUCAUCUCAAAAUGUCAAUAUUAUUACGAUCAGUACCCGAAUCUUUUAUAUGUUGGUUAAUAUAUAUUUAACUGAUGUAUAAUUAUGUUAACAUCUAUAUUAAUACACAAAUACAUACUCUGUGAGAGAGAGAAAGAGAGAGACCAAGUUCAUUACUGUUUACUUUACCACCUACAUUUCGAGCUUCUUUGACCUACAGUAAUUAAUUACAUGUUGGCAUGAGUUGUCAACAUACAAUAUUGAAAUACGGUAGGGGUGGGUUAUUCCCCAGUUGUAAUAUAAAAUUUCCUUUGUUUAGCCAGAUUCUUAACCUAGAAUAGCUCUCUUUAUUUUACUCUCUACACUAUAUAUGUAUAUGAUUGUAUUCAUUCAAAAAAUAAGAAAAAUAAUCCCUUUGUUAUCAUAGUAUCAAAGCAAAAAAUCCUAGGAUUUCUGCUACAGCAAACACGUUACCAAAACUGAUCAGAAAUUAUGGUAGAACCUAAAUACGUGGUGGCAGACCAGAGACAUGAUGAGAACUCUACUACAACCAUCCUCGAUGAUUUAAUGACUCGACUAAUGUAAGCCCUAACCCAAAAUCAAACCAAGAAUUAAGUGCAGACCUAUGAACCUCCUGCUGCGCCGAUUGGGAUCAAGCUAGAUGGAUUAAACUAUGGUUUAUGGUCCCAAGUUGCUGAGAUGUCUAUCUCUGGCAAGGACAAAUUGGGAUAUAUUAAUGGAGACAUUCUAGAACUUGAAUCAUCAGACCCCAUGUUUCGAAAAUGGAGAAUCAAAAAUACAAUUUUGAAGGGAUGGAUAAUUAAUUCCAUAGACCUGACUCCAAUCAGCAAUUUUAUUCGAUUUUCUACUGCAAAAAUGGUGUGGGAUGCAAUUGCUACUAUUUAUUUUGAUGGAACAAACACUUCUCAUGUGUAUGGUUUGAAGAAACAUGUGACCAGAAUGAGACAAGCAAGAGGAUCCAUUGAAGAAUAUUACAAUGGUCUACAAGGCUUGUGGAGAGAUAUUGAUUUUUGUAGGUUAAACCCAAUGGAAUGCCCUGCUGAAAUAAAGAGAUACAACUUGGCUAUAUAGGAAGAUAGAGUCUAUCUCUUUCUUGAUGGGCUUUUUUUUUUUUUUUUUUUUUUUUUUUAAGCAAAUACCACUAGUGUGGUUUAUUUUAUAUAAUGAAAAGCGGGAAAACAAAGAGAGGAGGGGGGCAUGGACCUGACCUCCAGCGAAUGUAAAUUGUAACAAAUAUCUGAAGAUAAAAUGCAAUCACAGUAAACAAGAUACGAACAAAAACAAAUGAAAGGUACUUAAGGGUAUUCCCGAGGGUAAAUCUUCGGGUGGUAGUACAUAGACAUUGAUCUUGUCAUGCGUCUGGUUUGAAACAUUUCUGGAUCAUAGUAGUCUGCGAUGUCUGGCUCGCUCGUUGGAGACGGGUCUCGCCUGCGUGUAGGAGCCUGCUUUGGUGAUAAGUACUGUUCGGAUGGUGGUGCACUGAAUGUUGGGCGAAAAGCGGGUGCAUCUGAUCUCAUUGUACUAGUCGUAGGUGUGUCUAAUCUCAUGGUGUUCUGUGCUACGACAUCUAAAUCGUGGGAGAUUGACUUGCUUGCUGUAGGGACAUCGUCCUCUGCAUUUUGCAUGCAGUUUCCAAGGCCCAUGCCAUCCAUAUCUCUCUGUAUAUGUUCUUUCACCUUAUUGUGUGUAGGAGCUGUGAUAGAAGGACCAGGUGAAGGUGUAUGCGUAGGAGUCUUACUUACAGAAGGUCCCUCUCCAAAGAGCUUAAAAACCAAGUCUUCAAUAGCAAAUCUCAUGGUAGAUCCAACUUUCAUUCCAUGGUCCUUCUUAAAGUGAUCAAUCAACAUAUGCUUGACACCAUGUCGCUCGACUCUGUCACAACUGCGGUAGUAGUAGUGGGAAGCACAGAAGGCACUGCUGAAACUGGAACCCACUGCUUCUUUGGCUCCACAAACGUCACCUUGCCCUUAUCCUUAUCAGUCCUAGUAAUAGGGGGCCGAACAGGGGGGUGCGCAACAACUGCAGGAGAAGGAGGAGGAACCGUAGUACACUGAUCAUAAGAAUGACCCAAGUGUUUACAAGAGAAGCAAAAAAUUGGCCGCUUCUCAUAGAUAACUGUCUGCCAGAAGCCACGGUUACCAGCGCGCUCAAUAUAAACCCUGUCGGGCAACUUAUGUCCCAAAUUUACCUCAAUGCACACCCUUGCCUCACUAGGUCGUCUCAAGUCGGUGGUGGCCUCAUCAAUUCUCAAGGGCAUUCCUAUUGCCCCAGAUAAAGCGAAAAGGAACCCCUUCGCACGUAAAUGUACUGGAAGCAGAGGGAACGAUACCCAUACGGGAACUAUCGGAGUCUCUUGCUCAGGUGUAAAGUCACAUGUCCACUUAAGGACUCUCAUCGGACAACCAUCAAUAUACUAUGAAGGUUUAAGAAAAAGCCUGCUGUAAUCCUCCUCAUGUGUAAGGUGUAUAAGAAUGUGUGUUGUGUUAAUCAAUCCCACCUCGAAACAACCAUGGAACCCAAACUUUGAAAAAAUCUCACGUACCUUCCUCAUGGUUGGCUUGCGAUGUGGAAAUUUCCCCACAAGUGUAUACUUGUAAGGAUCAGCGAGUGUAGCCUCCUCGGACUCAAUCAAAACUAUUGCCGGCUCACCCAUAUGUAUAAAGGGGUCUUUAGCAGCAAACCCAGUAGUGGAAGAGUCAUCUAUACCCUGUAUAACCGAUGCAAACGACUUUCGUGAACUCCGUUCAGCUUGAGACAGGCCCGGACGGCCAGAAACUGCAGUAGCAUAGGUCUUUCGGCCCUGAUUGAGCACUGUCUGGGCCUCAUGUGGAAAAACCGAUGAUGGAAUUGGGUCCGUAACAAAAUUCCCCACAUUCUGGUGAAGUUUCACCGGCGCGUGACCACCACGCGCCGGCCGUUGACCGGCCGUUGACCGGCGGCGAUUUUCCAACGUUGUCAGAAAAUUAUGAUUUUUCACAGGCAGAUGCGUAAUUUCAUGCUGAUCAUCACGGUAUGUUCCGUUUUCCGAAAUGAGUUCAGGAUUGGCCGGAAUCUGCGAUUUUCCGAGUGACUGGCCGGAACUUGCGAUCGCCGGCAAGGGCGCGUCCGACGUCUGAAUUGGAUGAUUUUUUAGUCGAAGGUUCGCCUUUUCAUGGGAAAUCUGAUGGUCAGGCGCGUGUCCCUGUUUGAGCUCUGUGGAAGGGUUAAUUGAAAAAUCAGUUUUCGGCCCCUCGGGAUUCGAUCUGUCAAUUUCGGGCGAUUUGGACGAAAUCUCUACCACCCCCAGGGUUUUCGGCCCUUCUGGAAUCAUUGGUGAUGGUCCCAUAUCCAAAUUCUGAUCAGAAGUGGGUGUUUCGACGACCUUGGGAUUCGUGCCAUGAUUUUUCAAACUCAGAUCUAUUGAGUUGGGGGAUGAAUCUGAUAUUGGUGUUAUUGGAGAUGUUUGGGUGUUUGUUGGUGAUGAUUUUCCACCACUUAGAGUGCUGCAAUCCGGUGGUUUUGGUGGUGGAUCAAGUUUGUUGGAGUUUUGGAGGUUUUCUCCCAUUCUAGAGAGAAGGGAGAGCGUUUUGGAGGUAGAGAGAGAAAGUUGGUUUUUGGUUUGGUUUAGGGUGAUCUCUUUCUUGAUGGGCUGGAUGAUCACCUAAAUAAAAUUAGGGCGAUGUGUUCCAAAUCUGACCAUUCCCGACAAUUGAACAAGCUUAUGCUCAUGUUCAAAGAGAGGCUAUGCGACAAUAUGUUAUGAAUUCAAACACAGAACAUACACAUGCCACUGCUAUGGCCUCAAAAGGAGUUAAGACAUGACCAACACUCCAAAUAUCCACGGGUGGACCUUCUUCAACAGGUGGUGGAAAGGCCAAUACAACCUAUAAGGGAAAAACACAAUCCAACAAAGGUUGUAUACACUGUGGGAACAUAAAGCAUGAUCAUGAAACCUAUUUUAGGUUAAACCCAAAGUGGUGGAAUGAACUUAAAGCACGAAAAUAGGGUAAAUAGAAAGCUAACACCAAUGGUGAACCGAGACGAGCUGCUUGGGCAAAGGCAGAACAUUUACUUUCUUUUUACUCCACUGAUGGAACCAUCAGAUGAGUUAAAUUCUCUCAAUAACCAAGAUAAAUGUGGUCUUGCAUUAUUUGGUUCCAGUCAAGAUAAUUAUGGUGGCUGGAUUGUUGACUCGGGGGCAACCGAUCACAUGACUUUCAAUAGUAACAACUUUUCUAAGAUUACCCAACCAAAACGAAGUAGCGUUGCUAAUACUAAUGGAGUCACAUACCCUGUUAUAGGAGCUGGAACCAUUGGUUUAUCACCUUCUCUCUCUUUAUCCAAUACUUUACUUGUUCCAUCUCUCUCAAAUAAGUUAGUGUCUGUAGCCCAAGUCACUAAAGAACUAAAUUGUGUUGCUUUAAUAUAUCCUAAUUUUUAUCUCUUUUAGGAUAUUCUCACAUAGGAGAUCAUUGGGCAUGGCACUAAGAGAGGGGUUGUACCACAUAGAUGAUUCAUCCUGGGGAAAAUAAAUAACAUGCACCAUUCAACCACUAUCAAUGAGAGGCAGAUUUGGCUACGGCAUUGCGGAUUGGGACAUUCGUCUUUCAGUUAUAUAAAGUAUUUAUUUCCAAACUUAUUCUCAACCUUACAUGAUUCAAACUUUAAGUGUGAAACUUUCAUUUUAGCUAAAAGUCAUCGUCUAUCUUUUCCAAUAAGCUUGAAUAAAAGUGACGUUCCAUUUGCUUUAAUCAAUUCUGAUAUUUGGGGACCCUCUCCAAUUAUUACUUUUUCUGGAAUUUGUUGGUUCAUGAUACUUGUUGAUGAUUGUACUCAAAUGGCUUGGUUAUAUUUGUUGAAACAUGAAAAAUGAUGCCUUUCAUGUGUUUAAGUCCUUUCAUGCAAUGAUCAAGACUCAAUUUCUAGCAGAACCAAAGAUUCUUCAUUCUGACCAUGGUACGGAGUAUGUUAAUUAGGAUUUUCAAGCUUAUUUCCAGAGUCACAGUCUUCUUCAUGAAACCUUCUGUACUUAAACGCAACAAUAGAAUGGGGUGCCCGAACGAAAAAAUAGGCACAUCUUAGAAACUGCUCAUGCUUUAUUGAUUGGAGCACAUAUGUCGAAUAGAUAUUAGGAUUCUAUUGUGAUCACAACAGUACAUCUAUUGAACUGUAUACCUUCAAAAGUAUUGAAUUUUAAAACUCCAUUACAAACUCUAUCCCGUCACAUUUCUCUACCAUCUAUUUUGAUGAUCCCAACUCGAGAGUUUGGAUGUGUAACCUAUGUUCAUCUCCAUAAAAAUCAACACACUAAGCUUGAUCCAUGUGCGAUAUGAUGAAUUUUUUGGGGUAUGCUACACCAAAAAGGUUAUAUGUGCUACAAUCCUGCCACACAAUGUACCUAUGUCACCAUUGAUGUUACUUUCAUGGUGUCUAAAAGUUUUUACUCCUCGUCAGCAUCUAAUUCUUCUCGUUAGGGAGAGAUAAAAUAUGAAGAGCAGAAUUGAUGGAAUUGUGAGGUUUUUGAAGACACCCACAACUUAGUCCAGUUCGAAGUUGGGUCAGGAGGCAGGAUUAGUAAUGAUACUAUACAUGACAGUACACAAGAAGUUGAAGCUGAAAUUACACAAGUUAAGACUGAAGACAACAUCCUCAUCCUCUUCAGUGCCCAACGACCAAUCUCCUAAGAAUAUUCCUAAGGUAAGCUCUCCAACUACACCAGCUCUUGUUCAGAUAUUUUUGUUGGUUAUAACUUGCCUUUCAGACAUAAUCGUGGAAAACUCUCAAAUCGAUAUUCACCAAAUUUAGAGGAAAGGAGAUCGAAGUGUAACACCCUGAGAUAUUAUAGAAAUUUUGGGUCUAGUCAAGUCCUUCGGCAAGUCAAUUGGCUAUGCUGAAUAUUUAACAUGGAUCACGAUGAAGAUCUUUAUAGUUGAGGAAACAAAGUGGAAACAAAUAUAAAUUUGUACUUUUAUUGAGUCAAAAUGGUUAACUAUUGAUGGAGUUAAUUACCCUAACAAUAUUAGGCUCCUUUCAAAGCUCGAAUUAAAUGAUGAAUUGUGGAGCCAUAAUAAUAAUAACUACGUAGUUAAUAAUAUUAGUUAUCGAUUUAGACCAUAUUACUAUAGCAAUAUUAGACUCAUUUGAUUGGUCAAAAUUAAUUAUGUAUAUUAGAAUCGAGAUAAAAUUAAUAUGGAUAAGACUAAAUUAAGUUAAAGAGAUCAAAUAUUAAGGGAUUAAUUCGCUAAGCAGUAGGACGUGACUUGGAUUCCCUUAUUAGUUAGCUAGGGAAGGAUUAGGAAUCAGGUAUAAGUAAACUAGAAUUUAUGUGAUUAAGUCCCAUUGCAAUAAAAUUCUAUUAAAGUUCUCCACUUUUGCUCUCGGUUUGACAAAAAAUAAAAAUAAAUGUAAAUUUAAUAAGAGUUUUAUUAGUUAUAUUGUUCGUUCGUUUGCAUUAAAACAAAUUAAACCUUAUAUCCUAUGCAAUUAGGAGUUCAACUUAUCUUAACGUGUGCAUGCAUGGAUAAUGAUAACUUAAUUGGGAACAAAUCAAUGCAAAGAAACGUAUUUAAUAUGUAUUUUUUUAUAAUAUACCUUUUAAGAUAAUUAGCAAAAGAUUAUAAUAUUUUAUUAUACAAUCAAGUUUAUAAAUCUUAUUUAAAUUCUGUUUCCUCCAUUAGAUAUAUUAUUUUAAGAUUUAAUCUUAUCCCAAGUCUAUUUUUUUCAUUUGAAAUCCAUUGUAACAAAAGUUGGUUUCCACUAUUGGUGUGCGUGACUAGCAAAAGGCUUGUAUCUUUUAAGAUAAUUAGGAAAAAAAUAUAAUAGUUUAUUUAUAUAAUUAUAAUUAUCGUAACUUGGAAAAUGAUUUAAUCAUAUCUCUGCCUUUCCAUUUGAAAUCCAGUACCAAAGCAGAAUCAGUUUUCUCACCCGUGUUGAACACGUGUUGUAUAUAAUUUAAUUUUCUCCUACAUUUGUAUGUGAUGGGUAUAAUUAUAUAUAAUGUAAUUUAUCUCUGUUUUAAUCCUAUCACUUGUGUUAUCCUUCUUUUGACAAUGAUUACUGUUCGCAAAAUAUUUCUUCUCGAUUUUAAAAACCCACCGCAAGUGUACGGUUCGUUAACAAGUAGUAAAAUGGACUAUGAGUCCAAGUAUCGUUCCCACGAGGAUUGAAUUAGCACUAAUUAAACUAAUGUGACCUUAACCGAAUCUAAUUAAAUGAAAAUUUGGUUUAAAUGUGAAAAACCCUAAUUUUGGGAAAAAAUCCCCAAUUUGAAACCCUAAUUGCAAAGAAAACCCUAAUUUCAAAAUUGGAAACCCUAAUUUCGAAAUUUCACUAAUCUAAUGAAAUAAGCACGCAACUGAAAUGUAAAUAUGCAAUUUUAGAACUAUUGUAUUGAAAUGAAUCGAAAUGAAAUCAUUAAGAACUCGAAUCCCCAAUUGACUAUUAAAAACCCUAAUUUCACAAAUUCAACGAAUCGAUGGAACAAAAUGCCAAUUCAAUGUUCCUAAAUUAUCCAAUACACUCUCUCGAUAUAUAUUGAAUCUACUCUUACACACCACCAGCCUAUAUUUCUAUGGAUGAUGCAAUGUACAAGAAUGCAUGACUUUUUAUGAACAUUUUCAUGAAUUGCAUAAAGCAUAGAGGUAAGUUUCCAUCCCCUAUCGGACCCUUUGUCGAUUUAUAUUCUAUCGAAUUUAUUCCCCUUCUUUCGAAUGCAAAGAACAAAUCAUCUACAAUCACAUAACAAUUGGCCAAAUAAUUAUGGAAGCAUUCAAAUCAUAUAAAUCAAACAUUUGUCCAAUCGAAACUAUUGUUGAAUUAAUGAAAUAACGGAAAUUUAAAUCAUCAAAAGGUUCAUCAAAUUCCUAAUGAAAAAAAACCCUAGACUAUAACCAUCAUUACAAAAUCAAGAAAUUGAAAAACGAAAUUAAAAGAUAAUAAGAAUACACCCGUAUGGAAUUUCUUCAAUCCGUGUGUAUAAUCUUCAACCCCGUCUUGAGCCCGUGCGAAAUUGAAUCCAAAAUCAAGUUUCUUGCCUCCAAUUUUGGUCUCUCCCUCCUCCCUGGUCGUUCUUCCUCUUAAUAUGAUGAUUUUGGGUAUUUAUAUCGCGUCCAAAUUAAGUAGGGAAGGAGUUUCAACCAAAAUGAAAAACUACGCCCGAAAUUUCAAAACUUAACUAUGCGACCGCAUAGAAGGGAUCUAUGCGGUCGCAUAGAUCAUUUUUUUUCUCUCAUUUAAUUUCCUGAAACCUUCUAUGCGAUCGCAUAGAAGGUUACACUAUGCGGUCGCAUAGAAGUAGCCAUCUAUGUGGUUUGUGCAAUUUGGUCCCUGAACUUCUUUGUUGCUUCUCUUGACUUCUUUCUUUGAUUUCUUCAUCUUUUCAACAAUUCUUAUCUUCCAAUUGAUGAUCGACACUUUCAAAUAUUAUGCCACUCAUUUGGCACAUCUUUUGAGUAUUUGCACUUUAGUCCUCCAACUUUCAAUUAUCUUCAUUUUAGUCCAUCUUCCAUUCUUUCUUGCUCCAAUUGUUUUGCUUUGUCAUUGAGCUCAUACUCGGCACGUUUUUACUCUCGUUCUGCAUUUAGCUCAACUUCUCAAUAAUUGCACGAUUGGUCCUCGAACUAUCAAAUUGUUGCGUUUUGGUCCUUCUUCGGCUCUUUUCUCCUGAAUUCCACAAUUUCCAUUGAAUUACCUACAAUGCAUGAAUUUAACUGGAUUAAGUCACAAUUCUACCAUUUUAUCCAUGUUUAAGUCAUAUUUGUGAACCAAAUAAGUGUGUAAAAACACACUUAUCAAAUCCCCCAAACUUAAACUAUUGUUUGUCCUCAAACAAUGUAGUGACUCAACGUUAAACAAACAUGGCUUAGUAGCUUGCCGUGUCUCAGGAUUGGAACUUAGCAAUACAAUAGAACAAUAUCAAUAUUGCAAGAAUAAAAUUAACCUUUUCUCAUCAAAUGCAAUACUCAACGUGUGUGUGUGAACUCAUGCCAACAUAUCAAGCUUAUGAAUGGUUUGUUCCCAACCCAUAAUGGUCAAAUUUAUCCUUACAUCACUCGAGAGAUACACAAAUCCCCCAAACUUAUUCUUCUCACUCAAUUAUCUUGGGAUGUGUUCUAAGGUUAGGAGUUUAACAACUAUAAUCCUUACCCUCUCUUAGUUUGGAUACAUCUUACCCUUACAAGUACACAUAUCAAUAAGUAGAGACUCUCUUUAAUUUGAUUGUUUCAACCUUUAGGCUCAAACUACGCUACUUACCUCGCAUCAAGGUUAAAGUUAUAUCAACCAAAUGUCCAACAAGGGCCCCCCCAAUUUUUUUUUUUUUUGUGUCAUCUUCUCAUUUGCUUUCUAUAUAACCCGUGUAGCGAGUUCUUAGGCGAUGACUCCCAAACCAGUUGGUCUUAGGGCACCAGGUUUUAAACCCUUGCAGCCUUAUUCACCCAAGUUAUAAAGGCUCGAUAAGAUGAAUUUUGUCAACUUCUCCUUUAUCUUGCUUUCUAUAUGACCCCUGUAACGAGCUUUAGGCCGAUAAUUCCCAAACCAGUUGGCUUUAGGAUAUCAGGUUUUAAACCCUAACAGACUUACUUGCUCGAGUCAUAAAGGCUUUUGAGAGAAGUGAUGAUUUUCCUAUGUUUAUUUUAUGCCCUUUACUUGUUUUUUUUUUAUAGACAUUUGAUAUCAACAACCAUCCUCAACUUAAAGCUUUCACCUAUUUCUCACCUUCUGGGUCUAGGCAAUCCACACAAUAUAAAUUCAUGCACUGAGCCUCUACUUAUCUCCAUGUUUACCUAUAGUGGCUCAACCAUCUCCAAACUAUCUUAUGGUGAUUUAACGGGUUAAUGAUAUAGAGGGUUAACCUAGGUUUCUUAUGUUUUACUCCAACAAUCCCAUUCAAUAACUUAACAUGAAAACAUGAGUGGCGUGCAAAAGAAUGUCAAGCAUUGCAUCAAUAAGUAUCCGCUAAUUAAAUCCUGUACUAUAUCAACAGUUCUAUUUUUCACCUAUCCAAUAAUCACAUCAUAGCUGGCAAGGCUACCAAACCCACACAAGCAUGCAAAAGUAAAAUCAACACUCAUUCAUCAUGCAUGCAUCAUGCAAGAAGGUAGUCAAUUUAAUGAUUGAUUGUGAAAAUGCAUAUUAACUACAUGCCGAAUAUUUGUUUGAAAAUUAUGCUACCAUCCCCCAAACUUAUACAGUACAUUGUCCUCAAUGUAAAUGUAAAGUUAGAAAAGCAUAAUUUAAAAAUAUAAACACAACUUGGCAAAUAGAGGUAAACAACACUCCCUUGAUCAAAGUGGUGGUCGUGGUGUGUAGCUGGGACCCGCAGCAUGAUCUUCAGGAGGAGAUGGAAGGCGAGAUAGGAUUUCUCUCAUCAGUGCUGACUGCUGUGUCAUUUCAUCAUGGAUCCCCUCAAUCUGUGUCUCCAAACGGCCUAAACGCUCCCAAGUUUCAUUUACCCUCAGCUGGAUGCCAUCCACCCUGCCCACGUACACACUUAGUCGACCAUUCAUAGUGUCCAUCUCCCUCCUAGCUGCCUGGGCAUCCUGGCGAGCGGCACGUGACAUAUCAGUGGCAAUGCGGACGUCACGAUGGGCUGUAUGCAUCUCAGUCGUCAAAGUUCCCAUAGCCUGCUGGAGACUCUGCACAUCUUGGCUGAUCCCCGUGGUGGUGGUGAAAAUCUGCCUCAAAACCUGAUUGUCCAUAUCAACCUGGGGUGGUGGUGGAGGAAUUUGAGGCAUGUCAAGGUCUGCAUUUGCUUGACCUUCCUCAUUCAAUUGCUAUCGUCGUUGUGCAUUUUCUAAUUUCUGUUGGUGCUUCAGUCUUGCUCGGUCUUGGGCCUCUAGUGUGGAUUGCUUGAUAAAGGGGGUUGGCUUUUCUGGUGCUUCCCCAGGUUGGAUUUGUAUCCCCGCUGCUCUACAUAUUCCACUUAUCAGACUGGGAAAAAUUAGGGAGUAGUGCCUAUCACCCCAAGUGCCUGUACCAUGAAUUUGGUUGUAGAUGUACGUGGCUAGAUCAAUCUUGUUCCCUCUAACCAAAUGGUAUAUGAAUCCGGCCCUUGAAUUUGUAAAUGUUGUUCUGUGGGAUAUAGGCUCGAUGUUAUGGCAAAUGAAUAACCAUAAAAUUGCUAUGGAUGGGGUGAGAUCUAUCUAAUGCCAGUCUGCUGUAGGUAGAGGCCAAGCGUUUUCACGUCCCAACAAUAUUUCUGCAACCUCAUUCCAGUUGAAGUCUUCGGGAAUAGGGACCACAUUAUUCCAGGAUAACUGAUGGUAGUCAUGAAUUACCUCUGGUGAAAACAUAAUCCAUUUGCCCCUAACCCAAGUCUAAUGUAAGUGCUCCGAUCCGGGAGUGUCGAUUUCUGUGUUGAAGUUUGCAUAAAAUUCCUUUGCUAGAUUCUCAUACACCGGAUGAGGUCUUUCUAUUACCUUCUCCCAGCCACAAUUGUGAAUAAGAUAUGUCAAUUCAAAGUUGGGGAAGUCUUCUAACUUUACUGGCCUUUCGGGAAUGAUUGCCCAAUCACGCACAACAUUGGCGUAUCGGGCUGCCGUAUCUGAUGAUAGGAAUCUUCGAACACCCCCUUCGGGUUCUCUUGUUCGGGCCGUUCCAGAUGAGGAGCCGACUUUCUCUUUUCCCUUUGAAGUUCUUUUAGGAAGCAUCCUGCAAAAGGAAAUACACAAUAUCACUUACUUGGUAUAGGAAUAACGGGCAUUAAUAAUCUUUGAAUUCAUAAUCCCCCAAACUUUCUUCAACAUGCCAAUGUACGUAUGCUUAUGCAAUUUUUCAAGCCAUGAAUCACCAAUAUAACUCUAACUUUGCAUAAGUUUGGAAAACUCAAAACUAUGGCCCGAAUAUGCAUUUUUAGAAAAUUUGACCCAUGACCAAGUGACCAACUUCGGCCCCGGGCAUCACCGAGAAAUAUCGAAAUUUCCUCAGGCAAGUUUUGGACAUGUGAAAGUACUCAAUGAAAUCUAGCAUAUAUCCAAAUUUCACCUUAAUCGGAGGUCAUUUGCAUAAGAAAACAUAGGGACGAAAGUAGUGACGUGGGUGAAUAUGAUUAGCCAUGUUGUGCCUUUGUGAAUUCAAAUAUUGAGGUAGUGUGUUUUCAAAUGAAAUUGCACGUGAUUAUUCGGCCAGUAAGUUACACAAUAACGAUGUAAACUAUUGCAUAAGUGAAAAGUUCAAGAAUGUAAAACAAUCGUCAAUGUGGCAUUUCGUCGAACAUGUGGUGUGCAAUGUGAAAUUCUUCCUAUUUCUCCUAAAACACCACCAUGAAAAUGCCCCCAAUUCACAACACCAUGUCAAAUUACCUUAUUCCUUCUAACUAAUGCCAACACAAUGAAUGAUAACCGGAAAAUGAAGCUCGAAAUUAGGGAUUAGAAGAACAUACCUUGAAGUUCCAAUUUUCUUGUUAAAUGAAAUGUGGCACCUCAAAGUAGAAUCCAAUCCAAUUGAAUGAAGNNNNNNNNNNNNNNNNNNNNNNNNNNNNNNNNNNNNNNNNNNNNNNNNNNNNNNNNNNNNNNNNNNNNNNNNNNNNNNNNNNNNNNNNNNNNNNNNNNNNNNNNNNNNNNNNNNNNNNNNNNNNNNNNNNNNNNNNNNNNNNNNNNNNNNNNNNNNNNNNNNNNNNNNNNNNNNNNNNNNNNNNNNNNNNNNNNNNNNNNNNNNNNNNNNNNNNNNNNNNNNNNNNNNNNNNNNNNNNNNNNNNNNNNNNNNNNNNNNNNNNNNNNNNNNNNNNNNNNNNNNNNNNNNNNNNNNNNNNNNNNNNNNNNNNNNNNNNNNNNNNNNNNNNNNNNNNNNNNNNNNNNNNNNNNNNNNNNNNNNNNNNNNNNNNNNNNNNNNNNNNNNNNNNNNNNNNNNNNNNNNNNNNNNNNNNNNNNNNNNNNNNNNNNNNNNNNNNNNNNNNNNNNNNNNNNNNNNNNNNNNNNNNNNNNNNNNNNNNNNNNNNNNNNNNNNNNNNNNNNNNNNNNNNNNNNNNNNNNNNNNNNNNNNNNNNNNNNNNNNNNNNNNNNNNNNNNNNNNNNNNNNNNNNNNNNNNNNNNNNNNNNNNNNNNNNNNNNNNNNNNNNNNNNNNNNNNNNNNNNNNNNNNNNNNNNNNNNNNNNNNNNNNNNNNNNNNNNNNNNNNNNNNNNNNNNNNNNNNNNNNNNNNNNNNNNNNNNNNNNNNNNNNNNNNNNNNNNNNNNNNNNNNNNNNNNNNNNNNNNNNNNNNNNNNNNNNNNNNNNNNNNNNNNNNNNNNNNNNNNNNNNNNNNNNNNNNNNNNNNNNNNNNNNNNNNNNNNNNNNNNNNNNNNNNNNNNNNNNNNNNNNNNNNNNNNNNNNNNNNNNNNNNNNNNNNNNNNNNNNNNNNNNNNNNNNNNNNNNNNNNNNNNNNNNNNNNNNNNNNNNNNNNNNNNNNNNNNNNNNNNNNNNNNNNNNNNNNNNNNNNNNNNNNNNNNNNNNNNNNNNNNNNNNNNNNNNNNNNNNNNNNNNNNNNNNNNNNNNNNNNNNNNNNNNNNNNNNNNNNNNNNNNNNNNNNNNNNNNNNNNNNNNNNNNNNNNNNNNNNNNNNNNNNNNNNNNNNNNNNNNNNNNNNNNNNNNNNNNNNNNNNNNNNNNNNNNNNNNNNNNNNNNNNNNNNNNNNNNNNNNNNNNNNNNNNNNNNNNNNNNNNNNNNNNNNNNNNNNNNNNNNNNNNNNNNNNNNNNNNNNNNNNNNNNNNNNNNNNNNNNNNNNNNNNNNNNNNNNNNNNNNNNNNNNNNNNNNNNNNNNNNNNNNNNNNNNNNNNNNNNNNNNNNNNNNNNNNNNNNNNNNNNNNNNNNNNNNNNNNNNNNNNNNNNNNNNNNNNNNNNNNNNNNNNNNNNNNNNNNNNNNNNNNNNNNNNNNNNNNNNNNNNNNNNNNNNNNNNNNNNNNNNNNNNNNNNNNNNNNNNNNNNNNNNNNNNNNNNNNNNNNNNNNNNNNNNNNNNNNNNNNNNNNNNNNNNNNNNNNNNNNNNNNNNNNNNNNNNNNNNNNNNNNNNNNNNNNNNNNNNNNNNNNNNNNNNNNNNNNNNNNNNNNNNNNNNNNNNNNNNNNNNNNNNNNNNNNNNNNNNNNNNNNNNNNNNNNNNNNNNNNNNNNNNNNNNNNNNNNNNNNNNNNNNNNNNNNNNNNNNNNNNNNNNNNNNNNNNNNNNNNNNNNNNNNNNNNNNNNNNNNNNNNNNNNNNNNNNNNNNNNNNNNNNNNNNNNNNNNNNNNNNNNNNNNNNNNNNNNNNNNNNNNNNNNNNNNNNNNNNNNNNNNNNNNNNNNNNNNNNNNNNNNNNNNNNNNNNNNNNNNNNNNNNNNNNNNNNNNNNNNNNNNNNNNNNNNNNNNNNNNNNNNNNNNNNNNNNNNNNNNNNNNNNNNNNNNNNNNNNNNNNNNNNNNNNNNNNNNNNNNNNNNNNNNNNNNNNNNNNNNNNNNNNNNNNNNNNNNNNNNNNNNNNNNNNNNNNNNNNNNNNNNNNNNNNNNNNNNNNNNNNNNNNNNNNNNNNNNNNNNNNNNNNNNNNNNNNNNNNNNNNNNNNNNNNNNNNNNNNNNNNNNNNNNNNNNNNNNNNNNNNNNNNNNNNNNNNNNNNNNNNNNNNNNNNNNNNUCCAUGAAUUUUUCAAUCAUGUCUGAGAAAAUAGCCAUCAUGCAGCGCUGAAAAGUAGCGGGAGCGUUGCAUAAUCCAAAUGACAUCCUUCUGUAUGCAAAGGUGCCGUAGGGGCAAGUGAAAGUGGUCUUCUCCUGAUCAUCUGGUGCCACUGGAAUCUGAUUAUACCCGGAGUACCCAUCUAGGAAACAGUAAUGUGAAUGUCCCGCUAAUCUCUCCAACAUCUGAUUAAUGAACGGUAAUGGAAAGUGAUCCUUUCGAGUAGCUGUGUUAAGUUUACGGUAGUCAAUGCAAACUCUCCAUCCAGUCAUUGUUCGUGUAGGAAUCAACUCAUUUUUUCAUUUUCUAUCACUGUGAUACCCCCUUUCUUGGGAACAACCUGUAUGGCAUUGAUCCAUGCUCUAUCUGAUAUUGGAUAGAUGAUGCAUGCUGAUAUUAGAUAAAUAAUGCCUGCAUCGACCAACUUCAAUAUCUCAGCUCUAACCACUUUCUUCAUGUGGGGAUUCAAUCUCCGCUGUCCAUCAAUGCUUGGUUUAAAUUUUUCCUCCAUGAGUAUCUUAUGCAUGCAUAUAGAUGGGCUGAUCCCCUUUAUAUCUGCAAUCGGCCAUCUAAUAACUGUUUUAUUUUCCCUUAACACCCGAAGUAGUUUCUCUUCCUCUACCUCACUGACAGUGUUUGAAAUAAUAACAGGUAGUGUGGAAGAUUCCCCCAGGUAUGCAUAUCGAAGAUGUGGUGGCAGUUGUUUGAGUUCCAAUUUGGGCGGUUUCACAAUGGAUGGCACUGAUUUUGCAGUUCUAGUUCCCAGCUCUUCAUAGUAGCGUUUGCGCAUAUAUGGCUGGUUAUUCUCCAAAAACCUAGCACAUGUCUCAAUCUCACUUGAUUCAGAAUGGGUGGAUUGUGAAUGUGCAAUGUAUGCCUCAUAUGCAUCGGAAGGAUGAUGUAGCCGAAAUAUGUCUUGAACUAUUCGGUCGACUACAUCGAUCUGGAAACAACUGUCUGCCUCAGUAGGGAAUUUCAUUGCUUUGAACACGUUGAAUGAGAUUUGCUCGUCACCAAGCCUUAAUAUCAGCUGCCCCUUCUGAACAUCUACAAUUGCUCUCCCAGUGGCUAAGAAAGGUCGCCCCAAAAUGAGUGGAACAUCUUUAUCUUCUUCCAUGUCCAAGAUAAGAAAAUCAGCUGGAAAUAUGAACUUCUCCACUUUUACCAGCACGUCUUCAAUGAUUCCUCUUGGAUGUGUAAGGGAUCGAUCUGCUAACUGCAAUGUCACUAUUGUGGCUUUUGCUUCUCCCAAGCCGAGUUUCCUGAAAAUAGAAAGAGGCAUUAGAUUAAUACUUGCUCCCAAAUCACACAAAGCUUUAUCAAAAUAACAGUCUCCAAUAGUGCAGGGUACAGUAAAACUCCCUGGAUCUUUCAGUUUUGGGGGUAGCUUUCUCUAGAUUCUGACGCUGCAUUCCUCAGUCAACAUUACUGUUUCGUGUUCUUCUAUCUUUCGCUUGGUGGAGAGGAUAUCCUUCAAGAAUUUUGCAUAGCUCGGCAUCUGGACAAGUGCUUCAGCAAAUGGAAUGUUGAUAUGCAGUUUCUUGAAGACUUCAAGGAACUUACUGUAUUACUGAUCCAUUUUGUGCUUUCUCAACCUUUGUGGAAACGGAAUAGGAGGCUCAUGAGGGUUAACAGGAUUUGUAUUUUUACCCUGUGAUGUCUUGGAAUUCCUCUUAACCUCAUCUCCUGUUGCAUUGUCAGUUUGCUCCACACUUUCUUCCUCCAAGGUUGGCAUUGAUUCCUUGUUGGCUCCCGAACUUGUUACAUGUGGUUCCGGCAGUUGUACUCCACUUCUGGUUAUUAUAGCCUUUGCAUGUUCCUUGGGGUUAACUUCAGUAUUGCUGGGUAGGUUUCCCGGUGCUCUACCCGUUAUGGAAAUUGCUAUCUGUCCCACUUGUGUCUCCAAGUUCUUGAUCGCUGCACUUUGAUCUUGAAGCGUUGUUUCCGUCCUUCGCAUAAAUUGGUUAUUGGCUUCCAUGUACUGAUUGGUGUGUGUCAUAAAUUUCUCGAACAUAUCCUCCAAAUUUGGCUUUUUGUCUUGCUGCUGAUAUUGCCCUUGUGGUCUAUUUUGAUUCUGGUUGCUCCAAGAGAAAUUUGGGUGUUUUCUCCAGCCUUGAUUGAAAGUUUCUGAAUGUGGGUUAUUCUGCUGGUGCUGACCCCAUUGUGCGAAUUUUGCAUGUUCGACUCCUUGUGCCAGAAUUGGGCAAGUAGCAGUACUGUGAUCUGCUCCACAUUCUUCACAACUCUGCUUCAUAACUUGCUUAGCAGUGGCGGUUUGUGAAAUGCUUUCAACCUUAUGGAAUAAGGAAUCUAUUUUCACCGACAGUGCUGAGUAAGUAUCUACUUCAUACACCCCAGGUGCUCUCUUCUGAACUACUCGAUCUGUAGACCACAUAGCUGAAGUUGUAGCCAUCCUUUCAAACAACUCCCAGGCCCCGUCAAUUGUUCUUGUAGAGAUAGACCCGUUAGCCAUCCCAUGGUAUUGAUGCCCAUUCUGAAACAGUUGAAUCACGUUAGUCUUCAGUUGGAAGUUCGGUUGCCCAAAUGGAGGAUAUACAAUACUAGAUUGACUUUGCACCACCAGUGGUGCCAUGAAAUCCCCAAGUACCAUAUUUCCAUCCUCUUCCACUGCCAAACCUUCGUUGAGUAGAAUUCCCGGUCGAUUUUGCUCGUUAGCCAUUUGCUGUACCACUCUUGCUUCCCUUUGCCUGUGAUGGAAUGUGCGUUCAAUCUCUAGAUCUAUAGGGACCAAGUCUUGAUCAGGUGCUCCUUGCAUGCAAGCCCUGAUAUGGCAAAAUUAACACAAAAAGUCAAUAUAAACAAUAAUUAAAUAAAUCUAAUAAAAUUAGCAAGUACUAAAAUGAAUAAGUUCGAAUUAGUGUCACAAAAGAUAGAAUUAAAUCUAAAAUUUAAUCCCCGGCAACGGCGCCAAAAACUUGUUCGCAAAAUAUUUCUUCUCGAUUUUAAAAACCCACCGCAAGUGUACGAUUCGUUAACAAGUAGUAAAAUGGACUAUGAGUCCAAGUAUCGUUCCCACGACGAUUGAAUUAGCUCUAAUUAAACUAAUGUGACCUUAACCGAAUCCAAUUGAAUGAAAAUUUGGUUUAAAUGUGAAAAACCCUAAUUUUGGGAAAAAUCCCCAAUUUGAAACCCUAAUUGCAAAGAAAACCCUAAUUUCAAAAUUGGAAACCCUAAUUUCGAAAUUUCACUAAUCUAAUGAAAUAAGCACGCAACUGAAAUGUAAAUAUGCAAUUUUAGAACUAUUGUAUUGAAAUGAAUCGAAAUGAAAUCAUUAAGAACUUGAAUCCCCAAUUGAUUAUUAAAAAAAAAACCUAAUUUCACAAAUUCAACGAAUCGAUGGAACAAAAUGCCAAUUCAAUGUUCCUAAAUUAUCCAAUACACUCUCUCGAUAUAUAUUGAAUCUACUCUUACACACCACCAGCCUAUAUUUCUAUGGAUGAUGCAAUGUACAAGAAUGCAUGACUUUUUAUGAACAUUUUCAUGAAUUGCAUAAAGCAUAGAGGUAAGUUUCCAUCCCCUAUCGGACCCUAUGUCGAUUUAUAUUCUAUCGAAUUUAUUCCCCUUCUUUCGAAUGCAAAGAACAAAUCAUCUACAAUCACAUAACAAUUGGCCAAAUAAUUAUGGAAGCAUUCAAAUCAUAUAAAUCAAACAUUUGUCCAAUCGAAACUAUUGUUGAAUUAAUGAAAUAACGGAAAUUUAAAUCAUCAAAAGGUUCAUCAAAUUCCUAAUGAAAAAAAACCCUAGACUAUAACCAUCAUUACAAAAUCAAGAAAUUGAAAAACGAAAUUAAAAGAUAAUAAGAAUACACCCGUAUGGAAUUUCUUCAAUCCGUGUGUAUAAUCUUCAACCCCGUCUUGAGCCCGUGCGAAAUUGAAUCCAAAAUCAAGUUUCUUGCCUCCAAGUUUGGUCUCUCCCUUCUCCCUGGUCGUUCUUCCUCUUAAUAUGAUGAUUUUGGGUAUUUAUAUCGCGUCCAAAUUAAGUAGGGAAGGAGUUUCAACCAAAAUGAAAAACUACGUCCGAAAUUUCAAAACUUAACUAUGCGACAGCAUAGAAGGGAUCUAUGCGGUCGCAUAGAUCAUUUUUUUCUCUCAUUUAAUUCCCUGAAACCUUCUAUGCGACCGCAUAGAAGGUUACACUAUGCGGUCGCAUAGAAGUAGCCAUCUAUGUGGUUUGUGCAAUUUGGUCACUGAACUUCUUUGUUGCUUCUCUUGACUUCUUUCUUCGAUUUCUUCAUCUUUUCAACAAUUCUUAUCUUCCAAUUGAUGAUCGACACUUUCAAAUAUUAUGCCACUCAUUCGGCACAUCUUUUGAGUAUUUGCACUUUAGUCCUCCAACUUUCAAUUAUCUUCAUUUUAGUCCAUCUUCCAUUCUUUCUUGCUCCACUUGUUUUGCUUUGUCAUUGAGCUCAUACUCGGCAUGUUUUUACUCUCGUUCUGCAUUUAGCUCAACUUCUCAAUAAUUGCACUGUUGGUCCUCGAACUAUCAAAUUGUUGCGUUUUGGUCCUUCUUCGGCUCUUUUCUCCUGAAUUCCACAAUUUCCAUUGAAUUACCUACAAUGCAUGAAUUUAACUGGAUUAAGUCACAAUUCGACCAUUUUAUCCAUGUUUAAGUCAUGUUUGUGAACCAAAUAAGUGUGUAAAAACACACUUAUCAAUUACUCUUGAUUUAUAAUUGUCCUUCAUAUAAUUUGGAUAGAUUUCAAUCUUAUAGAGGAUAAUAACUAACACAAUCCUGACCCAAAUCAGCUACUCUAUGUUUGCCUGUAAAUACUUAUGCCAUACACAUAUUUUUACCAUGAACCCCAUUUCCUUAGUUUUAAUUUCAUCCUUUAAGUUCAGUAGAAAUCCCCUAUUAUAUUCAUAUUCUACCAAAAUUAUAAUUCUCUUGCCUCUUUUCCAUCUAUUACUUGCAAUACAAUUCGUAAGCAAGAGAUAAAAGAAAACAAUUGGAACAUGACUCUCGAAUUUCUUUCAACAUUUAUUUGAUAAGGUAGGAUACUAUGUGCAAGUGAUUUAUCCUUGCAAUAUUAUAAUUUUUUUUACGUGAUUUAUUUCAUGAAAUGCUAAUUGACCUGCGGGUCCUUAUGAAAUGAAAUGUGAGAUCUCCUUCGAGUCUUCUCAAAUAUGUUAGAGUGUUCGAUGGAUCAUCGACUGCUCUUUAUGAAAUGAUGAUAUGAAAUGUUGUAAAUUCAUGUUUUAAAAAUUAUCAUAUUGUUUUGGACGCAUGUAUCCUAUUGAGUAUAAAUUACUCACUCCUUCAAUUUUAAAAUUUCAAGUUAGACAAGUCGACGUGGAUAGUGGCUGAGCGGUGCCUGGGUUGCCAAGUAAAGAAACUUGACAAGAAAAUAUUUUAAAAUAAUUCUAUUAGGAUAUUACGUGUUUUGGUUUAAUCCUGUUUAAUUUUCUAUGUUUACGUGACAUUAUUUUGGUAUUUGAUUAUUUAAUCUAUUAAGAGUUUUAAAGUUCCAAUUUAUAUUUUUGCUUGAUGUAUGUUUAUGAAAUGAUAUCCGAAAUACCUCAAAUUCUAGUCGAUAAAAUUUGGGGCGUUACACAAAGUAUCCAAUUGCCAACUAUAAAUAGACUCAAAAAUUGGAGAAACCCUUCAAGGUGUUUGUAUACAGUUUGUCUGCAUGCCAGAUUCCUAAUGGAAUACAACAGGCCUUAGAGGAUCCAAAGUGGGCUCAAGCGAUAAAAGAAGAAAUGGAAGCACUACAAAAAAAUAAAACAUGGAAUCUUCUUCCAUUGCCAAAAGGAAAGAAGACAAUAGGGUGUAAGUUGGUUUUCUCCAUCAAACAUAAGGCUGAUGGGUCCAUUGAAAGAUACAAGGUAAGACUUGUGGCGAAAGGAUAUACACAAACUUAUGGCAUAGACUAUGAAAAGACAUUUUCUCUGGUGGCAAAGCUAAACCAUGUGAGGGUCUUAUUAUCUCUUGUAGCAAAUUUUUUUUGACCACUACACCAGUUUGAUGUAAAGAAUGCCUUCCUUCAUUGUGAUCUUAAAGAAUAGGUUUAUAUGGAUAUUCCACCAGGAUGCAGCAUUUCUUCAAAAUCAGGGGUUGUAUGCAAAUUGCAACGAUCACUAUAUGGACUAAAACAAUCAACCCGCGCAUGGUUUGGUCGUUUUAGCUUGGCUACGAAGAAACGUGGUUUUCAACAAAGCAACUUAGAUCAUACUUUAUUCCUGAAGCAUAGACGGGGAAAGGUAACAACUCUAAUAAUAUAUGUGGAUGACAUGAUUAUUACAAGAAAUGACAUGGAAGAGAUCGACAUGCUUCAAAAAAAUUUGGCAAAUGAAUUUGAAAUGAAGAACUUUGGGGGCCUAAAAUAUUUCUUAGGGAUUGAAGUAGCCAGAUCAAGAAAGGGUAUAUUUUUUUCCCAAAGAAAAUAUGUGUUAGAUUUAUUAUCCUAAGUGGGUCUUCUUGAUUGUAAAUUAGCCAAUACCCCAAUUGCUCAAAAUCAUAAGCUUGGAGAAUACCCGGAUCAAGUCCCAACUAAUAAGGAGAGAUAUCAAAGAUUGGUUGGAAAACUAAUUUAUUUAUCCCACACUCGACCUGACAUUACUUAUGCAAUGAGCAUAGUGAGUGAAUUUAUGCACUCAUCAAGUAAAGAGCAUAUGGGUGCAGUAAUUCGAAUUCUUCGAUAUUUGAAAUCUACACCAGGGAAAGGACUUAUGUUCUUCUAGAACAAUCACCUCAAUGUCGAUGGCUAUACCGAUGCAGACUGGGCUGGUAGCAUAUCUGACAGGAAGUCUACAUCAAGCGACUUUACAUUUGUAGGAGGCAAUCUUGGCAUGUGGAGAAGCAAGAAACAAAAGGUGGUGGCUUUAUCAAAUGCUAAAGCUGAGUUUAGAGGCAUAGCCAAAGGACUUUGUGAACUCCUUUGGCUUAGGAUGUUAUUGACUGAGAUUGGCUUUGCAUCCAAAUCUGCAAUGAACUUAUUUUGCGACAAUAAGGGAGCCGUUGACAUUUCUCAUAAUCCAGUUAAGGAAGAUAGGAUGAAACACGUUGAAGUGGAUCGACAUUUUAUCAAGCAGAAUCUCAAAUCAAAGAUAGUUCUCUUCCCAUUUGUGAAAUCUGAAGAUCAACUAGUAGAUAUACUGACAAAAGCUAUCUCCAGCAAGGUCUUUCACGACUCACUUAACAAGUUGGGCAUUUACAAUAUCUAUGAACCAACUUGAGGAGGAGUGUUGGUGUGAGUUGUCAACAUACCAUAUUGAAAUAUGGUAGGGAUGGGUUAUUCCCCAGCUGUAAUAUAAAAUUCCCUUUGUUUAGCCGGAUUCUCAGCCUAAAAUUGCUCUCUUUAUUUUGCACUCUACACUAUAUGUGUAUGAUUGUAUUCAUUCAGAAAAUAAGAAAAAUAAUCCCUUUGUUAUCAUUACGAAACCCAUAAAACAAAUUAUAUAUCCAGAAAUUAAGAAGAAAAAUUUUAAAUUAUAUGUUAACGGACAUUCUGACAUAUGUACUCACACAAUGUAACAAUGGUUUUGGCGAAUCUUUAUUAUUCCUAGCAACAAUGGAAUAUUUAAUAAGGUGUAUUUAAUGGUACUGAAUAAUAUUAACAAAGUAAUGAUUAUAGGCUACAGAAUUGUUUAUUUUUCUGUCCAAUUUUGCUUGAUACAAAAUAAUAAAAUAUACUAAUAACACACUUGAUAUGCCGAUGUUAUAGCACCAAAGAUAAACUCCUAGAAAAAUUAGAUUGUUUGGCCUCCAUUUCGGUGGGAUAUGUUAGGAUUGUGACUCAAAUAGGAGUUUUGAAGUGGCAUAAUUCGACUUGGACUCUUGAAGCAUUGGAUUAGGGUUCAAGGAAACGAAGUUGAACAAAGAGAGGAGUUCUUGUUCUUCACGGUGAGAUGUAUGCGGUCACAUUCACAUGCCAUCACACCACGUGACCACAUGGUAAAUGGCAGAGAGUUUUCAGCCUCUAUUAUGCAACCGCAUGAGAUGUAAUAUGAGGUUGCAUAGUACAUUUCUAGGCGCCGUCCUUGUUUUUCAAUUUUUAAGCGUUUUAACCAAAUUGUAAUAGAUUUUCUUACCCUUUAGGACUCUGUCAGAGUUUUGAUUGUGUACCAUAAAUAAGAGGCUCCUUUGUUAGUUUAUGUAGAAGCAAUUUUGCUAAAUUGUACUUGUUUUCUCCAUAUUGUUGAAUAAUAAAUAUCAUUCCUCCGCGAUUAAAUCUUUUGGUCUUCUUUACGUUAAAUCUUGUUUCGUGGUGUGAUCUUGAAUACUUCAUAAUUGUCAUUAAAUUUCAUUCUUUACAAUCCAUUUGGGUCCAACAGGAUCCAUCGGAAUGAAUGGGAUGACAAAUUUAACUAAUAUUACAAAGAAAUAUUUUGAACAUUACAUAUAGAUGUGACGACAUAGUUGGUUGGCCCAUCACAAAUCCCUUUGAUAUAUAAUCUUGUAUUCUGAUAAUAUGAUUCUUAGUCAAUGUUGGAUUUUCGAUUAAAAUUAAAAUCAAAUUUUGCUAUCAAAUUAAUUAAUUAGUACUUAGUUUGAUAUAUGAAUAGAACUAUCAAACUUUAGUUUGAUUUGCUACUUUCAUCGUAUCUAAAGUUUUUAAUUUUGUAUAAUAUCCAAAACUUAUUUGGUUUGGUAUUUUAGGAUUAAAUUUAUAACAUAAAACUCAAAACAUAUUUUUUUGAUGUUUUUAGUGUUUUUAGUAAAACCAUAAAACAUGAAAAAUAAAACUAAUCUAAUUCCUCCUUCCUUUAUUUGGAAAAUGACAGAAUUUUUAUUUGCUAAUCGUGUUCAACUAUAAAAUUGCAACUUAUUUCAUUUUUGUCCCUACUUCAUGAUUUUGGUAAUUUUUUGUCCAAAUCUUCAAUAUUGAUCCUAUAACUUUCAAAAGCCUCCACAUUGGUCCAUGAACCUGAAUAAUCUUUUAAAAUUUGUACUCCAAAAGUUCUACAAAUGUGCAAUUUAGUCUUGAUUUUUCGAUAAAUUGUAUUUCACUCCUGAUUUUUCCCUAUUACUUAUAAUUAAUCCUCUACAAUCCUCUUAGCCUUCAUUUCCUCCAAUUCAACUCCAGUCAGGCUAAAAUGAUUCAAUAUUUGUUUGUAUUUUAUUUUUGUAGUGGAAUUGUUUUUUAAGAUUCAUUAACUUUAAAAUUAUAUAUUCCUUGAUGAUAUAUUAGCAUAAAAUUUUCCUAUUUUUCUGAAUAAAUUCAGUGAAUAAAAUGUCAUAAAAUAAUUUCUAGAAAUUCCAAACUAAUUAAACCUGCUUUUCAGUUUUCUGCUUUGAGCAACAGUUUUCAGGAUCACAAACCGCUGCUACCUUUCCAAUCUUAUGUUUCUCCAUUGGUAAUAAAAGUUAGAUUUUGACAUUGUUGAAUUUUAAAGAAGACAAAGUCUUCACACAAUAAAACUAGAGAGCAGAGAACCUAAUUGCUUCUUGGUGUGUUUAUUCAUCAAUCAAAUGGCCUUUAUAUAGGCAUUAACACAACAGAUAAAAGCAAGAAAAAAGGAACUGACUAACAAAUCCUAUAGACUUGGUAAUUACAAAACUAACUAGCUAAUGAUACUAAAGAUUAGGUCAACAUGUAAAUUACUUAUUCAACAAUCCCUCCCUUAAAUUCAUGUUUAUAAUAUCAUUUAUUUCUUCAGCGUGCAAACUCCAAGCAAUUUUCCCAGCUUUUGAAAUGCAUCCAAUUUAAUGGUGUGAGAAAUAGAGUAGCAGGUGCCUAUGCGCCAUGAGUGGGCGCCUAGGUGCCCCCUAGUUCUGUUGAAGCAGAAACUAGGCACUUAGGUGCCAUGUGUGGGCGCCUAGGCACCCAAUUUCUACAAAGUGGGCAGAAACUUGGCGCCUAGGCGCCCGAUUUAGCUAUAUAUAGAGCUGAUUUUUCCUUUCAUGAUCGAUCCGAUUUUUAGAGAGAAAAUAGAAGAGAGGGCUUGGAGAGAAUUUAACAAGAAAGAUGUUGUUCUUUUUGGGUAUAAAUUCAAAGCUCUUUUUCUUUCUUGGGAAUUAACUUGAGGCUUGUUCAAGUAAUCAAAAUCUAUUGUUCAUCAUAUAUAUUGAAAAUCAUUUCUUCUCCAAUUUUCUUUUCUUUUCUUUUCAUCUUCAAGUGGUUGGGAUUUUCACAUUACAAGUUUAUUUGAUUUUGGGCAAUCUUAGGAGGUGUUUCUUCCCAACAAUUUGGUAUCAGAGCUUCUUCUUAAAUCAGGGUGGUUAAGCUCCGAUUUUUUGGUGGUUGGCUUGAACUUUGUUGUGCACACAAGGUGUUUGUGAAAAUUUCCAAGUGAACUUUGUUGUUUUAUUUUCGGUAAACAAGUAGAUAAAUCAUGUCUACUAGAGGAAUGGUGAAGAUUGGGAAGUAUGAGAUAGAUAAAUUCAAUGGAAAGAAUGACUUCUCAUAUUGGAGAAUGCAAAUGAGAAAUUUGUUAAUUUCUCAAAAGUUGCACAAGGCAUUGGCGGGAAAGGAGAAGAAGCACAUAGAUAUGUUUGAUGAGGAUUGGGAAGAUCUAGAUCUUGAGGCACGAGCGUCUAUCAUUAUUUGCCUUGAAAGAGAUGUAGCUUUCUUGGUUGAUGGUGAGGAAACGGCGGCGGAGGUGUGGACAAAGUUGGAGGCAAACUUCAUGACGAAGACUCUAACAAAUCGGAUUUAUUUGAAGUCCAAAUUGUAUACUUGCAAGAUGGAUGAAGGUACACGAAUCUGGGAGUACGUCAACAAGUUUGAUAGGUGCAUAUCAAACUUGAAGGACAUUGAUGUGAAAGUAGAUGAUGAGGAUCAAGCACUUCUACUACUUCUUUCAUUGCCUAAGUCUUAUGAGCACCUAGUACAAACAUUGAUGCUUGUAGGUGAUAAACUUGUGAUGGAAGACACUUGAACGUCACUUCUAGCGGAUGAUCUUCGAAAGAUUGCAACUAGUGGCAUGUCUACCAUUGGUAAUAAGGAGCAAGCUCAAGGAUUUUUUGUAAGAGGUAGAAGCAACGUGCAACCAAAGGGCAAGGGAGAAAAGUCUAGAUCGAGUUCUAGACCUCUUGCGGAAAGGCCUUGUUUCAAAUGCGGCGAGCUUGGGCAUUUCAAGGCGAAUUAUACUAACAACAGGGGUUGGAAGAAGAACAAUAAGAGCAACAAUAACGGGAAGGUGCAAGUCAAGCAAGAGGUUAGCUAUGCCUCGGAAGAAGGGGAAAGCGAUGAGUGCUACACCAUCUCUUGUGAUGAAGAAAUCUCCGGUAAGUGGAUCUUGACUCUGGAUGCUCUUACCAUAUGUGUCCAAAUAGGAAGUGGUUUACUAGCUAUAGAAGCACUGAUGGUGGAACCGUGUUGAUGGAUAAUAACCAUUCCUGAAAAAUAGUGGGGGCUCGGUUCAAUUAGAAUCAAGAUGUAUGAUGGAGUGGUUAGAACAUUGAUUGAUGUUAGACAUGUUCCUGAUUUGUGAAAGAACCUUAUCUCUGUUGGUGCUUUAGACUCUGGUGGUUCCAAGAUUGUAACAUGGAAUGGCGUAAAGAAGGUUGUUUGUGGUUCUUUGAUUGUGAUGAAGGGUAUUCGUGAAGGCAAUCUCUAUGUUCUUCAGGGUACUACAGUUACAGAAGAUGUAGCGGUUGGAACAAGUGGAAGUGGUGGAGACCCAUGUGAGUGCACUCGGCUAUGGCAUAGGAGGCUUGGAAAUAUGUCUGAAAAGGGGUUAGAUCUGCUAGUCAAGAAAGGUUUGCUAAAGAACUUGAAUAAGCCUUACAUGGAUUUUUACGAGCAUUGCGUGUACGGUAAAGCACAUCGAGUUCAGUUCCAGCCAAGCAAACAUAGAAGCAGAGGUAUUCUAGACCAUGUGCAUACGGAUGUAUGGGGUCCAGCUUCUGUCACUUCCGAAGGCGGUUCUAGGUAUUUUGUGACAUUUGUUGAUGAUUAUUCUAGAUAUGCUUGGAUUUAUUUUUUGAAGCAUAAGAAUGAGGUAUUCGACACUUCAAGAAGUGGAAAGCAAUGGUUGAAAACAAAAUAGGAAAGAAAUUGAAGACACUGCGAUCUGAUAACGGUACUGAGUAUACAGAUGGUGCUUUCAAGGAGUUCUAUGGUAAGGAAGGCAUUGCGAGACACUGGACAGUUAGGAAUACACCACAAUAGAAUGGGGUCACAGAAAGACUGAAUCGCACAUUUCGAGAUAAAUCGAUGUGUAUGCGAUCCUAUACUGGUUUGGGCAGAGUUGGUUGCAAAUGCUUGCUACAUUGUGAACCGAUCUCCACAUUUAAAGUUAAAUGGAGAUGUACCUUACAAGGUAUUGACAGGAGAACAUGUAGAUUAUGAGAAACUCAGAAUAUUCGGAUGCACAGUCUACUAUCACGUCAACGAGGGAAAGUUUGAUGCAAGGGCCAAGAAGGGUAUAUUCUUGGCAUAUGCAGUACGUGUAAGUGGCUAUCGCCUAUGGUGUGUAGAGGAUUCUAAGUUCAUAAUCAACAGAGAUGUUACUUUUGAUGAGAACUCCAUGAUAGCUUCGUUGAAUGCUACAGUGCCCACUGGUGAUGAUGUUGAGACUACAAAGUCUCAAGUUGUUGACAUAGAACAUAGAGAUCAACCUGGUUCCAAUCAUGUUCAAGAGGAGCACCAUGUAGACACUCAAGAUGAGAGUGAUGAUGAUGAGCUUGAACAAGAGGCGGUUCAGCAAGAGAAUAUACAGGCACAUCAACAAUAGCAGCUUGCAGAUAACUUGGCUUCCUCUAGGCCACGGCGUACUUACAAGCAAGUUCUAAAGUUGGGGUCAGACGAGCCUUUGAGGCACUAUGGGCAGAUAAAUUUGGUUGAGUAUGCACUCUUGGUGGAGGAUAAUGAGCCUGCCACUUUCAAGGAAGCUAUUUUAAACAACAAUAGUAAGAGUUGGUUGGCAACGAUGGAAGAAGAGAUGGAAUCACUUCACAAGAACCAAACAUGGGAGGUUGUCCUAUUGCCCAUAGGUAAGAAAGUUAUUGAUUGGAAGUGGUUGUACAAAAAGAAAGAUGAUCCUACCAAGCUCGGUGGUACAAGAUUCAAAGCAAGGUUAGUGGCUAAGAGGUUUGCACAAAGAGAGGGAGUUGACUACAAUGAGAUCUUUUCUCCGGUGGUCAAGCAUACUUCCAUUCGGGUGCUAUUGAGUAUUGUUGCUCAUCAUGAUCUUGAGCUGGAACAACUCGUGUCAAAACCGCCUUCUUGCACGGGGACUUGGAUGAGGAAAUCUAUAUGCAUCAACCUGAGGGCUACAAGGUUGAGGAUAAGGAACGUCAGGUAUGUCGCUUGAGAAAAUCACUAUAUGGAUUGAAACAAUCUCCUCGGCAAUGGUACAAGUGAUUUGACUCCUUCAUGCUAAAGCAUGUUUCUCCAGAAGUGAGUAUGACUGUUGUGUUUAUAUUCGAAAACUUCGGGGAGGUAACUAUAUCUAUCUUCUUUUGUAUGUGGAUGACAUGCUUAUUGCUUCGAAAAGCAAGGUAGAGAUAGAUAGGUUGAAAUCUCAACUUGGUAAAGAGUUUGAGAUGAAGGAUAUGGGGGCUACUAGGAAAAUACUAGGUAUGGAGAUUAGAAGAGAGAGGACGAACCGACGAAUUUUCUUAAGUCAGAAAGGCUACAUUGAGCGGGUUAUUGCUAGGUUCGGGUUGCAAGGUGCAAAGUCGGUGGUGACUCCAUUGGCUCCACAUUUCAGGCUCUUUGGUAAACAAUAUCCUACUACAGCGGAAGAAAAAGGUACGCAUGGAUCGUGUACCUUAUGCUAGUGUAGUUGGCAGUUUGAUGUAUGCCUAGUGUGUACACGCCCAGAUAUUUCACAGGCGGUUAGUGUGGUCAGUAGAUUCAUGGCGAAUUCGGGGAAGGCACAUUGGGAAGCUGUGAAGUGGAUCCUGAGGUACUUAAAAGGUACCGCAGAUAUGGGUUUAUAUUUUGGUGGAGAUGCAUGUCAGAUAAGUGGGUUUUUGGACUCGAAUUAUGCAGGUGAUCUAGAUAGACGACGAUCUACUACUGGAUAUGUGUUUUGCAUACAUGGUGCCCCAGUUAGUUGGCGAUCGAUGUUACAGGCUACAGUAGCUCUUUCUACUACAGAGGCCGAGUAUAUGGCCAUGGCAGAGGGAGUGAAGGUAGCAUUGUGGUUGUGGGGUCUUCUAGAUGAUUUGGGGAUUGAGCAGGAUUGUGUGGACUUGUGGUGUGAUAGCCAGAGUGCGAUUCAUUUGGCUAAGAAUUAGGUUCAUCAUGCUUGAACUAAGCAUAUCGACGUCAGGUAUCAUUUUGUGCGUGAUGUCAUAGAGGAAGGUGAUAUUUCUCUCUUGAGGUACACACAAAUGAGAACCCAGCAGACAUGUUAACCAAAGUGGUAAUGGGUAGCAAGUUUCAGCAUUGCUUGGACUUGCUUCACAUUAGUCCAUGCUGAUAUGCCCGAGUGGGCAUGGCCUUUUGGGGUGGGGUUGAAAUGAGGUGAAGAGUAUAUGAAGAUGGAGGUGAACUACGAAGGCUUGAUCCCGAGUUUUGGGUACGUAGGCAACCAUGGUUUGAAUGGUGCAGCCGAGUUUGGCGCUUGUUGCUUCUUCUUGUGUUCGUCCAAAAUUUGAGGUCUAUCAAAUGAUGUACAAAGUGGAGAAUUGUGAGAAAUGGAGUAACAGGCGCCUAGGCGCCCCCAGUUCUGCUGAAGCAAAAACUGGGCGCUUAGGCGCCAUGUGUGGGCGCCUAGGCGCCCAGUUUCUCAAAGUGGGCAGAAACUUGGCGCCUAGGUGCCACUCAUGGGCGCCUAGGCGCCCGAUUCAGCUAUAUAUAUAGCUGAUUUUUCCUUUCAUGAUCGAUCCAAUUUUUAGAGAGAAAAUAGAAGAGAGCGCUUGGAGAAAAUUUAACAAGAAAGAGGUUAUUCUUCUUGGGUAUAAAUUCAAAGCUAUUUUUCUUUCUUGGGGAUUAACUCGAGGCUUGUUCAAGUAAUCCAAAUCCAUUGUUCAUCAUAUAUAUUGAAAACCAUUUCUUCUCCAAUUUUCUUAUCUUUUCUUUUCAUCUUCAAGUGGUUGGAAUUUUCACAUUGCAAGUUUAUUUGACUUUGGGCAAUCUUGGGAGGUGUUUCUUCCCAACAAAUGGCUUUUGUAAACAUAUCAGCAACUUGAUCUUCUCCUUUGCAGUAAAUAAGAUCAAUGGUUUCAUCAAAAUGAUACCUUCCAUCAAUAUGUUUGCUUCUUCCAUGUAGAACAGGAUUCUUGGACAACUUUAUAGCUGAAGUGUUAUCACAAUAGAUGUGAGUGGGUCCUUCUUGCUUGAAACAGAGAAACUCGAGUCCUCCUUAGCCAAAUUACUUAGCAUGCACAUGCCGUUGCUGCCACAAACUCUGCUUCUAUAGUUAACAAUGUUACAAUAGCAUGCUUUCUUGAAGACCAUGAGACUGCUCCUGUCCCAUCAUAAACCAGAUGUGCUUUUUCUAUCCUCUGGAUCACCAACAUAGUCACUAUAUGUAAAACCAAAUAAAUAUGAUUUUUCACCUCUUUCGUAAAGCAAACCAUAAUCAGCGGUGCCUUGUAAGUAUUUGAAAAUUCUUUUCGAAGCCAAGAGAUACAUCUCCUUUGGACACUUUAUCUCUUCCCUUAGGUCCUUUGAUGAGCUUCACAUUUAUUUUUGUUGGUGUGCUAACACGAUUACAUUCAUUCAUUCCGAACUUGUCAAGAAUUUCUAGCACAUACUUUUUCUGAAAGAUAAAAAUGCCAACAGUAGAUUGAACCACCUCUAUGCCAAGAAAGUAAUGUAUCAUGCCAAGAUCAGACACAUCAAAUUCAAUCAUCGUGGACUUCUUAAAAUUCUUAAACAUGACUUGAUCAUUUCCAGUGUAGAUUAAGUCAGCUACAUACAAGCAAACCAUGAGAAUCUUGCCAUUAUCCUCCUAUUUCAUGAUAAGUGUGUGUUCAUAAGGACAUUUUUUAAAUCCUUCCUUCAAAAAAUAAGCUUCGAUACGAUUGUACCAAACUCGUGGGGUUUGUCAUAACCCAUAUAAAGCUUUUUUUCAGCUUAAGCACUUUACAUUCUUUUCCAAUCUUAACAUAUCUGGGAGGUUGAUUAACAAAUACUUGCUCUUCCAAGUCUCCAUGUAAGAAUGCUGAUUCAACAUCUAGUUGAAAAAUACACCAACAAUUUUGUGUUGCUAAUGCAAUCACCAAUCUGAUUGUGUCGUACUUUACAACUAGAGCAAAAACUUCUUUGUAGUCGAUGUUGAACUCUUGUUUGUAGCCUUUGGCAACCAAGCGCGCCUUGUAUUUAUCAACUUCACCAUUUUCUUUCAGGUUUUUCUUGUAGACCCAUUUUACACCAAUAGUCUUCUAUCCUUGAGGAAGUUCAGUCAAUGUCCAAGUAUUAUUAUUUUCAAUGGCUAUAAUUUCAUCAUCCAUUGCCUUUCUCCAUUUUGAUUGUUUGACAGCUUCUUCAUAAAUUAUAGGAUCACAAUCUGAAAAUAGAACAAAGUGUGCAAGUGAGUUCUCGAAUUGGUCAAUCCCCGUGAACUCAUAUUCAGCCAUCCAUGUGGGUUUUCUUUGGAAACGUUCUGAUCUUGGUAUGCUAUGGACCCUUCUUGGAUAACUGUGGGUUGUGGUUCUUGCUCUACAAUCUGCCGCCCUUCAAUAUGCUACUGGGAUUGGUAUGUAAAAAUAGAAUAUAUGAUUAGUGUUUGCCAGUAUGAUACUGGGAUUCGGUUGGAGAGGAAGAUGAUGGUGGUGGUGGCAAAAAUUCAAAUUUAAGUGGUUGGUGAUGGGUAGAGUUGAUGGUGGAGGUGGUGACAGUGAUGAGAGGCAAGGCAUGGCAAAAAUGCCACGUAUAGGGCCUGGGCGACUAAUUAAGCGAUUAACAAAAGUGUUGACUGCUUAAGGUGCAUCUAGGUGUUCAUUAUUAUUAUUAUUAUUUUCAAUUCUUAAAACUAAAAAGGCUUUUUUCUUCGCUUUCUUGUUUGCCUUAUAAGUUAAAACAUAGCCAAUGAAGAGAGAAAGAGUCGCUUGAACAAAAGAAAAGUGCCAAAAAUUCCUUUCUCCUCCAAAUUCAAUAUCCACUUCGGCACUUGCUAUGUUAAUUAAGCUGGUAAGAUCUCUAUCUCCAUCUUCAUCUAGAGAAGAAACCCGCUAUAAGUGGGAAUAAAAAUCGAAUUCGGAUUUAUGCCUAGAAGAAAAGUGCUAUUGAAAGUUCUGUAAUAAAGUCAGUUUGUGUCUUUUGCCACUUUGCUUCAUGUUUCUUACCGUAUUAUUAAGACUAGUAAAGUUUUCUGUUUGAUUAGGUUCAAUGGUAAGUUUAAGGAUGGUCUUUUUUGCACUAAUUAAAGAAACAGGUGAUUUUGGAAUACGAUAUGCAUUGCAUUUUAACUGCUGCAGAUCAUAGCAUCAAAUAUGUGGUGUCCUGUUCACUGCCGAAUUGUUGUUAGUUUUGUUUACGUACUUCAAUUUAAAUACAAGCGGGGUAUUGUUCACUGGUUGUGUUUUAUUGUUUGCUUCUUAAUGUGUAUCUAUGUUCACUGUUAUGUAACCUUCUUAAGUUUCCGCAUAUAAACCCUUGGAGAAUUUGAGUGUAUGAUUAACUUAAUUUAAAAAUUCAAUGACAUCAAAAUUCAAUGCUAGUCAAAUAAAAAGGGAUUCCAAAGAUGUUGGAUGGGAAAUCAUGAUUUUUGCAGAUCCUAAAAAUCUUAAUAAUAUGAAAUAAUUUUUGCAAAUCCUAAAAAUCAUAAUAAUGUGAAAUGCAUAUUAUGUGAUAAUGUUACUAAGGGGGGAAUUUCUAGGCAAAAAAUUCAUAUAGCAGGAAUCAAGGGAAGAUGUGGUAUAUAUAUCAUGUCCUAGAGCAAGUUAAGAACGAAAAGCCAAGUGUGUUGAAGCUAUUCAAGGGAUGAAGUCUAAAACAAUAGAGAAGCUAUUGAAUGAUGUUAAGUUGAGGGAAGAUGUGGGUUGUAUCUUUGCCAGCAAUACAACAUGAAGAAGAUGAAAUUUCUAUUGGGACUAGGAUAAUGCCUAUUAAUGUGGGGCCUACAAAUCAAUUUGCAAGAUCUAUCAAUGUCAAUGAUGCUUCUAUGAGUGCAAGUAAGAAACUAAGACAACAAAAUGUGAAUGAUGCAAUUUAUAAAAAAAAUGGUUUUUAAGGUUCAUUGAUACUUCACAAGAUGAGUUUAUGAAGCUGGAAUUCCUUUUAAUGCCAUUGACAAUGAUAGUUAUUAAACUAAUUGUGGAAGCUCUUGGUCAAUAUGGCUUGGCUUACCUUCCUUCUUCCCAAUACCAAGGGAGCACUUUUAAAGGGAGAAGUGCAAAGGUCAAAAGAAACAAGAAAAAUGUGGAAAAAUAAUGGGUGUUAAAUCAAGACUUAUGCUUGGAGUGAUAAGAAAAGGAGAAGCAUCAUGAAUUUGUGUGUGUAUUGUAAAUUGGGGACCACAUUUAUUUCAUCAAAGGAAGCUUCAAAUGAUGCCCAUACCGGUGAAUUUAUAUUUGACUAUUUCAAUUAAAGAUGUUGGGGUCGAAAAUGUGGUUCAAAUUGGGACCGACGAUGCCUCCAAUAAUAUGGCCACCGCAAAAUUGUUGGAAUUACAAAGGCCUAAAAUGUUUUGGACAUCAUGUGCCACUCACACUUCUUAUGCAUGAAGGAAUCUCUAAACUUCCUAGCUUCAGGGAAGUGAUUAACAAGGGAAAAUCAUUCACUAUAUUCAUUUAUGCACAUCACAAGACUUUGGCGCUGAUGAGAAAGCUCACAAAAAAGAGAUAGUUAGGUCGGGAGUCACUAGAUUUGCAUCUUCUUUAUUAACAGUGCAAAAUUUGCUUGAUAAAAAACAAUAGCUGAGAAAUAUGAUGAUUAGCAAUGAAUGGGAUAAGAUAAAAUGGUCUAGGUAUAAAGAGGAAAAAGAUGCAUUUCAUAUUUUUGUUAUGAAUGAUCUUUGGAACAUGGUAAAGUCUUGUUUGACAGUAUUCACUCCUUUAGUGAAAGUGCUUAGAGUUGAUUGUAGAGAAAAAAAGCCUUAAAUGGGCUUUUUCAUGUAGAGCUACUAAUGACAAAGGAUGACAAUUAAAAGAUAUCGAAGAGGGAGCAUCAGAAUGUACCUUUCUUUUUCUUCUUCUUCCUCAACCUUUGUGUGUGUGUGUGUGUGUGUGUGUGUGUGGAUAUACACCAAGGAAAGGAAUAAGCUUGACACUAAAAGGGUGAACAAUAUUGUUUAUGUCCAAUUUAAUGCAAGGCUGGUGAACAAAAAGAAGAGAAAACACAAAAUAGAUAUCUUACAACCUACAAGAGGUACUAUAAAUGCUCAAAAUGAAAUAAAGGAGCUUGAGGAAGAAGAUUUUGUAUUGGACAACAUGGAGGAGGAACUAGAUAAAGAAGAUGAUAUUGAAUUAGAGUUUGGUAAACAUGUAGAUAAGAUUUAAGUUUCUAUGAUAUCUACAUUAUGUAACUAUUAUUUUGAUACUUAUCUUUUUGUAUUAUUAGUUAGAUGCUUGGUAGGUAUUAUUUUAAUUAUUAAAUAAUUUCUAGAUUGAUUAAAAAUUAAAAAUAAUAUUAAAAUAAGAAAAUAAAUUUUUUUUUUCACUCCUAUCAUUGCCUAACCCAAAGCUUGACCUCUACACAGCCACACAUUAUACCUUUUAGAUUAGAGGUUGUCAGAAGCAGUGGAACAAUGUGUUAUAAAUGUAAUACAAAUUAUUAUAAGUGGCAAAGGAGAGAAACGCUAUCUAUACAAGUGGUGGUGACGAUAACGAUGGCCAUGAGUAAGAUAUUAUAUUACAAGUGUAGCAUAAUUUCUUACAGGUGGUGGUGACGGUGGACAGAUGUGGACGAAUGUGACAAAAUAUAUUAUUGUUAGAAAGUGUAGCAUAAAAGAAAAUUAAAAAUAAAUAUUGACAAAAAAAAGUUGGACGACAAGUUGAGAAACCGUUUGAUAUUUAUGUUUAUUUUUGUAAAGUACCCUAUUUUAAUGUGGCCCUUUGAGCCGUCAUUUUCUGGGUUGUGUUUCUUUUAAAUGAAAUUUACACUACACAACCUUUUAAAUAAAAUUUCCAACCUAUUUUAUUACUAAGAAUACUAGAAAUAGUAUAUUUGGUAACUUAAAAAUCACAUAACUCCUUAAUAUAAUUUGGGAUAAUUAUAUUCAUACCACAAUUUUUUUUUCUUGCUCCACAGUUUAAUUUACUUUAAGUUUUUAAUCUUUACUCAUUAUAGUACUGAUGUACCUAAUGAUUUUUAAAAUCAUUCUUAUAAUCAAACAUUUCAUUAGUUAACACAAUUUGUAUUUAAUAACAGUUUUAUUUUCAAAAGUCCGUUGAAAUUACGCAAAACAACUUAUUUGUUGUCAUAUAUUUUUAAUAAUAAAUAAAUAAAAAGUGCUAAAAAUAUUUUAUUUCCUCAUUUCAAAGCAUAAAAAUAAAAUAUUUUGAUAUAAAUCAUGAUCAAGGAUGAAUCUUAAUUUCACAUACAAUAAUAUUGCUCCAUUUUAAUCCCGUAUCUUUUACCCCAACUUUCAAUUCCAAAAAAAAAAAAAAAAAGGGUCAACAACCUAUAUUUUACUUCAAUUUCUUCAUUGAUUGUGAGAAUAAAAAAUCGAUUGUUGAGUGGAGAUCUUUCUUUUCCAUAUAUAUAUUAGGAUCUCCAAAGAUCCAUUGAAGAUUUUUGUCCAUGGUUUAGUCUAAGCAUCAUCAAACCUCUGUUCUGCUUCAAUUUAUUCGUCAAUUGUGAUAAUCAGACAUCAAUUGUUGGCCUGGAGAUAUUAUUUUUCAUGUGCACCGAGAUAUUCAAGGAUCAACGGAAGACUAUUCUUCCAACAUAGUGCAUCCAACCUCUAGAUAAGAAUUCGUUCUUAGGGAUUUCUGUCAUAUAUCAUACUUUUAGCCACUAGGUAAAGUGAUUUCACCCCACGAAGUAGCUAUAAAUAUUGUGAAAUGGAAACCCUAAAAUACAUUUCAACCAUGGGUUCUGACAAGAAUAAGUCGUCACACCAUCACUAGCAGACACAAGGGGUGGCAGGGGGUCAUGUGACCCCCAACUUUUGGACAAUUUGUUUUUUAUGGGAUAAGAAACAAAGUUGAAAUAUUACAUUCUUAGCACCUGUCUAACUGGUAUUAAAAUCAUAUUUUUAUUAUAUUUUGAUAAAAGUUGAUGAAAUGUGUGGUUGAAAAGUUUUGGGUUCCAUAAAAUUUGUGGUUUAAAUUAAUUGUUGAUUUUGACUUAAAUUGAAAUUUAGAUUUUAAUUUAUACCAAACAAGGACUUAAUACUAUUUCAAAGUGCUCAUGGCUUAGUUUUUCACGUCAUUAAUGGCACAUGAAACAAUCAAUCGUAGCUAAUAUUGGGGCUAUUCAAAGUACAUCGUUUCAAAUUAGUAUUUCGAGAAUUUCGAUAACAUGCUUUUAAAAAUUAUUCGACGAUUGCACGCUAGUCGAAUUUUCAGAAUUGACUACAUGAUCUUGAAGCUUUUCGAGAACUACAUUAUAGACAUAUCGAACCAUCCAAAUGGAUAUUGAAAAUAGUUAAAGGUGCAUCAAAUGUAUGUCUUGAAAUUUUAAAUUUUUUGAAUUGUCUCAUUAAUUUUUAUUAUUAAUUAUAACCUACAAAUUCUCAAUUUAAUUUACACAAUUUUAUUAGAAAAUUUUAUACGGGGUAUGCGUCAAUUUUUUUUGAAGUUUUACAUUCGGAAAAGUCAUAUCCUAUAUAAAUUUUACAUGGGGUAUGAUUUUUUCAGAUGUAAAUUUUCUAAUAUAAAUUCCUCACAACUUUUUUGUAAGUUUAAUUAUGUCCCCUAAUUUAAAUUCCUUCAAGAAGUAUUAUUUGCUCAAUAAGUAAUAUCCCACAUGGAAAGGGUUAGUGUUUGUGGCUUGCCCGAAACUAACCGCUCACAACAAGGAGUUGUAUAGAAGAUUACUACAAUCAACCAUUCAUGUUCAGUCGUGCUACGUAUACAUAAUGGUUUAUAUAAUAGUUUACAUAUACAUGAUGUGGUAAAAUAUGAUUGGGUUAGAAUUUCUUCAACUGAAUAAAAAGCUUCUUCACUUUCUUUUUGACACAUCAUCUAUAUAUAAAUUAUUAUAUAACUCAAUUAUGUACCGGUUGCAUUAUUCAUUCUGAUUCAGCAUGGCACCUUGACGAAUGUAGCCUAGGCCUGCCCCCAACCCAUAUACAAAAUUAAGAGUAAAAUUUUAUUUUUGGGCCCAAAUAUUUAUGUGUAGCCUGACUCUACUCGAGUCCCAAACAACUUGCCCCCAACCCAGAUACAAAAUUAAGUGAAAAUUUUAAAUUGGGAAAAUUACACCUAGACACGUUUUUUUUAAAUUUCAAAUACAAUAAUCAGGCUUUAACUUUAUUAUUUCACAAAUCGGGUUAUAAUUUAAUUAUUUAGUAUUAAAUUUUUAACAUAAUAUUACUAAUUAAAAUUAUUUUACAGUCAUUAUCCCUACAAUGGGGGAGAGAAAUUAUUUAAAGCAUUUCAAAACACUAUUCUUCUACCACAUCCAUUGAGAGGAAGAUUAUGGAUCCUAUUUCAAUUGAUUCAUCCUCGUUCGUUGAGGAAGAGUAACAAUUGGAGGACUUCAUCGCUGUUCGUCCACAAUUUCCCAUUUCCUAAUGUUCAGGAUACUGUUAAAUAUUUUGAAUUAAUAUUUCAAACUUUUUUUCAACCAUAAAUCUAUAAAAAUUCGACUUAAUGGGUUCGGCCAAAGAGAAUUACUCUAAAUUGCUAUAAAAUGGGGAAAACUAAUCAUGGAUUGGUUUUUUUUAUUGAGAAGAAAGGCGAGAAUUGCUUCCAAGUAUUUUUUAUGGCCCUUAGAAAAUGCGUUCGAGGAUUUCGAAAAGCGAUGCGACCCCUAAUUCUAGUCAACAGUACAACCUUUAAGAUUAGAUACGAAGGCAAGUUGAUUAUUGCAACAUAUCAAGAUACUACUUUCAAAUUUACCCUCUUACAUUCAGCAUAGUUGAGGAGAGAAUGACUUAGCGAUGCGUUGGUUCUACACGAAAUUGAGGGAAGUAAUUGGGGAUGUUGAGAACUUUGCAUUCACAACUAUCUAGAGGCAGUUAAUAAUAAAUGGUAUUGCAGAAAUCUUUCCCGAAGCACAUCAUGAUUAUUGUAUGUACCAUAUAUAGGGCAACUUAAAGACUAAGUAUCGGGACAGUGGUAUUGUCGAAUUGUUUAGGAAAGCUGCAGAGGCAUAUAAUUUUGAAGAGUUUGAUAAGCUCAUGGUCAAAAUAAAAAAUAAAUUACGUGUUGUAUAGGAUUAUCUAACAGAGAUGAUGAUCGAACAUUGGGCACAAUCACGUUUUUCAAGACGUCGAUAUAAUAUGAUGACGUCAAACAAUGUGGAGUCACUUAAUGCAUUAUUUAAUAAGGAUCGAGAAUUACCAAUUCCUACAAUGAUUUAGCCCAUUCAUAACAAACUACUUAGUGGUUUCAUAAUCGGCGUGAGGAAUCCCGACUUAGGAAGAUAAGAUUUUAGAGAUGGUGAGAAAGGUAUGUGUGGAACCAUUGGAUCAAUUUGACUUCUCCAUGAGAUAUGGACUUGAAUGAUAGCACGUGCAUAUGUAGAAAGUUUCAAUUGGAGAAUUUUCCAAUCACGCACGUAGUGACAGUGGCUAUGCACAGAGGAUUUUUAUCACACACCUUAUGCAGUUAUUAUUAUAUAGCUUAUUAUUGGAGAGCAACGUAUACUGAAACGAUAUUUCCUAUACCAAAUAAAGUCGAGUGAAAAGUUCCCAACUACAUUAUCCCACUUAAUAAUUUGUUGCCAUCCAAAGUCGGAGCAUGUACUCCUGGACGUAGACGUACAUCUAGGAUACCAUCUACUGGAGAAUUUUUUCAAUCUCGUAAAUGCAGUAGGUGCGACGCAAUAAGGUAUACUUGCCGAUUUUGUACAAGCAAGAUUCCUCUAUAUAACAAUUCAAUGAAUGCGUAAUACAAUACCCAGAAUUUUUAUUUACUAUUUUCAAAUGGGCCUAAAUUUAAAGUUAGUUAUUUAGUAAGUGGAAUAGUUCAUUAUUCUUUCUAUUAUUAAUAACACUUAAUUUUUAUUUAUUUUCACAUUCUAUCAUUAAUUAAUAGUUUUUUUUAUGUUCGAGCAUUUGACAUCCUAUAUUAAAUUUAUAUUGAUGGUUGAAAUCGCAGUAUUUUUAGCUAUUUGUUUGCUUAUACAAUCAAGUUUAUUGUCGUAAAAAAAAUAAGAAGAUUUUUAGUUAUUUGUUUGUUCAUACAGUCAAAUAUGCUCCGAAUCACACAUACAGUUGUGCUACAACACAUGACACAAUGAAGUCAACAAUAUUUAAUUAUUUUUAAUAAAAUAAUACAUAAUGUACUAAGGAUCACAAUUGUAUGCAUACAAAUUGCAAGUUAACUUCAAUCUCUACAAAUCUAUGCAAGGUUGGUUUAUUGUAUCAACUUUGUGAUCAAUAUUCCAACACUCUAUAUACUUUAUUAUGAAUAUAGCACAAUCACCCCUGCAAGUAAAUAAUAUUAUAUUAGUUCGAUAACAUAUAUCUAAAAAAUAAGUUUUCAAACUAAAAACUUUUAAAUACUUACGACACUCUGUGUCUCGCUGUCUUCAUGUUACGUACAAUGGAUAAUUUGUCAUUUACUCAAAUCAUCGUAUGUCUAGCUACAAUGGGAACGAUUAUAAUCAUCAGCUCCAUUAUUUGCUCCAAUUAAUCUUGUGUCUGACAGCUAUGAUCAGAGUUGUACACAUGGAUAGUAGAAUCAGCGAAUGCGAUCUCAACUGCAGAGCAAUGUGAGUUCACGAUCACUAGAAUGUACAUACGUAUAUAACCUAUACCCUUUCCAUCAUAUCCCCUACCACCAUCACCGUCAAUACCUCUUUGCUGCCUCUGUCGGGGCCAUACAUUUCUUUUCUGUGAAAAAUGAAUCGAAUGUAGCAUUCAAUAGCUACGACGAAUCAUCACACCGCAUUUGACCAUCUCCUCCGUCAUUCCCUUGUCCCUAAGAACCGCAAGUCCCUCCGUCACCCCGUCUAUCUCCAUGAGGCUAGUCCCUUUGUCGUCCGCUCCAUCCCGAGAGCUACUAGUCCAUUCCAGGCCUGCUAUAUCACCUCAUGUCACUAUGACCUCAGCAUGAAGAUCUCCUAAAUUGGCUUGUUGCACCAUGGCAUCAUGUCAUAACUCUGCUACAUCACUUCUCAUCUCCAUCAUAAAUGUAGGUAGAAGUUCGAACAAAUUAUCGGUGGAAGCAUCACAACUACGUGCAGAAGAUCUACGUGUGAGGUUCUGGAUGUAGGAGUAGGUGAUCUCAUGUGUGAAGGUGACCUCCUCAGGGAAGGUGAUAUCGUUGGCAAAAAUGAUCUCCUUGAUGGAAGUGAUCUCCUCACCGGAGGUGAUACUGGAUUACACUCCUAAAAAAUGAACAUUACAAACGAAUAGCUUAAUCAAAAAUCAAAACGAUAAUCAAAUUAUAUUCAAUUAACACACCUUAUCUCGAUCGACAAUGUCUUCGGGCAUUUGAUUUGUCUGGCAUAGCUGGAACAGAUAGAUCACACAGAUAACUCUGACCCUUCUCUUUGAUCGACGGUCUCAACUCGAAAAGGACUUAAGCCGACGUAUUGACAUUUCACCGAUUUAAUGACCAUCUAUCGAGAUUUUGAAAGCACAUAAAUAUAAAUUGCAAAUGUAAACUACAUACCUUGGGAUCGUCAAAGAAAGCUGAUUAUUGUUUGGCAAAUGGUUUGUCUUGUGCUCGUUAAUGAUGCAUUUGAGGAUAGCAUGUCUCCCAUCUCUUCGGAUAUCGAUCACCCAAGAUAGGGAUAGUCUAGUACACCCAUAUUUGUAAUAAUUACAAUUAUUAUAUAAAAUUUAAUUAAAAAAUAGAUAGUUCAUUAAGUUAAACAUUUACUUGCAAAGCCAAAGGCAAGCCAGGUGCAUAGUACUUGUGCUCGGGCCUAUCCUCUAGGCAUCAAAUACUCCAUCCGAAAGACGUGCAAAGUAUCCAUAAAACAUCUCUGCCCCACGAAUAGUUGUUGAACGUAUUAAUGUCAUCAACAACUUCCAAAUGGAAAACAUCAAUCGACGUCUUCUUGUGAUGACUUCUAAGCACACUUUCAAGAAUAAGCAUCAAGCCUAGCUUCAACUUGUCUAAAAUCUGGUCACAUUCCCUGAAUGCAUCUCCUAACUAUACCAGAGUUACUAUCAUUUGUCCAUGAAAGUAUUUAUUUACCAGCCUCAUGUUUCUUGAAAUAUGAGCCCUUACUGUUUCUUCGCCUGUAUAUCUCAAUUCGAUGAUGAGGGCAAACUCGAAUAUAGAGAAUAUAGCUACCUUACCCCCAAAUCAAAAAGGAAGAUAUCUCUAUCAACUGGCUUAAGCAGUCAACAUUGUAAUGCACUGAGCAACUGUCCGAAGAACUAUACGUCAUGCAACUCAUGCAACGAAUACAGGGGCCAUAAGCAGGAUCGAUGUAAUAUGUCUCUGUGUUCCUCAUCUAGCGAAUCUAGUACCAUCGUAAAUUGCAAAAGUCACAAUUCAACUUAACUUUGCUAGGAAUUUGUUUAAUGGUAGCGUUUAAGUGGUAUUCUAUUCUGCAAAAUUUCAAAUGUUAGAAAAUUAAACUAACUGAACUGUAACUACUACACCCAAGAAUUAACAUAUAAUAGAAAAAAGGAAAAUGAAAGUAAAUAAAAAUUAUAAAACAAAAUUAUAAAAAGCAAUAAUUAAUUUUUUUUGUCAACAACAUUAAAUAUUCAAGAAAAAAUCAAGCUAUAAUUAAUAUUAGUUAAAAUAUUAAAAAAGAAAUUACAAUCAAAUAUUAAAUAAAUAAUUAAAAUAUCAAACGAAUAUUAAAUAAACAAGUAAAAUAAAUAAUUUAAUAUUAAAUAAUUAAUUAUAAAAGCGAUUACAUAUUAUAUAAAUCUUUAAAAUAAAUAAUUCACAUAAAAAUAAUAAUUAAAUAUUAAAUAAACAACUAAAUAAAGAAUUACAAAUUCAAUUAAAUAUUAAAUUAAAUAUUAGAUAUUUACAUAAACUAUUAAAAUAAUUAAUUAAAUGUUAAGAAACUAAAAUAAAUAAUUUAAAUAUAAAAUUAAAAUAAAAAAAUAUUUAAAAAUAAAUAAAAUAAAUAAUUACAAAAACAAUUACAAAUUAAAUAAACAGUUAAACAAUUUAAAUAAACACUUAAAAUAAAUAAUUACAAAAACCAUUGCAUAUUAAAUAAACAAUUUAAAUAAAUGAUUACAAAACAAAUAAAAUUAAGUAAAAAAUUAAAAUAAAUAAUUAAAUUUAAAUUAUCUAUUUAAGUAAAUUAUUAAAUAAUUUUAUGUUAAAUAAAUAAUUAAAAUAAAUAAUUACAAAAACAAUUGCAUAUUAAAUAAACAAUUAAAAUAAAUAAUUAAAUAUUAAACAAACAAUUAAAAUAAAUAAUUACAUAAAUGAUUAAAUAUUCAAUAAAUAAUUAAGAAAAACAUAAUUAAAUGUUUAAAUAAAUAAAAUAAGUAUAUAAAAAAUCGAAGGCAGCCCAAUAAAUGGAUAUAGACGGCCAUCUGGAUUUGGGUCGUCUGGAAAGACAGAAUUGCAAUUCCCGACUUUGGAAACGACGGAGAUCACACCAUUCCUGAUGAUCUCCGUCCCUGAAGUGUAUCAAAAUACUCAAUUUCGUGUACAAUUUAUAAUCUACAACAAUUUCUACAACAAAUGAACAUAUAACGUGCUUUAUUUAUUGGUAUCUAAAGUUUCAAAGCUAUCUUUCUUCAGAGAAAUGACGAUCUUCGAUCUAGGUCGUCAACUUCUUGGCGGUGUGGGCCGACGGUUUCUAGCUGGUUGUUUUCUACUCUUCUCUAUCUUCAAAAAUCAGUGUGGGCAUAAAUGGCAUAAAUGUUUUUCUAUAAAUGGCAUAAAUCGUCAACUCUCUCUAAAGUUACAUAUGUUUUUCUAUGUUUUUCAUGGUUUUAAUAAUUUUUCCUUUUUCUCAAAAAAAUGGUUAAUGGCCAUUAUAGAAAGAUGGUCGGAUUAACCAAUCAUAAUGUGAACCCGUAUAGGCAGUCGCUACAGAACCCACUUACAAGAUGGAAAUCUUCCCAAGAAAGUCAAAGUAAGAUUUUGAAUUAAACCCAACAAACUUGGAACCAAGCAACCUAAAUCGUCGAUGAUGUGUAGACUUCUUGAUUACGCAAAUUAAUUGAAUAUCACCCGAAAUUUUGGAUCUAACUCAAUAACUAUGAACUAAACAACCAACACGAUCACAUGGACAUGCUGACCUUUUGAUUAUAAAUAAUUAAUUGAAGUCACAACUCGAUUUUGAACGCCACAAGAAUAUUAAUUCCUAAUAAGUUUGGUAGAUUUGCCCAUUGAAGAACAAAAGUUUUGAAGCGAAGCUUCGAGAGAAAAUAUCUAAUUUAAUUCAUAUCAAAGUUUUGAAUACAAUUAUGAAAGAUAUUUCCUAUUUAUACUAAAGCUAGAAUAUAAUAUAAAAACGAAAAAAAAUAAAUCCAAAAUAUAUUAAAGAUGCUAAAAUAUUAGAAUUCUAACUAAACUAGGAAAUUGCCAAAAUAUGGAAUUCUCGAAUCACAUUAGACCCUCUCUCUUCGAAAGGAUUCAUCCUCGAAUUAUGUUCCAGAUUGUAGCCCUUGUCUCCAAUCAAUGCAAGAACAUGAAAUGGUCCAUCUCCCCUCGGAUGCAAUUUGGACCUCCUUUGACUUUGUAUUUGUCUUUUUCGUAAGUAAACCCAAUCUCCUUCACAUGGACUAAAGUGUGCUCACCUCGACUACUUAAUCUUACAAGUUGGAACUGCUCCAUUAACAUUUCCAUAUGAAGAAUAACCGUGCAUUUUCCUUGCUUUACUUAGCUCAAGAACUUGAUGCGAUAUCACUUCCAAUAUAUCCAUAUUAUCCUUCAGUUCAUCUUCCUCAAUCAACUCUCUACAUAUGUAAUUCCUCCAAUGCCUUUGAAACUCCUUUAUCUCCUUGGCAAUCACAAAGUCAACUUGUGGCAGAUAAGAAAAAUCCAACUGAUGUGAACCCACGUAGGCAGUCGCCAUGGAACCCACGAACAAGAUGGAAAUCUUCCCAAGAAAGCCAAAGUGAGGUUUUGGAUUAAACCCAACGAACUUGGAACUAAGCAACCCAAUCGCCGACGAUGUGUGGACCUCUUGAUUACGCAAACUAAUUGAAUAUCACCCGAAAUUUUGGAUCUGACUCAAUAACUACAAACCAAACAACCAACACAGUCACAUGGACAUGCGAACCUUUUGAUUACAAAUAAUUAAUUGAAAUCACAACUCGAUUUUGAAGGACACAAGAAUAUUAAUUCUUGAUAAGUUCGGUAGAUUUGCCCAUUGAAGAACAAAAGUUUUGAAGCAAAGCUUCGAGAGAAAAUAUCUAAUUUAAUUCAUAGCAAAGUUCUGAAUACAAUUAUGAAAGAUAUUUCCUAUUUAUAGUAAAGCUAGAAAAUAAUAUAAAAAUGGAAAAAAAAUCCAAAAUAUAUUAAAGAUGCUAAAAAAUUAGAAUUCUAACUAAACUAGGAAAUUGCCAAAAUAUGGAAUUCUUGAAUCACAUCAAAUCAUCUUCCACUAUUUUCCCCAUGCUCUACUCAUCUCCGACUGUUGUAAUCCAUUGUCGACUGUCCACUUCAAUUGGAAGCAUUCAACAUCAUCGACAAUGUUUUCCAAAACCUACAAUCCCAAUCGCCACCCUAUGCUAUAACUGGAAUCUCUAUUAUGCCCUACCAUCACCCAUCUAUCAGCCUAACAUAUAAUAAAUGAAACCAACCUACUCCAAUCACUGAAGCAACCCACCUUUGACACAUGAUCCUACCCAAUUCCACAACCAGCCGCACCUAUAACUCGCUACUGCAAAACACAGUUGCCACCACAAUCUUGUGUCAGACGCACUCCACAGAGACGAAAAUUUCUAUUCUCUCAUGCAUACAGAGAUAGCUCAUUUUAUUUUGACUGAAGGAAGGAGCUGAAAGAGGAACUGGGACUAGAUUAUUAGGUUUGGGAAGAAAAAUAAAUAGGAGAGAAAUUGUAGCCAGGUAAACAGGCUUUUUUUUUUCACCACAAGCCUCCUGCCGAGAGACAAGGAAAUCGAUGGAUCGUUAGCCAGGGAUUAUAAUAGGGACUCGCUAUUUCUACUUAUCUUUGGAUUUAUACUAUUGUUUCAUUUAAAGUGUGUCAAUUAUUUUCUAUGUUGCUGUUAUCCUAGUAUAUUAACCAAGCUCAUUUGAUUGGAUCCUUUGACUUCGUUAAAUCCCUACUCUUUAUACCAUUUAUUUUACGUAAUUACGCUUUUGACUAGCAUUUGGCACUUGUUUUGCUAUUUUACAUAAACCAGGAUGACUAACUUUCCAUAUUUGGAUUUGUUUAAUCCAAAAAAAUAAAUUAAAAUGCUCAGGUAGCUAUUUUUUGUUAUUUGCCCUUAUUGUUCAUUAAUCUUCCCAUUGCACGUCAUUUAGCUAUUAUUACAUUGAAUGUAGUUGCUUAGUAGUCAUUGUUCAUCUUUUGUUCUUAUAUUUUGACCAUGGACCUUUGCUAAUUUGAUGCACUCACCCAAUAAAUAACUCAAAUUGCCACUGGUAGUAGAACACUUAAUUAGUGGUUGUCCAAACUGAGAUGACUGCUGCUCAUGAACAGAGAGUGAACCUAGCUACUAGAUUAAACAAGUUCAAGGAAAACCCUCGUUCCACUAACGUUGAUAAUUUUGAAGUGUCCCAUAAUGGAUAAUAUCAUCAUCACGAGGUGAUCAAAAAUAUUUUUGACACGAUUGAAGGGAUGGGGAUUAGAAUCGUGAGCUAGAACAAGUCUAUGGCCAUGAUGAUACCCAUUCUCUUCCUCGUCAUGAGGAGCAUUUCUUUAGAAAAUAAAGUAAAUGCUCUAACUUUCAAUGAUUCCUUAGAUCCUAAAUUUUUCACUCAAUGAAAUGCUUUAUGACAAGAAAAUCAGCUACUGACUGAGUAUAUCACUCAAUUCGUGGAAUUUCAAAUGAAAUAUCAUAUCAUUGAGGAUGAGGCCCUGACUUUGUGUAGAAUUAGACAAUGUCUAAAGGUCUAUUUGAUUGCAAAGAUGGAAUUUGUGUGGAAAGAAAAUGAAUUUCAGAGAAUUAAAUUACCUGUAAAUUGUUUUCCUGAGAAUUGUAAAUUAUUGUGUUUGAUUGGUAUAAUUUUUCACUUGGAAAAUGUUAAAAUAAAAGUUUCUUUUGGUGUUCGUUUGGCUUUGUUUUACAUGAAAAUUGUCAAUUUAAGGGAUAUCUCCUUUUACAACUGUUCCUAAAAUUUGUUUCCAUUACUAAAAAAAGGUCCAAAAAUCAUCAUUUGACUUUGUUUUAUAUGAAAUUUGUCAAUUUAAGGGUUAGAAUUUUUUACAAUUGUUCCUCAUAUUUGUUUUCAUUGCCAAAAAAAGGUAGAAAACCAAAAGCCACCAAAAUGGUGGGAAAGCAAAUUCUAAGAAAUCUAAGAAAAUGUGCACGUGUGGGAGAAAGGAAGAAAAGGAAUUGCCAAGAAAAUUUUUCAAAUCAAACAAGGCAAAAGUGAAAAAUGGAAGGAAAUAAAGGGGGCUAUCAAACAUGCCCUAAGAGAUGAUCUUAGGCAUGAGCUUUUCCUUUGGUAUGUCACUACUCUUGAUCAUCUUCACUCUUUAGCUCGAGAUUUUGAGUUGAUUAUUGGUACACCAUAUGAAAUGUGUAAUGACAACCGUACAUCCAUCAAUCAGCACUGUCUCUUCUUAAGUAUAUCAAAAUACUUUCCUUGUCCAAUGUUCCUCAUUUGUUGGCAAAUAAGUGUAAAAUUCCAAAAUUUCAAAGGACUUUUCCUCACUUGCAGUGCCUCAACUAUAAGGACUUUGGCUGCAUCUCUUCCAAAUGUCCUAGUUACGCUUUAGUCAUUCAAGAAAGAAAGAAUGUAAUAGAUGAACCAUUAGAAAUUCUCGUUUAUGAACUUAAACUUGAAGAUUUUGAUGAAUGUGAGGACACCUACUUAUGUGGUAUCCGGACUCUUCCUGAGAAUCUAGAAUUAUACCCUUUGUUCCCAACACUUCUCAAGUACAUGUUGUAUGUCUUACCUUUAUCCAACCUAAAGAGGUUGAUGAUUUCACUAGUGGAGCAACCUGUCGCAUAUGGUUAGCACUAAAAUGAAACUCUCCACUACAGACCACCCUUAGACUAAUGGUCAAAUUGAAGUUGCUAACCAGAGUCUUGGUAAUUUCUUAAAAUGUCUAGUCCAGGAAAAUCUUGGGAAUUGGGGCUCGAUCCUCCUAGUGGUUCAAAUUGCAUGUAAAAAUUUUGUGAAUCGAUAAUAGGAGGCCUUUAGACCUUAUUCCUAUGUCCUCACAAGCUAGUGUGUCAAUGUCAGCCGAAGUAUUUGUACAUCAUCUUUAUGACUUGUAUAUUGAGAUCAAUAAACAACUUAAAGCAAGUAAUGUAUCAUAUGAACUUCAAGCUAAUUUUCAUAAAUGACAUGUUUGAUUUAAUAUUGGGGAUUAUGUUAUAUUGCAAGCCUGUAGUGCUUUCUUUUUUCACUUUUUUUCUAUUUCUCAAUCCUUCCAAAUUUGCCACCAACUACAAGGAAUCAAUGUAUUUAAGUAUUACAAAUAUACUAUUUUUUAUUCACUCAAAAGAAUAUUUUUGCAUCACCAUUAAAUACACAUCUUUUGUUUGUUCCUUUGUGUGUAUUCUAAUGCUCCGUUUGGUAGAGUUUUUGUUUUCUACUUCUAUAUUUUGUAGUGAAAUUCUUUGAGCAAACUAUCUCAAGCCAAUGCCCUCUAAAAUUUCUUCUAAUUUUGUAGAAAAUUAUUUAAACAUGUUCAAAAAUAUUUUCUUAGUUUCAAAAUUAACUUUUGAUUUUUCUAAAACAUUGCCAAAUGGGGCCUAGACCUUACUUAUUGCUAAUUUUUUAGAUAUCUUCUGAACAUAGAACAAAGAAUGAAGAAUGUAGAGUGAGGUAUUUAUGAAGAAUAAUCAAUGGCACUCAUGCAACCCUAACUCACUCUCUGUAUUAUAUAAGUCACUUUUAUUCCUUAGUUGAUUGUUUCUACGUACUUCCCACUCCUACCAACUUACUCUAAAAAAGGCAUUGCACCAAGGUCAAAAAGCAUGUUUUGUUAAUAAAAAGUAACUUUUAAGUAAUUUUAGUUUACACUAGUAGUUAUAUCAAAAACAAAAAUUUAAUAUAAUUAUUAAUUUAACUUUUAAUAUUACGUAGCAAGGGAUUUACUUAUGUGCUAUAGUGAAAGAUACCAAAUUACUGUCAAGUGCCCUAUGAACCAUUUUAUUCUCAAGAUUAUCAACAUUUAUUGUUACAUCAUUACCUUUUUUUCCCCGAAUUGCACUAAUUCCCCCUUAAUAGGUAGAUGUCAAUACCUUUUAGCGUUAGCAAUGAAUUCUAGAUGAUCAUGGCUGAAAUUUUCAGCCAUGAUUUCAAUUUUUUUACAGGCAGUGGUCUAGCAACAUAUGGAGAGACUAAAAAUUAAAAGGAAAUAAGAUAUUUAAUUACUAUGAAUAAGGUCAUUUUGACUUCUAUUUUCUAAAAUUUAGUUUUUCUUAAACUCAUUUUUAGUUACAUAUUUUAUAGAUAAAUAAUUUUAUACGCGACCAUAAUUUUUUUGUAUUUUUAAACCAUUCAUUCCCCAAAAUCCCUUACCCUAAAAUUCCAAAAUAAUAAUAAAUUACCAUGUACUAUUGUUUCUGUUUUUAAAAUUUAAAUUUCAUUAUUACUAUUAUUAUUAUAUUGUUCUCUCUCAUGAAUUCGCUGAUUUCACAAUUCAUGGGAAUUGGGGCUUGAUCCUCCCCGCUGUUCAAAUUGCAUAUAACAAUUUUGUGAAUUGGUAAUAGGAGGCCUUUAGUCCUUAUUCCUAUGUCCUCACAUGCUAAUGUGUUGAAGCAUUUGUACAUCAUCUUUAUGACUUGUAUAUUGAGAUCAAUAAACAACUUGAAGUAAGUAAUGCAUCAUAUGAACUUUAGGCUGAUUUGCAUAAAUGAUAUGUUUGAUUUAAUAUUGGGGAUUAUCUUAUAUUGCAAGCCUGUGGUGCUUUCUUCUUUCACUUUUUAUGUUUCUCAGUCCUUCCAAACUUGCCACCAACUACAAGGAAUUUACUUAUUUGCUAUGGUGAGUUGGGAGUUUGAUUGAAAAUUCUUCUUCUGUCUUGGGUUUUUAAGUUCUUCUUGGUAGAUUUAAAAUUUACCUUUGUGGGUUGAGAGUUUUGAUUGAAAUUCUUAUAUCUCUCAAGGUUUUCAAGUUUCUCCUUAGUAGAUUUACUAUUUAUUCUUGUGGAUUGGAGUUUGAUUGAAGUCUGUAUCUCUGUUGGUAGAUUUAUUAUUUUUGUGGGUGGGAGUCUGAUUGAAAAUAUGAAGAUUUGUGACUCGUUAGAAGGGUGAAGCCAACAUUAUUGAUGGUGAUGAUGAAAAUAGUAUUUGCUAGAAUCAAUAUUGUUUAUAAAAGGACUGCAAGCGAUGGAAUGAAAUGUUGUCCAUUUUGGUGGGCUAUGGAAUCAUGUUUGGCCUGGUUUUAUGGUUUCGGCUGCCCUCUUGGUUAAAAGGUUCUAAUGAGCAGAAGUAAAUUUCACCUUAUCAAAAAGGGACAGAGCUUGCAACCAACCAUUCUCAUUAUGACCCAUUAGAAGUCCAAGGACUACUCCAUAAACUUGAUUGUAAAAGAGAUGUAGUUCCUCUAAUAAUAGUGAAGCCUCUUCAAAUGAACUAUAGAAGCUCCGACCACAAAGAAAGCCAUGAAACUGACAUUAAUUAUGAUAAGCGAGAUUAUAAAAAGAAACGUAGGUUAUACAAAUAACUAGCAGAGACAGAAAACUAAUCACUAAGAAAAAAUUGAGAUAAUGAAUUGGUAAAGGAAUAAAAUAAUAAUAAAAAUACACCCAGUACAUAUAAAAGGACAUGAAUCCGAUUUGAAGGAAAGCCCAUGAAAUUCACAUUGAUUAAGUAGAAAAAGGGCUAUUGCUACUAAAACAGUCUAAUUACUAGCAUCCAAGUUAUAUAACCCAGAAAAUAAGGAGGACAACAAGUUACAUACCCUGAUACCAUUCUAAUACAAAUAUGUUUAAAUUCAAUAGGAAAUCACCUGGUGCAACUUAAAAUGCAUAGCUACUCUUAGCACAUCUAUAGAUGCCUAAGGGUAUAUGGUGGUUUUGUACGAGGGAUGUGGAGUGUGACAUUUGGAUCACGAGUGGAGAUGUGAUCAAAUGUCUAGGAUCAUUUAUCUGAAAUGAGACCCUGAUCAGGUGGAGUGUGAGAGAGACACUUCUAUCACUUCUGUUAGGUGGAGACCCAUUAUCCACGUAGGUUGGGAGAAGUGAUGUGGAGAUAGAGGAUUAUCGCGUGGACUUAGGAUCUAUCAUGACUUACUAGUUAGACAUGAGUUGAGUGAUCUGUCUAGUGAGCGUGGUGGGCAAUGAGAGGAGAUAUGUGUUCUCGAGGUGUGAGCAACAUGGAAUGGGAUAGGAUAAAUGUGGUGAGAUCUUUUCUUAGGGUCAUUUAUGCAUGUGUUGCAUAUGUGGUUGACUGUGGUUUGAUUGACUUGGUGUUAAUCUAUGGUUCUAUGUGAACGUGUUUCUGAAAAGAUCUGUGUGUGUUAUCUUAUAGUAUAUCGUCAUCGCAUGCAUAUUUGCUCUUGAUUUUUUACUGUUAAAUAUUUGCUUCUACUUGGGUGUUUUUUUUACCUUAGCCCCAGUGAGUACAUGGAAUAGGUAUGGUAUGUGUUUCAAAUUGGAAACAUGAGGUAAGGUCUGUUAUCCAAUUUUAUUGGCUACCUUGAUUAUGCAAGUGUUAACUGUGUAUUUUUUGAUUGCUUGCAGAUUUAUUGGGCAUCAAGGUGGAGAUUUGUUGGGUUUUUGAUACCCAAUAAAUCCCGGGCUAUGAUGUUAACGUGGGUUAAUAUUAUUUCAUAGGCAUAGGCCGAUGAAUGAAAUAAGUCCAAUAACCAAGUCCAUGAGCUACACCCGGCCCAAUUGUAUUCCUUAUGGAUGGCUUGAAUCUUAGCCCGUUUACCCCUUUAAUGGCCCUACAUAAAGCCUAACCCUAGAGUAUAUAUUUGGUUAUAACCCUAGCCACUUUGAUAUGAUGAUUGUGUGAUUUUGAGAGAAGAAACAAGAGAAUCCCGGCUGCCCCUCUUUGUGUGAGAAAAAAGGUGUCCAGAAGUGUCCAGAACGCUGGUAUAACGUGUGCAAUUGGUGGUUCUUUCAUGGUAUACCUUUGUGGUGUCUUCUCUUAGCCUUUUUGGCGAUAAAUCAUCAUCCUUUCUUGUCAUACAUGGGUAAGAUUGAAUAAUAACCAAGGUGAAUCAAUUCGUUGUGGUUUGGAGCCAUUUGUAUUGGUUGUUGGUAGAGAAAGGUACGUUGGACCGAGCCUAAAAAACCACCGUUUGAAGAUCUUUUGAGAGAGCUUCCGCAACAACAUCUAAGGCAUAUAAAUGCUUUCAAAUAAAAGAACCACACCAUGGUGUCAAGAAUGCAAAGAUAUAACAAAAAUAUGCCCAUGCUUGGCUUUUAGAAAAUAUUUACUUCAAUAAAAAUUUAAGACACACCUUCACCGUAUUACCAAGGAUUACAAGAAAGAAGCAUUAUAUAUUAAUAAGUAUAGCCACCAUUUCAGUCUAACAGCUCUUAAAAUGUCCAUAGAAAUUUUAGAACGCGUGAUUCCUAGAAAUUUUGAAAUGAAUUUAAAGCACGUGGAUCAUUCCCUGAAAUUGGGUGCUAAUGUGUCUUUUAGAUUCGCAAGUAAGUUGAGCAAGUUCCUUCUAUAUAAUUUUAUAGGAAAAUAAUCAGAAAUUUAAAAAAAAAAUUCUUGUAAACCACUUUCAAUAUUGUGCUCCUUCGCAAUAGUAGCAAAAAGAAGAGAACUGAUAUGAAUAUUUUAUGUAUAUUAAUGCAUUGGAUCUGGUUUAUUUGAGCAAAAGGUCUUCAUACCUUGGGGAAGUUCAUACCAAAUGCAGCCAUUACAACAAAAGUUAAGCAAGAGGUUUACAACUUUCAUCUCUGCAAAUAAAUAUUUAUGAUUGUUGGCAAAUGCUCAUCCCUGUUUUGCUCAAUCUCAAUCAUAAAACUAAGAGUGAUAUUAAAAUAAAUUGAGACUAAGAGCCAAUAAUUCCCUUUUAUAGCAAGAAACGUCAAUUGUAAUUUAAUCGAUUAAAUCUAGACUGAAAAUAUGUAAAAUAUUGAGAGUCUUAACUGUGCUCGCAACCUCAAACCGAAACAUUUUUUCCAUUCCGAUACUUAUUUGCAUGAAGUAGAUAUUAUAGGUAGCAGAACGAUCAUAAACGAAUAGCACAUACAACUAAACUAAUAUUUAUCUACAUGUUUUUAUAAUUUCACAACUAUAGAGUAGUCAUUAGGUCAAAUUAAUGUAUGUUCACAACUAUAUAGUAGUCAUUAAGUCAAAUGAACUCACAAUUUGUGGUUUAAUUGUCUUCCCAUCCAGCUCCACAGUCCUAACUUUCUAUAGUAAUUAUGGAUAACUACAUUGAACCCCCAAUAAAAGCAGAGCUAAAAACAUGAAAAUAACUAAACUAUUUUGUAAUCUAAUCAACAUAAAUAAUGGAAUUAUUGGAAUAACACUCACAAAAUCCACUCCAAUGGUGCUAAUAUAGCUGUCAACAUAUGAAUCAUCCUAAAAGCAUCAAAGGACAGCAUCAUGUCCACUAUACAAUUCACCGAAAAGAAAAUUUAAUAAAAACCCAGAGCUAAAUAUACUAACCCAACCAUAUUUCUAGAAGCAAGUCACUAAAGAAUAUUGAAAAGAAACCCAUUAUAAAGCACACGUAGAUGAAGAAAUCAUACCUAUAGUUAUUGGAGAAAUCGAAAGUUCACCUUCCACCACUGCCUUUAGAGAUAUUUUACGUCCGACUGCUUCACACCAUCAUCAUUAGCCAAACCAGCCAAUCAAGCCUCAUACCUCACAGAUUCGUUCGCCACAGCAUCACUUACCACGUCUUUAUCUUCAAUGAAUCAUUCGUUGAUGAAGAAGAUGCCUCCACCACCUACUUUAAUAUAUUAUUGUUAAUGGUUCAUGAUUUUUCUUUACAUUCUCUCAUGGAGCAAAGGACAUGGAUUGUACUUUCUUUUUCUUUUAUUUUUUGGUAAAUUAAGUUUUAAUCUUAGAAGAGCUUGUUUACUUGAAAAAUGUUAUUAAUAGACGAAGAAAUUGGGGAUUUUCUUCACAUCCAUGCAAAUAAAUUUUGUGUAUAGAAAUAAAUCAAGUAUGUGUGACUUUGUAGUUAUGGAUGGUGGAUCUCAUUAUCUGUUUUAGUUGACCCAAAAUAUAUAUAUGCACAAACCUGUUUUUCCUCUAAAUGAAGGCAUGUGUAAAAUCUAUUAUUAUUUCUUAAGACCCUUUGGAUGCUAUUGUUCUUAAUUCUAAAAUUUGAUGUGAAACUUUGUGUACAUUCGAGAUUUGUUUCUUUCUUUCUUGAUAAAUGUUGACUUUCUACAAUUAAAGUUAGCAUUUAAAGAACAGUACAGGAUAUUUUUCGAUGACUAUAUAUGUGAAUUUGAAGCUAAUUUGAAUACAACCAAAUACUUCACAAAAUCUCUUUAACUCACAAUGCAAAUGUUACAUCAACAAAUAGCUCACCAAUUCAAAGAAUUUUUAAAUAUGACGUUGAUAACCUAGCAAACAAAAAGCAAAAGUAGGAGUAGUUAUUUGAGAAUGUCACAUAUGUAUUUUGAUUUUCUUUUGCAUGCUUAUGUCUACAAUCCACCAUACCUCCAUUUGUCGUAAUAGUUUUUGUUUAUUAUAAUAUAAACAUGUUAAACCCAUGUAUCUAAUUACGGCAUGAAACAACUCUACUUUUUGCUUAAUAUUACCAUCAGCAGUGAAAAUACUUGUUGACACAAUUUAUAUAAUCCAAUAUAAUUUUCAUGCAAAGCCGGUUUCAUUUUCCACUGAAAUCCUACAAAAUCAAAAUCCAACACUAUCAUUUACACUACAUUACCAACUACACGUGCAAUGCACGUGCAUUCACUAGUCUAACUAAAAGUAAAAGAGGCAUAUUGUAGUUACUGUUCACAAGCCGAUUGCUCAGCCAUUUUGGACUGAACCAAGUUUGUUGAGUCAAUUGGAAAUAAGCUGAAUUUUUAAAUGACAUCGUUUUGUGUGAUUAAAAGAGGAUAAGUGUUCCUUUCGGUUUUUCUCAUUCUAGAACAUUCAUUUUGUCUUUGGUUUUCUCUUUGUUUUUAGAUCUGAAAACUUAUUUUGUAGAUUUGAUUUUCAUUUUCAAGAUAUCUUCAAAAUUUGGUUAUGGAGUGAUGUUUUCCAAAAUUUCAGGGUUAGCAGCGGUGGCAACUUCCACUUCGGCAGCGACAAUUACCACCUAGGUGCACCGUCUCCUCCUACCAAAUUGACCCACUUCUCUGCCUUGAGUUUUUUUUAGAUACACUUGUUCUGUAGAAAAAUUCAAGGUGCUAGAUCUAAUGCUUUUUGUUUGUGCUAAUUAAUUUUGCAAUUUGUGCUCAAUGUUUUGUCGAAUUACGAAAGUUGGUAGUGUUUCAUGGGAUUUUAGUUGGUUAAAGGUACCACUUCAAUGACAAGAAGCCCUAAAUUUUCUUAGAAUUUGUUCAUGAAUUAGCGAAAAAAAUAAAACUCAUUUAUUAUUGGGUAUAAGUUUUGCUUUACUUUAUUGAUGCUUUCAAACAUCUUGAUUCACUUGAGGUAUGUUUAAAAUAGUGUGUUUUCAUUCCAAUAUUUUGAUUCUGCUUGAAAAGCUCUUUUCUUGAUGUGCGAGCAUCAAUUUUUACACUUCACAACCUAUCUAGAGGAUUCUGCAAGCGUGCGAGCUAGGCUGUAACAUUUGAGCAAUAUCCUUCUUUAGGUAAUCGUGUUGUGCGUACCUUCAAAUCUAUGUACCUAGCAUAAUUGAAAAUGAAAACAUUAAGAACUAGAUAACAUAAUUCUUCUUCACAAAUCUUUUGUAUGACUCAGCUCUAUACUGUUUAAUUAUCACCACAAAAAACAAAAGCAAAGAAAUUCACAAGCAAUUAAUUUUAUAUCAUUCAAGUAUUUCCAUACCACAUAUAUUGCUUUCUAUAUUAGAAUUUAUUGAAUGAGAAACAAUGUAUUAAACUCCAUGAAGGAGAAGAUGAAUUACACUCCAUGAAAGGAGGAAAUGAACAGCUCCAUAAAAGGAGGAAGACACUCCAUAAUAGGAGGAAAUGAAAUCUCCAUGGAAGGAGGGAUUGGAGGACAAUCCAAUAGACUAAAAAUUCAUCCACGGUGCUGUAUUUAUAGAGCAAAAUGGCUAAAGUAAUUAACUAACUAAUUAGCUAAUUAACAAACUAAUCAAUAACUAACUAACAACUAAGACAGCUGGACACAACCGUUUUGGAAUCUGAUAUGUUGAGAUGGAAGUCUCUAGAAUCUGGUGCACACAUGAUGCUGGAAUCUGCUGAUGUUUGGUGCAUGUGUAUUCCAACAUUCUAUUCUUUAUCUAUGUCGUUUGAUUUUUGAUAAUUUUAAAGCAACGUUUAAAAUUCUCCAAAAGGGAUUUCUAUUAUGUUUCACAACCUUAUGUUGACCAUAUUAUCUUUGUAGUAUACGCCGUAAAAAAGAGUUGAAGUGAAUUUUUUCCUGUUGAGAUGAGCCAAUUAGUGGUAGAUUUAUAUGUGUUGUUGUGUAUGUAUUUUCGCAGUUUGUAUAAUAUAUCUGCAAGAACGUAGGAUUUGACUUUUGAAAAUAGCUCUGAUUCACCAUGUCUCAGAAACUGGUUUGACAUAUCCAGCAAGCAAGAAGUGAUACAAAAGUUGAGACAACAAUUAAAGAGAAAAGAUUACAUGAUGCUAGAAAUACAAGAUCAGAUUGCAAAACUUUGAGACUCUUUGUGAAGUGCAUUUGUAUUCUUUCCAUCUACAAUAGCUGCUCGAUUCUACAAACAGGGAUCUGUUUGAUUCCAAAGGAAAAUAUAGAGAUUAAGAAAGGCAAUUGCAGAUAAUUAUGGGGGACAUAUGGUUUUUAGUGACAAUUCCCUUGCUGUUCAUCUAGCAGAAGGAAGGAAUGGCCACACAAAUGGAUAUUCCGAGAUUGAAAGCAAUCUUGAUUCUUAAGAAAAAGGGAGAGGAGAUUGGGAUAUAACAUUGAAACAUUAAGAAGGGAAGUCAGGGGGUGAAAAGAAGUAAUAAUCCAAAAUCUCAAAACUUUUGGGCUGUCGUAUCUUAUCUAAACUCAAAAUAUUAGAAAUUUCAAACAUAUGUUUUUUUACGUGUGAUAAGGAUUAAGAAUAAAAGUAGAUGUCAUGGUAUCUUGUUAAUAUAUAACUGAGAAAACAUUUUGAAAAAAAAAUAAAAUAAAAGAUAAUUAUUUUUAGAAGUGAAAAGUUAUAUCGUUGAAUUAAUUUUCAUGUUAUUAUAUUUAUUCAAGACAUCUUUCGGUAAGCUUCCAAGAUUGAGCUUCUUGUUCAUCUUGUGGAAUUAAUUGAUGAUUGUAGGUGUUUAGUCAAGAAAGCUUGUUUGGUUUUACCGUUCUUGAUUAAUCUUUAGGUUCGAUUGAUUUUCUUGAUUUUGGUUUUUUUUUUCAUUAGUAAGCAAAAAGAAAAAAAAAACAUUUUUGCUGUUCUGAUUAUAUGUCAUAAUUUAUUGUAUCUAUUUAAUGAGUUAAACCAUGUGGUAUUGCCUAAUUGUUUCUAUGCACAACUAAAAAACAAUGUAAUUUCGUUCUUCACAUGUCCUAUUACUAAAUAGUAUUUGAUCUUUUUCACUUAGCUUGCACUUUAGCAACAUGAGUUUUUGUUGACUUCCUUGAAGUGAGAUGUGUUUGAUGUUACAGGUGCCUUCCAGAAUUUCAGGGACUACAUCAAAUUUUGUGAUUAAUAAACCCGAGAUUUAAUUUAAACAACCCAAUUUCCUGCAAUUUAUGAAGGAAGCUAAGGAUAUGGAUCUGGAUUUAUGGUAUUUUGUUGAACAAAAGAACAUUUAAUAACCAAUAUCGAUUCUCCAGUAUUUUAUAUUCCAUUUCUGACUUUUAGCAUGCGAACUUUUAUAGCUCUUGUAAGAGGUUUAGUACUUAGCACAAUAUUCAUAUUUUGUAAUUGCAAUUUAGCUAAGACAUCUUGCAGUUGUAGCAUGGCAGGUAUUAAUCAGGGUUGAAAUUAUAAAAGAAAAUGGAAAUAAUAUAAUCAAUCUCUGUCUUCAAUAAACAUUACACGCAUACCAACGAACAAGCUGGAGGAAAACAAAAAAGUGGAGAAGAGGAACUACAACAUUAGAUUUCAGGAAUACGGAUUAUGAGUGCCCUAUUUGAGUCCCAUUUUUUCAAGAAUUCAUUUUUUCAAAUCUCACUUUCAACUAUACAUUCUCUCAUAAAAUAAAAUACGUAUUUUAAACAUUUUUCUUGAUUUUUAACCACACAUUCUCCAAAAAAUCACUAUUCUAUAAUCCAUUUUACCCAAGAAUGGGGAUCAAACAGGGACUAGAUUUCCAUUACAAAGUAAACUUUACCUUUCUCUUCACUAUUUUGUCUUGGUCAGUGGUGGAUCUAGGAGUUGGAGCCAACUAGGGCAGUUGGUAACCGUCGACUGAUGCAUUAACAAGAUCGUUUAUUAAUAUUUUAUUAAAUAAUAUUAAAAAAAUUUAAUUAAUAUAUAAAUGCAGUAAAACGUAAAUCACAUAUUAACAAUCAUCAAGUUUCCAUUUCCAAAUUUCACAAAUACUAGUAGAUUCCAUAAGUCCACAAACACUAAUAGUUUUUAUUUCCAAAAUCCCUAAUUUUCACAAAAUCCUCAAUUUUCACGAAUUUCAUAGUCCACAUAUAUGAUAUCGCAUAUCCUCAAACUCAUGAAGCCUCCAAUUUUCGUAAAUAAUAUUAGAGGUUCGUGACUCAUGAAGUCACAAACUAACAGUAAAUAUUCAUAAAACAUAAAUUCAUAAAUCAUAACUGAUUAUUUUAACUGAUAGCUCAUAAUUUGAUAAAUAAUAAAUCAAAAAACGAACAGAAACCAAAAAAAAAGAAAAAAAGGAGAAAUGAAGAGAGGCAGGAGACUCACCACUCAUGUCCCGCCAUCACGAGUGGAAUUAGUUACCAGUGAUACAGUGGUGGUGUAGUUCUGUAGUUGCCAGUGGCUCAACGUCGGUGAUUCUACUGUGGCUUAGCUUGAGUGCUAGCAGAGAAAAAUAGAGUUUGGAAAUUGGAAUUGGAUAGAAUUGCUUGAUUUUGGGUUUGAACUGCCGAGUGAUAUGUGGCUUUGUGCGUUUGAUUUAUGAAGGGAAAAUUUCACGAAACACCAGUUAAUUUAUAUUAUUGUCUAUUCUACAUGCCACUGUAUUCUUAUUCUAAUUAUACAGCUUUUUAUACAGUAUUUUGGAAAACUGAAUGGGAGAACAAAUAAGCAGGUGUAUUAAGUUGGAAAGCAUCAAUUACGGUCAAUUCAAUUCUCCCAAUAUCUUGCACUUUCCCAAAAAAUCCAUUUCAUAUUCUUCUCUCUCCAUCUUGCAGAAAACUAAACACUACCGUCCAUGCAAAUCCAAGAUCCCCAGAUCAAUUAAUCAAGAAAAGGGGUUAAUUUACUACACAGAUCGAUCUCAUUACCUCACAUACCCAUGGGCUCUGUCUAUAUCCCACGGUCGGAAGUUGAAUGUCGUAAGUUAGCUACCCCUUGACGGAAGUUGUCGCUGGCUUCCAAAGAGGGUAUUAAUGGAGGGGAAGCUUCGGCAUCUGUGGAGAUAGUGACGACGAAAAUGGAAGUGCUUGUUCUCCUUAACGUCGAAUUACAUGAUCUAUAACCGUUUUGUCAGAAUAUAAGGAACGAGACCCCCCAGCCAUCAAAGAAAUGUUUAAAACCUCAGCCAAUGUUUAUAAAAGUGAGAAGAGGCCUCCUGACUAUGUUGACGAAGAAUCCUCUAUGAAGAAAAUGAAAAUGGCGUUGCAUUCGAACCCGGAAAAAGGAAAUUCUACGUCUCACGUAUUAUUUUUGGGGAUUUUUGAAAACUGUGAAUGUUAAUAUAUGUUAAAUUUUGUUUGCUAUCUUGAGGUUGACAUUUUUGAGACAAUGAAUUACGUAUGUAUGUGAUUUACGUGAAGUUCUCCUCCAUGCUUCUCUGACCCCGUUUAUUGUCUGUACCAAAACCAUUGGAUGACACACCGAAACCUUACACUACUGUGUGUGAUAUGUCGCGUUUGAAGAGUUUGAUAUGCUAAAAUUUACUUACAUCUCUGUGAUUGAUUGUGAAUAUUAAUUCUUCUUUUCUUAUGAUGACAACAUAUGCAAUACAACCCAUGUUUGUUACCGAGUAACGUUAACAUUUCUAACCUUACAUUUCAUCAUUUGCAUUUCCAUUUUUUUUUUGUAAUCUGCAAUAUGUAGUGGAAACUCAUUUUACACUUGACUUUGAUGUUCAGAUUGCACACUGUCUAUUAGAAAAUGGAAAUCAGCUGCAGGUGAGUCAGCUUGGGAAUUAGCAAAGCACGUACACUCCAGUACACAUGGGCGACAAGCUGGACUAUAGGUGGAAGAAUAAAUCUAGAAAGAUGUAGCAUAUUUUUUGUUAUGUGGUUUUCCUUUCGUAACAGUGUUGUUUAUAUAAAUUCUUUUUCCUGCCUCCUGUAUAGGUUUUUCGUUAGGCUGGUACUCUUCUCAUUCUAUAUAUAGUGUGAUCAACCUGUAAAGAAGUGAAUAUAGCAGAUUCAAUAUCAUGAGAAAAUUCUCCCAAAACUCUUGCACUCCACCUGCUCGAUAGUUUUCUUCUUUCAUUUAUUUCUUCUUUUCUUAUAUGAUAUCAGAGCCAGAUAUGGUACAACCUGAUUCUGCUAAUCCAAAUCCAGUUGAAUCUUCAAACACAGAUAUAAAUCAACACCCAAAUCCAAUCACGGUUGAUCCCUCACAGCCAAACAGUCCAUACUAUAUUGGAGCUAAUGAUAGCUCUGGAUCCACACUCGUUACUCAUGUAUUGGAUUCAAACAAUUAUCAUUCCUGAGCACGUGCGAUGUAAAGAGCACUCAGGAUUAAAAAUAAGCUCGAUUUUGUUGAUGGAAGCAUUUCAGAGCCUAGUGAUGCAGACAGUCCACUUAUGGAGCAUUGGUUGAGAUGUAAUGAUAUAGUAAUCACUUGGUUGCAGAAUACUAUGGCAGUUGAAAUAAAAUGCAGCACCAUGUAUGCUGAAACGGCACAUUACUAUGCAAAGAACUUGAACAGAGAUUGGCACAGCAAAAUGCAUCUAGGAUUUUUGAACUCAAACAAAGUAUUGCAAACUUGAUGCAAAACCAAGACAGAGUGUGUGUAUUUCUCAAAGCUGAAAACUCUUUUGGAUGAAUUGCUAAAUUAUGAAUCAGUACCCAAUUAUUCCUGUGGGGGUUUGAAGGUUGUGGUGAACAACCAACAAAGAGAUUGGUUUAUGAAAUUCCUAAUAGGUCUCAAUGAUACGUACUAGGGAUUAAAGGCUCAAAUUCUCCUCAUUAAGCCUUUCCCAAUCUUGAAUGAAGUAUACUCCAUAAUUCAGCAAGAAGAGAAGAGAAGGCAAAUAUCCAUUGAUAGUUCACUUGAUGAAACUAUGGCACUACUUGCUAAGGGUAACCUUGAUGUGAGAAAACAAAACCAAUCCUCUCCGAAGAAGGAUAGGUACUACUGCACCUAUUGUAAGAUAGCUGGGCAUUCCCUUGAACGAUGCUUCAAGGCUAAUCUAAACAAACCAACAUGCUCUUAUUGCCAAAUGCCUAGUCAUACAGUUGGAAAAUGUUUUGAGUUACACGGGUAUCCAUCGGGGCACAAAUCAGAAGGGAGAAAUAAGCCAUCAACAUCAUUUGCUAAUCAGACUACUACACUUAUGCCUCUUGUCUAGGAACGGGUAAAUAACAAAGCUCAAAUGUCUUUAUCUCAGGAGCAAUAUGAUUAGCUCAUGGCACUGCUGAAACCACAAACUCAUCAAACCUUCAUCCCUUCUGCAAAUCAUGUUCAAACUUUAUUCCAACUCAUUCUGAUAAUGGUGAGAUGCCAAAAGCUUCAGGUAUAUCUCUAUGUCUGUCUGCCUUUAGCACUAAACUUCAUGAUCAUUCAGUUGUACCUUGGAUAUUAGACACAGGGGCUACGGAUCAUAUGAUCUUCUCAACCUCUCUCUUUACCACAAUAAAGUCUAAAGUUUCCUAUUCAGUAGGUCUCCCAAAUGGUAAGGACAGUAAAAUUUUUAGAAUCUUUCAUUUUGGAUAAUGUUCUUUGUGUUACGUCGUUUUCUUUUAAUCUGCUAUCAGCUAGAAAAAUAACGUAGAACAUGAAUUGUUGCCUCAUUUUUCUUCAUGAUUGUUGUUUUAUACAGGACCUUUUGACUUGGAAAACGACUGGAAUGGGUGAAGUAAAGCAAGGACUCUAUCACUUGAUGCAAAACGAAGUGUCUCCUUUUUCCUUGACCAAGAAAUUAGCCUAUCUAACUUAAAAGACACCCAUAUCCACUUCCUCUAUUUUCAAUAAUGGUGAAGAUUUCGAUCUUUGGCACUGUAGGUUAGGACACUCCACCUAUUCAAAGUUUAAUUUACCAGAAGACACCACAAGAUCCACCAAACAGCCUUACCUUAAUUGUCCUUUAGCCAAACUACAAAAAUUAUCAGAAAAAUGUUUUGAUCUCAUAUAUUGUGACAUUUGGGGACCAUGUAAUGAGAUUAGUUAUGAUGGUUUUCGUUAUUUUCUAGCUAUUGUGGAUGAUUUUAGUAGAUGUACUUGGUUUUAUAUGUUGAAAUUCAAAUCUGAUGCUGGCAUUGUUUCGCAAAGUUUUUGCUCUAUGAUUGAAACACAAUUUGAAUGCAAAGUUAAAACUAUUAGAUCAGACAAUAGAGAUGAAUUUGAGAUGAAGAAAUUUUAUUCACAAAAGGGAAUCAUUCACCAUAAAACUUGUGUAGAGACUCCUCAACAAUAUGCCAUAGUUGAAAGAAAACAUCAACACAUUUUAAAUGUGGCAAGAGCUUUAAAAUUUCAAAGUGUCAUCCCAUUAAGAUAUUGGAGUAAUUGUGUUCUCACGACAGUUUAUCUUAUAACUAUAACCCCUAUACCUCUUUUAGACCACAAAACACCCUUUGAAAUUCUUUUUCAAACCAAACCAGAUUACACUUAUCUUAGAGUUUUCGGAUGCCUAACAUUUGCUACUACCCUAGUAAGUGGAAGACUUGAAUUUGAUCCUAGAGCUAGGAGAUGCAUAUUUUUGGGAUACCCAUUUGGAAUCAAAGGAUACAAAUUAAUGGAUUUGGAAACAAAUAAGGUCUUUAUCUCUAGGAAUGUUAUCUUUCCAUGAGAGUGUGUUUCGCUGCAAGCAAAAUGCUAGCAUGAGUGCUGAUUUUAGUCCAAAUCCAACUUCAAAAACAGAUUUCAUUUCUGAAAUUCCUACUAUCUCAAAUCACAUAGAAAACAGCCAAAUCAUUCUCUUAUCAACAUUUCAGACAAAAUGUAGCAACAGAUCACUCAACAGACUUUGAAUCUUCUUCAUUAGAACAAAAUCAUGACUCAUCUGAACCUGCAAAUACAUUUAGAAUUGAUAGUGAGCCAUCCCAAAAACAAGUUGUACCUUGAAGGUCAAACAGAAUCAAGAGAACCUCUACAUAUCUCAAGGAUUUUGUCUGUCAAUAGGUCACUUUGCUUCCCCAUUCACAGGCUUUGGACAAGCAAAGGGUCACCAUUCCCUCAGGUAAUCCCUAUCCUCUUGAGAAUAGUGUGUCAUAUCAUAAACUCUCCACUCCCUACAAGGCUUUUGUUGUUUCUAUCAACACACACACAGAACCUAAAAAUUUCCAAGAAGCACUGAAUCUCUCGAGUGGUGUAAUGCUAUGAAAGUUGAAAUAAAUGCUCUCGAAUUAAAUGAUACUUGGCUAGUUGUUGAUCUGCCUCUUGGUAAGGAGGCCAUAGGGUGUAAGAGGGUUUAUAAAAUCAAAUUUAGUGCUAAUGGGACCAUAGAGAGAUAUAAAACCAGAUUAGUGGUUAAGGGAUACACACGGCAAUAAGGACUCGACUAUCAUGAAACAUUUUCUCCUGUGGCAAAACUAGUUACUGUAAGGACUUUGUUGACUUUGGUUGCUGUUAAAGGUUGACACUUAUACCAGUUUGAUGUAAACAAUGCAUUUCCACAUGGAGAUUUGGAGAAAGAAGUUUACAUGCAAUUGCCUCCGGGUUAUCCCACUGCUAAUGGGACAAAAGUUUGCAAAUUGAAGAAAAGCUUGUAUGGCCUUAAACAGGCCUCUAGACAGUGGUAUUCUAAGCUGUCUAACUUCAUUAUUGAGCAAGGUUUUUCACAAUCUAAGGCUAAUUAUAGCUUAUUUACAAGAGCUACAAAACAUUCUUUUAUUGCCAUCCUUCUAUAUGUCGACGACAUUAUAGUGUUCAGCAACUGCAUUGACUCUGUUAAUGUUCUCAAGGAUACCCUACAUGAGAAAUUCAAAAUCAAGGAUCUAGGAUAGCUGAAAUACUUCCUUGGGAUUGUGGCUAGGUCAGAUCGUGGCAUCCACAUAUGCCAAAGAAAGUAUGCCUUAGACAUCUUGACAGAUUCAGGCAAAAUUGGGGCAGCACCAACUCGAAUUCUGCUUGAUCAGAAUCAUAAGCUUUCUAAAGCGCAGGGUAAACUAAUUCCUAACCCAUCACUCUAUAGAAGGCUAGUUGGAAGAUUACUAUAUUUAACUAUAACAAGAUCGUAUCUAUCCUUUUCAGUGCAACUAUCAAGUUAAUUCAUGGAUAACCCUAGAUUCCCACGCCUUAAUGAAGCCUACAAAGUUUUAAGGUAUAUCAAAAAGGCUCCAGGACAAGGUUUGUUUUAUUCUACUGAAUCAAGCUUGCAACUUAUAGGUUACUGUGAUUCAGAUUGGGGAGCAUGCCAGGACACAAGAAGGUCGGUCAGUGGUUAUUGUGUGUCUACUGGGUCUUCUUUGAUAGCCUGGAAGUCAAAGAAACAAGGGGUCAUGUCUAGAUCAUCUACAGAGGCAGAAUACCGAGCAAUGGCUAACCUGUGCUGUGAAUUAACUUGGAUGAGAUAUUUACUUCAUGACUUGCAAAUUACACAUCCUCAGGCUGCCACUAUGUUUUGUGAUAACAAGGCUGCACUUCACAUCGCAUCAAGCCCUAUCUUUCAUGAACGAACCAAGCACAUUGAGCUUGAUUGUCAUCUCAUCCGUGACAAGAUUCAAGAUGGAAGCAUAACCACUCGUUAUAUUGGUAGUAGACUACAAGUUGCAGACCUCCUAACUAAGGCCUUAAGUUCUCCUGUUUUCUACUCUCAUUUGCUCAAGAUGGGAGUAGAAGAUAUCUACUCUCGACCUUGUGAGGGGCUAUUAGAAAAUGGAAAUCAGCUGCAGGUGAGUCAGCUUGGGAGUUAGUAAAGCACGCACACUCCAGUACACAUGGGCAAUAAGCUGGACCAUAGGUGGAAGAAUAAAUCUAGAAGGAUUUAGCAUCUUUUCUGUUAUGUGGUUUUCCUUUCGUAACAGAGUUGUUUAUAUUGAUUCUUUUUCCUGCCUGCUGUAUAGGUUUUCCGUUAGGUUGGCACUCUUCUCAUUCUAUAAAUAGUGUGAUCAACCUGUAAAGAAGUGAAUAUAACAGAUUCAAUAUCAUGAGAAAAUUCUCCCAAAACUCUUGCACUCCACCUGCUCAAUAGUUUUCUUCUUUCAUUUAUUUCUUCUUUUCUUAUACCGUCUAACAAUCAUUUUAUUUUAUUUCGUUUCCAUUUUUUUUAUGCAAUCUGUGAUUUAUAGUGGAAAUGAAUUAAACUGGGUUUUGAUGUUCAAACUGCAUGCUAUUAACAUGUUAUUUCCAUAACGAAAUAUUAGUUCUUUUUUUUCUUAUGAUGACAAUCAAUGCAAUACAGUCCUUGUGUAUGUUACCGAGUAACGUUAACAUUUCAAACCUUACAUUUCAUCAUUUG
This 155766-nucleotide long non-coding RNA is filed under the name Olea europaea (common olive). RNAcentral describes it as "long non-coding RNA (OEUR_LNC005342)". Lineage: Eukaryota; Viridiplantae; Streptophyta; Magnoliopsida; Lamiales; Oleaceae. The record is from RNAcentral.